CCAAUCGUCACAGGCAAUCCACCAUGGCCUCCCGAAACCUCUCCUCCCUCCUCCUCGUCGUCCUCCUCGUCUUCGCCUUCUCUGCCGGCUCCCACGCCGGCAGCAUCGCCGUGUACUGGGGCCAGAACGGCAACGAGGGCGGCCUUGCCGACACCUGCAACACCGGCAUCUACUCGUACGUGAUGCUGGCUUUCCUCACCACCUUCGGCAACGGGCAAACCCCCGUCCUCAACCUGGCGGGCCACUGCGACCCCCCCUCCGGCACCUGCACGAGCCUCAGCUCCGACAUCCGCGCCUGCCAGUCCCAGGGCAUCAAGGUGCUCCUCUCCCUCGGUGGCGGCUCCGGCAGCUACUCCCUGUCCUCCUCCGACGACGCCGCGAGCGUGGCAACGUACCUAUGGGACAACUACCUGGGCGGCUCGUCCAGCUCGCGCCCGCUGGGCGACGCCGUCCUCGACGGCAUCGACUUCGACAUCGAGCAGGGCGGCCCCGACCACUACGACGAGCUGGCGAAGCAGCUCUACGACUUUGGUAAUCAGGCGGGGACCAAGGUGUACCUCUCGGCGGCGCCGCAGUGCCCCUACCCGGACCAGUACGUGGGUAACGCGCUGCAGACGGGGCACUUCGACUACGUGUGGGUGCAGUUCUACAACAACCCCAGCUGCGACUACUCGUCGGGGGUCAGCGGCCUGAGCAGCGCAUGGGGGACGUGGACAUCGAGCUUGUCGUCAUCGGCCGUCUUCCUGGGGCUGCCGGCCUCGACGGACGCGGCCGGGAGCGGGUACAUCCCGCCCGACGACCUCACCAACCAGGUGCUGCCGGCUAUCAACACUGCGUCCAACUACGGCGGCAUCAUGCUGUGGAGCAGAUACUACGAUCUCAACAGCGGGUACGGCGCCGCCGUGAGGAACAGUGUUUGAGAUGGCGAUGUACUAACUACCAGAUGUGUGCUUCCGAUUACGAUGUCAUGAAUAAGGCGGGACACUGAUAGAAACGUCUUCCUGAUUGAUGUGACGUUGCGUCCCAAUAAAAUAAAGAUUGCGUGUUUUUAUGGAGACAUUGAUGUAGUCAAUGUAAUAAUACAUAAGUGAUAUAUCUUAAAUUGAAAUUUAGCUGUGAGCAUCAGAUUUGGUGGGUUCAUGAGUAUCAUGUCCGUUAUUUAUAGUCCUAUUUUUUUUUUAUAAAAAUAUAUAUAUAAAAAAUUAAAAUAAAGUAUGCUUGAGAAGUGAAAUAAUUAAAAUAAACCCAUAGACGGACCAUGAAAGGUGGUGUAUUGAUGACAAUUGAUGCAAUUCAUGAAUUGAUGGCUAUGUUAAGUAAGAGACAUGUUUGUAUAUUAUAAACAGCAGGUUUUUCUCGCAUCUAAUAAAAACAUUCUAUAUGCUGAUCACAUUGAAAUAAACUUUAUAUAUAAACAAUGGAAAAUUAAUAGUCAGGGGAUUAUAUUUUUAAUUAUUUGUUCUGUAAGCUCUUCUUCAUAUUCGUUUCUUUGAUCAUGCAAGUCAUAGUUUGGUCAGAGAAGACGUGCUUUGUCCACAAAAAAGAAAAUUGAGGAUGUGUAGGCCUUCACCUUUAAAAUACUUGUUCUCAACAUAAUAAAAAUACUUGUCCUGUAUGCACAACUAUUUUUAUUGGAGCAUUUUAUAUUCCUCCACUUAUAUUCAAUCGUCGUUGGAUUUGUCACUAUAAUCCCUAAUCUUUGUUGUCUCUUCGGUCAUCACCUCCUAUUGCUAUACCUUUGCCUCCGUCACCAUCGCUCCGACCCUCGACCACCAUCAGCCUAAUGGGUCAUAUGCCCCUCAUUUUUGAAUUGAUGUUCAUGUUGCCGUGAAUGUAUCAUGUGACAAAUCAAUUGCAGUAGGUUUGCAUGAACCUCACCAUAUAUGUUGCUUGCUAUGAGCCCAGUGCGACGCCCAUUCAUCCUAAAUUAUAGGAGUGAGAAUUAUAUUAUUUUCCAUGAGAUUGUUGUUUGCCGAGUGUUGCGUAAGGUCAUUUGAGGAUCCCUCGUGGUUGUCUGAUGAGAUAGUUAGUGUGGCAUCGAGGAAUAUGAGGUGGUUUCGGAGGAUCCAAGAUAGACUUCGAUCUUCCCAAGUUCCUACACAAAGGUUAGUGUUGGGAGAAUUUUCCAACCUGACUCAUCCGAUGUUUAAGUUAGUUUUGUGGAGUUGUGUGAGGUAUAAAGAAUUUUUUUAAAGAGAGGUCCGACCCUUAAGCAAGUGUCGGGGGCUGACUUUUAUACCUGGGCGAUCAAGGGGAUCGUUUGUAACUAUCGCAAUGCCCUUCGCAUAGCAUUUUAUCUAUGUGAGCAAAAGGCUCGAAUAACCUUCUACGGGUUGUCAUCUACAAAUGCCAAUUAAGUGGAGACAUAUCCAAAGGAUCACCCGGGGACCAUUAUCCUUGAUGAUCGAUAAAAUUAGUCGAAACAGUCUCCUGUGAACUAUUAUCCAUGAGGAUUCGAUAGGUGCCACACAAUACUAUUGAGUCGGGAGGUGAUUUACCCUUACCUUCGAUGUCGACAUCUAGAUGGCGAUCAACUAUAAAGCUAGUUUUGUCAUCAGAAUAUUUCCUUGCAAGAACCUGACGUAAGAUAGGAAGCUUUUAACUCUAUCAAUAUUUUAUUAUCAUGAACUUACCUUAAUUUAUCUAAACCAUAUAUAUCACAUUCAUGCUAAGGGUUAAUCUUUCAAUCUGAAAAAAUAGAUAGUGACAUGUGAAUGCACUAUAAUAGUUACUUGGCUUAAAGCAUAAACUAAGACUGCACUAGCAUCAUCAAAUAAAAUAAUUUAGUGGCAUGCUGUCACGCAUGCUCGAUAGCUUCAUGUUCUUUUUACUAGAACAAAAAAUACAUUGCUUUAAAACUAUGGAACAAACUGAGUUGCUAAUGGACCCGUAGCAACAAACAAAUUAAAAGUAGAUAUCAGUGAUCUGCCAAAUACUAAUACUAAUACUAGAGCAAUUGACAGCCUCCAAGAGAGUUGGUGUUGAGCUCAAUAGAAGGGAGCUGUAGGAAUUGAACUGCUUUCAUUGCUUCAUGUUGGAUCUUCUAAUAUGUAUAGACUUGGAGAAAGAAAAACGAGGAUGAUGCGAGCCAAAGAUUAAUGAACUUUAGAUGAAUAGACUAAGACAUGGAAGAAUAAAUGAGAUAGAGAUCGGCGAAGCACCACAAAAGUGAUGGGAUAAAAAGAGAAUUUUGUAUAUGAACAAAUAAAAAUAGAUCGUAAUAUGUAGUGGAAUUAAAUGAAAAUCAUAAUUAAAUUGAACAUCAAGAUUUAUAUGAAAAAUCCUUCAAACGUGAAGGGUAAAAACCAUAUGGUAAAAUAGAGAAGUGUGCUUCCGAUUACGAGGUCAUGAAUAAGGCGAGACAGUGAUAGAAACCAAGUAGAAAAUCUUGAUUUAUAAAAAAAAAAUUUAAGUUAUAAUUCCAAGAAACCAAGAGAAACCAUGAUUCAUUUUAACAAAUCUCCUCUUAAAUAAAUAAUGAAAAGAAUUCUUAGAAAAUCAUGAUAUAAAUAAAAUUCAUUCAAUCUUAUAGGAGAAUAAGAUAUGCAUAUAAAAUCUCUCAAUUCAUUAUGAAUCAUAAAAAUUAUAAUUCUAAAAAAUUAUAAUUCAUUUAGGAAAUUUUCUUCUUUAGUAAACGGUAAAAAGAAAUAUGGGAGUUCAAAAAACAAGAUCUUGAUUNNNNNNNNNNNNNNNNNNNNNNNNNNNNNNNNNNNNNNNNNNNNNNNNNNNNNNNNNNNNNNNNNNNNNNNNNNNNNNNNNNNNNNNNNNNNNNNNNNNNNNNNNNNNNNNNNNNNNNNNNNNNNNNNNNNNNNNNNNNNNNNNNNNNNNNNNNNNNNNNNNNNNNNNNNNNNNNNNNNNNNNNNNNNNNNNNNNNNNNNNNNNNNNNNNNNNNNNNNNNNNNNNNNNNNNNNNNNNNNNNNNNNNNNNNNNNNNNNNNNNNNNNNNNNNNNNNNNNNNNNNNNNNNNNNNNNNNNNNNNNNNNNNNNNNNNNNNNNNNNNNNNNNNNNNNNNNNNNNNNNNNNNNNNNNNNNNNNNNNNNNNNNNNNNNNNNNNNNNNNNNNNNNNNNNNNNNNNNNNNNNNNNNNNNNNNNNNNNNNNNNNNNNNNNNNNNNNNNNNNNNNNNNNNNNNNNNNNNNNNNNNNNNNNNNNNNNNNNNNNNNNNNNNNNNNNNNNNNNNNNNNNNNNNNNNNNNNNNNNNNNNNNNNNNNNNNNNNNNNNNNNNNNNNNNNNNNNNNNNNNNNNNNNNNNNNNNNNNNNNNNNNNNNNNNNNNNNNNNNNNNNNNNNNNNNNNNNNNNNNNNNNNNNNNNNNNNNNNNNNNNNNNNNNNNNNNNNNNNNNNNNNNNNNNNNNNNNNNNNNNNNNNNNNNNNNNNNNNNNNNNNNNNNNNNNNNNNNNNNNNNNNNNNNNNNNNNNNNNNNNNNNNNNNNNNNNNNNNNNNNNNNNNNNNNNNNNNNNNNNNNNNNNNNNNNNNNNNNNNNNNNNNNNNNNNNNNNNNNNNNNNNNNNNNNNNNNNNNNNNNNNNNNNNNNNNNNNNNNNNNNNNNNNNNNNNNNNNNNNNNNNNNNNNNNNNNNNNNNNNNNNNNNNNNNNNNNNNNNNNNNNNNNNNNNNNNNNNNNNNNNNNNNNNNNNNNNNNNNNNNNNNNNNNNNNNNNNNNNNNNNNNNNNNNNNNNNNNNNNNNNNNNNNNNNAUAUAUAUAUAUAUAUAUUGGCACCUUCGUUGGUUGGCAACUUCAAUAGUAUGAUUGGCUGUCUACUAUGUUUAUGUACCAUUUUAGGUUCAUGCAUUCUCAUGUCAUUUUAUUUUCUGAAUCGAUUUAAAUAAAUUUUGGAUAUACAUAUUUAUUCAAUAUUCAUGCAUAUUAUUUUGGAUAAUGUCUACUUUAUUCAUGAAUAAAGUGGAUAAUAAGUCUAGUUCAUGCAUAUCAAUUUAUAUCCAAAAUAAUGUGCAUGAACCGAUAAAUACUCCUCACAUUAUUUAUUUUAUUCAUAAAUAUUAUUUUAAAUAUAAAUUUAAAGUUUUGGCUCAUGGUCUUGUUGGGAAAUCUAGGGUACGAGAUUACAUGUGCAACGGAAGAACAAAAAAUAAAAUCUCUAAUAUUUUUUAAUAAUAUAUUCGUUGUUAUGCGAAGAUUUGUGUGCAAAAUACACGAAAAAGAAAAUCACGUGUGAGAUAGUUGUGUUACCUAGGGAGAUCGUAUAUCCCCCCUACAGAUUUGUAGAAGUGGAUGAAUGAGGUCAAGCGUUCUCCGCUCUAGAGGUGAUUACAUAGUAGGACUGCGACGCUUCUCAAAUCUCUAAGCCUACUAUUUGAGGAGGAGAAAAAGAGAGGAGAAUAGGAGGUGACUACCUAAGAGGAGAAUAGCAGAGUGGUAGUGGAGAAGAUAGUUGUCGUUCACCGAGGAGGAAAGAUUUAUGCCACAGCAAAAGGGAACGGACAUUGGUGCAGUGGAGAAGAUAGUUGCCAUUCACCGAGGAGGAAAAAUUUAUCGCACCGAUAACCUGACGAUGGAAAAGCAGUAGUAGAAAGCUUUUUCUUUUACCGUCGGAGGUGGAGAAGCAACAGAUGAGUCAACAACGAGAAGAGAGCUUGCUCUAGGCAAGUGGCUCUGAUACCAUGAUAGAAAUAACAGAAGAUAAGAACAAUAAUUGAAGAAGUAGCUUUAGCUUGAAUACAUUAACAUGUCCCUCUCAUUAUGAGAGAGGAUUUUCCAGAUACGCAGUAACCUUCUUACGAGUGCCGGAUUUAUCACAGAAUAAUAUGAAAUUAAAAUUGGUAAUAUACUAAUAUCCCUGAAAUCCUACUUCUACGAGUAUUCCGUGCGUGCCUCUCAUACGCGGUGAGGUGGCAGCCGAUGCCACAUUUGCAUUUACUCCAGAAACUCCGAUAGAUACAAUCAAAGCGCGUAAAGGUUUAUAGUACCAAAACAAGUUCUGCGUCCGCCAUAGGUUCCUUUCCGCAUCUUUGAACCGUUGAUUGGGCAUCAGAGGGCGAGGCGCGGCGGCAGACGCCGGGCCCAGCGUGACCCACACACGUGCGACAGACAAAAGGCCAAUCGCUGGGUAGGGCGGAGUGGAGGUAGAACACGACUAAUGGUGACUUGGACGAGGCUCAGGACCACGUGGUUCAACGAAUCUAAAUAUCUAAAUGGGCCGUGGGUCGCGUGAUGGAACGAGCUCCAUCACUGCCGUUGAUGGUAUCUACAAUCAAGGAACCCGUGAUCAGAUCCGUAAACGGGGACCGUCCAAUAAUACUUCUACAUAGAUCUUGAUCAGGUCUCUGCAAAUUUCUCCCAAUCAAUCACCCAAAUACGUCGAUCUGUCUCAAAGCCGAUGUAAACAAUAGUAUUUAUGAAUGAGAAAAUCAUGAAUUUUACCUAUGACCUAAACCAAAUUGGAUUCGCAUAAUUACGACUCGAGGCACAACUCCAAUCAGUAGCGAUAGUGUCUGCAUAUUUAUUUGAUUAGAAAAAGACCACAACGUGCAUUUUUAUUUGAUUUUAAUAAGAAGCUACUCGAAGCAUCAAGAUCAAGAAGGUGUGAUUUAAAGUCACGAUAGGAAGCACGGUGAGCCCCGGCUUGGUUGACCCCAGUGGACCCUACUUGGAAACUCGAGUCUGUCUGUCUCACGCGCAAUUAGCCACAGCGAUAAGAAACGAUAUUUGCAUGUUAUCUAUCGAUGAACAGUGCUUCUCGUACAAUAAUUGUGACCGUCGGGGGACGUCGUCACAUGGCAUGCACGUGAGUCAUGAAGACGUUUUUAUUUGAAUAGUUUUCCUCUGUUGUGAUCCCUCCAUUUCAUUCGAUGAAGUCCAAUGCAUCAACCAUCAUGCCUCCAUCGCACCCUUUGUUGGUGUUGGUGUCGCAAUCCACCAGUUGUUGCUCUGACAAGGAGAUAAGCUCGUUGGUUCUGAUCUGGUUUAUUCCCUCCACCGAAACUACUGUCGAGAAGGCCCAGCAACUUCCUGCAACAAUUCAUACUAAAUUUUCAUUUAUUUCGAUCGAGCACAUCAACAAAAAAAUAUAAUAUUUCGAGCUCACCGCAUUUGCCUUGGUCUUUGAUAGCAGUGACGGCACCCUUCUGCCUCCAGUCGACGGUGGGAGUUACAUUGGUGACGUUCUUGUAUAAGAAGUACCCUUCGAGGUUCGCGCUUCCUCUGAGAGUGCUGCGGCGACGAAUCCUCGUCCCUGCGUACGUCCUCUUGAACUCCUCCCUCGCCGUAUCGCCGAACUUGUUGAGGCUAAGCUUGUAAGGCUUGGCUUUCUUGUUGGACGCGAACACGUAGUUAGCGUUCUCUUUAAAAACAUCAAAGCGGAUGCGCUUCUCGUCGACGCUGCGUGACACGCCAUGGUGGCUCUGCCACCUCUCGUACAAGUCCAAGAGCUUAUCCUCCGACGCGAUGUCGAUGUCAUCCCCAACGAUGGGCAAGCCGGAGAAUGCUACCGCAACGAGAAAGGCAGCGAACAAGAAUCCUCUCCCCAUGGUGGUGAACGAGGAGAAACCAAAAACAGGAUGGAAGUAGGUUUAUGGUUCGAAGGAGGUAUCUAUAGAGAUGUUGGGAGUGAAGCAUGACGACUGGGCGGUUAGGAGAUUAGGGCAUGGGCAUGGGAGAGGCUCAUUUUACGUAACUGUUAUUGGCAUCUUCUUAAGCGAUGCAUGCAUGCAUGCAUACGUCGAAAAGGUAUCCUCUUCGGGUAGUUUGAUGUGCAUGGGUUCGGGCAGAAGCUUCCAAGCCAAUAUGGGAGAAGAGUGUGUAGUCCUAUAGAAAUGGGAACUGUGAGGUUGGAUAUCCAAAUCGCAAUUAGCGUUUGAUUAGGGAAAGAGAUGGAUAUUAUGAAGCCUCAUAUAGCUCGAUGAAUUAUAUUGAUCAAAAUGUAGCAUAAAUAAGACUAAAGAUUUUUACAGGACUGCUUCACGGAUGCUUUCUGGGGCAGGUUAUAGCCACUAUGAGAUCAGUAGCUACUGCAAGGAUCGGUAUGAGUGCAAGCACAAUCUCACCUACUGGCUGAACAGAUCUUUCUAUGGAUUUGGCCUUGGAUCUGCAAGCUACAUCAAUGACAUGAGGUUUUCAAGGCCAAGAAGAUUGAAGGAGUACGAGGAAUGGGUGCACAAGUUGGAAGAUGGAUUGGUAGUGCUUCAUGAGGACAUCAGUGUCGACACAAAGGACAUGUCAAUGGAUGUUGUGAUGCUGUCCUUGAGAACGGCAAAAGGUCUUGACCUGAGGGGCUUUGCAAAAUGCUUUGGGAAGAGCCUGGCACGCUCUUUGUGCCAAGCCUUGAGGCAGUAUGUAGAGAGUGGGCAUGUGGUUGUCAUGGAUGAUGAUAGAAAUACGUUGUCUUACCCUGAGUUUGAGUUGAAGAUGAGUGAGGAUAAUGAUGAAAUGGGUAAUGGAGUUGCAUCCAUUCGGCUCAGUGAUCCAGAUGGUUUCCUCCUGUCUAAUGAGUUGAUAUCCAUUGCAUUUGGAAUUAUAUCUCCAUAAUAUCCUGUGAGACUUUCGAAACUCAUCUGUUGUUUACAGCAAUGUUUUAAUCAUGUCCAAAUCUAUCAAUUGAAAUAUAGUUUUUCCCGCAUUGUUUAACCAGAAUUCACAUUUGCAUUAUAGAGAGGAAAAGCAAAAGUGUGUAUAUAAAAUUUUCCAAAUGCAUUAUCGAAAUAUAAUCUUUUUCCUCAUUGUUUAAUCAGAAUUCACAUAUGCAUUUUGCCUGAUGUUCCUGAUUUUUCUCUUUCAAAGAACUUAAUGGCAGUUUAUUUGCAGAAUUUAUUAUGCUUUUCAUUGUUAGGUUUGCAUUCUUGAACUCAACAUCGAAGUAUUAUGUGGAAAUUUCUAGACUUUUGACUUACACCAAUUCCUGAUCAAUGUCUAAAAAAUAUUUUUCGAUGUAUGAUUUUUCUUGAGAGGUCUUUAAUAUUGGAAACCAUUUUUUUUUUUCUGUAAAUAACUGUUAUGAAGUGAGCAUGUGAAUGAUGCAGUAGCUUUUUGCAAGUUUAAUCAAGCAUUGACAGGAUGUUUGAGCAUCCUGCCGCGUUUCUUUCUUAGUUUUUUUAAAAAAUGUAGUUUUCUUCGAAAAUGAAUUCUUUUAGUAAGGUUUCUAAUGAUUCUGUUAUCCUUUUUCGGAAAUUUUAAGAUCUCCUAGAGUAUGCUUGGUUCAGUGUUGGAAUAAUUUGGUAUAAGUUAUCCUAAGCCAGUUACAAUUUUAGUCCUCUGAAAGAGCAUCAUUCUUGUUGAGCUACAUAAGGAUAGUUUUCCUCUGUUGUGAUCCCUCCAUUUCUUUCGAUGAGGUCGAAUGCAUCAUCCAUCAUAUCCCGCUCAUUUCUAAUCCAGCCCGAAUCCAGCGCACCUACCUACGAUCCAACCACUGCUGCAACAAGUGCCGCCCGAUCGGGCUCACACGAUACCCCCAGAGCUCCCCGCGUCGCUUCAGGUUCGACCGGCCCCGCUGGAAGAUCGAGCGAUGGGAAACUCGAGCACCCGCCUGGAGCCCGAGGUGUUAUCUUCAGAUUCAAUGGCCUGCUUGCCUGAGUCGUGCUCCUCGACUGCAUGUUGCCCGAGACCACCUUUGCGCGGCCUGCCAGCCUGAGUCGUGCUCCUUGACUGCAUGUUACCCGAAACCACAUCUGCGCGACCUGCCCGAUUGAGUUGUGCUCCUCGGUUGCAUGUUGCCCGAGACCACCUCUGCGCGGCCUGCCCNNNNNNNNNNNNNNNNNNNNCAUGUUGCCCGAGACCACCUCUACUCGGCCUGCCCGUUUGAGUCGUGCUCCUCGGCUACAUGUUGCCCGAGACCACCUUUGCUUGGCCCGCCCGACUGAGUCGUGCUUCUCGGUUGCACAUUGCCCGAGACCAUCGCUGCGCCCCCAGCUCUCCUCGAUUGCUAAACUCCACGAUUCCCACACCCUUGGUAACGGACCGGCUACCGCCCGACAGGGACAAUUUCUUAAAGCUGAAGCCAUGCCUCGGACCCCCCCCCUUACAACAACCAACGCAUAGCUUCCUUCGGGGGGGGGGGGGGGGAUAUGAUAAGGGCAAUAAUGGCGAUGGGAUGAGGGUUAACGUUAGCUGUGCCCGGAUGACGCCUCGGUUGACCUAACAGCACUUGACCAAAACAUACUGGAACGUCGACCGAGGCAUAUUAACAUCCUGCGCGAGCCCGGUCCUUCACGCCAUGCCAACACUGGUGUCAGACGUUACCAGGAGUAUGAUCAUGCUCCCUGCAAGCGGGCACAUCAGGCAACGGUAACCUUCCCUAUAAAAACCCUUGCGCUCAGAAAGAGUGGAGGAGAAUCAUGUGAGAAAAACUCCCUGUGACCGUUCACUCACUUGAUCGUCGGAGGGGUCGGGUCGAGCCUCCCGACCUAACCUGUGCGCAAGGACGAAGACGGAGCGCCUCCCACCGCGUGCCCAGGCGAAGAGUUCCCUUCCAGAGGAAACGGUUGUCCCGUCGCGAUCGGACCACCGUAGUCGGCCACCUCAACAGUCUCAAGGGUCGCCCAGGAAGAUCCCUAAUCAUUCGGACCCGAACCAAGUCACGUUGGCCCCGAGGCCACGACUUAAGGUUGUUAACACCAACAAGAUAUACAAAUCAUGAAGACAAAUUGUGAAUAUUAAGAGACAUAUUGUGUUUCUGUUUCGAUAACUCAAAUUGAGAAAAGAAAGAAUCAUAGUAGACAAUCUUGAUUUAUAAAAAAAAUUUUAAGUUAUAAUUAUAAGAAAUCAAGAGAAACCAUGAUUCAUUUUAACAAAUCUCCUCUUAAAUAAAUAAUAAAAAUAAUUCUUAGAAAAUCAUGAUAUAGAUAAAAUUCAUUCAAUCUUAUAGGAGAAUAAGAUAUGCAUAUAAAAUUUCUCAAUUUAUUAUGAAUCAUAAAAAUUAUAAUUCUGAAAAAUCAUGAUUCAUUUAGAAAAUUUUAAACGAUCAAAAGAAAUAUGGGAGUUCAAAAAAUAAGAUAUUGAUUCAUAAACAAUUUCAAGUCAAGUCAUAAAUCACGAGAAAUCAAGAUAAAGCUCAUUCAAAUUAUUAUGAUCCUUUUUCGAUAACUCAACUCAAAUCAGAUUGAUGUGACGAUGUGUCCCAAUAAAAUAAAGAUUGCGUGUUUUUAUGGAGGCAUUGAGGUGGUCAGUGUAAUAAAUAAUACAUAAGUGAUAUAUCUUAAAUUUAAAUUUAGAUGUGAGCAUCAUAUUUGGGUACAUGAGUAUCAUGUCCUUUAUUUAUAGUACUAAUUUUUUUUAUAUAUAAAUAAAAAAAAUAUAUAUAAAGUAUGGUUGACUCGUGAAAUAAUUAUUCAGCAAAUAUUCAUGAAUUGAUGGCUACGUUCAUUAAGAGACAAGUUUGUAUAUUAUAAACAGCAGGUUUUUCUCGUUUCUAAUAAAAACAUUCUAUAGGCUGAUCGCAUUGAAAUAAACUUUAUAUAUAAACAAUGGAAUUAUAUUUUUAAUUAUUUGUUCUGUAAGCUCUUCUUCAUAUAUUCGUUUCUUUGAUCAUGCAAGACAUAGUUUGGUCAGAGAAGACGUACUUUGUCCGCAAAGAAGAAACUCGAGGAUGUGUAGGCCUUCCUUCACCUUUAAAAUAAAUGUUCUCGACAUAAUAAAAAUACUUGUCCAGUAUGCACAUCUAUUUUUAAUAAAGCAUUUUAUACGAGAAAGCUUUCACUAUUAGACUUUUAUUAAAUAGAAAAUGUUCAUGUUAGGUUAGGGUCCGAAUAAAUUGAGGUUCACCCAACAAAAUAAUGACUCGUCUAAGUCUGGACCGUUGCCGUGAAUGUAUAAUGGGACGAAUCAAUUGCAAUGGGUUUGCUUGAAGCUCACCAUAUAUGUUGCUUGCUGUCAGCCCAGUGCGACGCUCAUUAAUCAUAAAUUAUAGGAGUGAGAAUUAUAUUAUUCCCCAUGAGAUUGUCAUUACCAACGAUAUUGUUGUUUGCUGGGUGUUACGGUUUGAUCUUGUCUCGAAGACGUAAGGUCAUUUGAGGAUCCCUCGUGGUUGUUUAGCAAGGGAGCUGGUGUGGCAUCGAUGAAUCUGAGGUGGUUUUUGAGGAUUCGGGAUGGACUUCGAUCUUUUCAGGUUCCUACACAAAGUUUAGUGUCAGGCGGAGUUUCCCGACCGUGAUGUUCAAGUUAGUUUUAUGGAGUUGUGUGAGGUAUAAAGGGUUUUUGUGAAUAAUAUAAUUAAAAGUAGAUAUCUGUGAUCUGCCAAAAUUCAACUGCUUGGUUCCACUUGCAUCAAGUGUGUCAAAAAGGGCAAAACUAAUACUAGAGCAAUUGACAGCCUCCAAGAGAGUUGGUGUUGAGCUCAAUAGAAGGGAGCUGUAGGAAUUGAACUGCUUUAGUAGCUUCAUGUUGGAUCUUCUACUAUGUAUAGACUUGGAGAAAGAAAAACGAGGAUGAUGCAAGCCAAAAUUAACGAACUUUAGAUGAAUAGACUAAGACAUGAGAGAAUAAAUGAGAUAGAGAAUUUUGUGUACCAACAAAUACAAGCAUAUCAUAAUACAUAGUAGAAUUAAAUGAAAAUUAUAAUCAAAUAAAACAUCAAAAUUUACGUGAAAAACUCCUUCAACAUGAAGGGUAAAAACCACAGGGUAAACAAGAGGAAAUGUACUAUAAAAAUAAUGAAUAUAUAAAUCUCAGAGUCUUUUGCCCAAAACCCAAGCAACAAUCACAAGAGAAUAAUUAUGAUAUAAGGAUUACGUCAUUGUGCAUAAUAUCCAAAAUCUCCUCAAGUGAUCACAACAGGAAUCUACAAUAAAUCUGAUCUAAUAUGAGAUCAGAACACUUAUUGGAUGAUUGAGAAUAGUCUCUACGUUGACCUUGUCUUCUUCCUUUUCCUUCUUCUCUUGUUUUUCUUUCCUCAACUGUCACUGUUGCAUCUCUCUUUUUUACAACCACCGUUGCCCUCUUUUUUUGCCUUAGCAACCAUACUUCUUGGUUAAAAGAGUUAGUAUUUUGGUUAAAAAAAAAGAGAGUUAAGACUAAAGUGGGUUGUGGGUAAUUAAAGCCUACUAUGAGUUGAAUAAUGAGUCAUCUGCCCAACAACCUCCCCCUUCGGCCCAUAAGGGAGGUUGUCUCAUAACUCCUCAAUGUAAAUUCAUACAAACUUUUGGUAUAUCUUUUGUCUUUCUUUUGGUAAGGUCUUUAUCAAUAUAUCUACUCCAUUAUCAUCUCUAUGAAUUUUCUAAAGUUGCAACUGCUUUUCUUCAAGUAAAUUUUGAAUCCAAUGAUACCUGACAUAUAUAUGCUUUGACUUGAAAUGAAAAGUUGGGUUCUUACACAAAUAGAUGACGCUCUUACUUUCACAAUACACUAUAUAGUUUUUCUUUUUCAGUCAUAAUUUUUGUAAGAAUUCUUUUAUCCAUGAUAUUUACUUACAAACCUCUAUAGUAGUAAUAUAUUCUGCCUUUAUGGUGAAGAGAGCAAUAUACCUUUGCAAUCUGGAUUGCCAUGACACAACUCUCAUUGCAAAAGUAAAUACAAAACCUAAUGUAGACUUCCUCGUAUCAAUAUCUAUUGUCAUAUCUGCAUCUGUGUAACCUGUCAACACUGAUUGUCCACCUCCAUAGCUUAAACAAAAUAAUGACUCAUCUAAGUCUGGAUUAUUGCCAUGAAUGUAUCAUGCAACAAAUCAAUUGCAUUGGGUUUGCUUGAAGCCCAUCAUAUAUAUAGCUUGCUGUUAGCCUAAUGCAACACUCAUUCAUCUUAAAUUAUAGGAGUGAGAAUUAUAUUAUUCCUCACGAGAUUGUCAUUAUCAAUUAUAUUGUUGUUGAUUGAGUGUUGUCAAUUGAUAGUCGGUAUGAUUUGGUCUUAUUCUAAAGUUGCAAGGUCGUCCGAGGAUCCCUCAUGGUUGUCUGGCGAGGUGGUUGGUGUGGUGCCGACGAAUCUAAGGUGGUUUCUGAGGAUCUAGGACGGACUUUGGUCUUCUUGGUGGGUUCAUGCACAAAGGUUAAUGUCGGGAGGAGUUUCCCGACUCGACUCGACCCCUUCGAUGCUCAAAUUAGCUUUGUAAAGUUGCAUGGGGUAUAAAGGAUUAUCUUCAAGAGAAGUCAAACCCUUGGAUAGGCAUAAGGGGUUGACUUUUAUACCAAGCGAUCGAGGGGUUCGUUUGUAACUGUUGUAAUGCCCUCCACAUAGCAUUUUGUCCACGUGAGCGAUAGGCUUGAAUGACCUUUUGCGGGUUGUCGUCCACAAAGGCCGAUUGAUUGGGGACAUAUAUGAAGGAUCACUCGGGGAUCACUAUCUUUAGUGACCAACAUGAUUUAUACAUGUCGGGGAUCACUAUCUGAAGGAUCACUCGGGGAUCACUAUCUUUAUUUAUACAUGUUAAAAGAGAGUAUUUCCUUGAUCAGCAAGAUUUUCUUGUAUAGUUGGGGAAAUAGAAUCUUCUAAUAUGUAUAGACUUUAGAUGAUGACAAUGAUCCUCUAAUAGAAAGAAAAAUGAGGAUGAUGUGAACUUUAGAUGAAUAGAAUAGGACUUGUGAGAAUAAAUGGGAUGGAGCUUGACGAAAUCUUCGCUUGGAUUACGAUCUUAUUCUAGAGACUUGAGCUCGAGGAGAAGGGUCCCAAACCUAACGACACAAUGUCGAUGCCUAUACGUAUUCUCCUCCGUAGAUCAUGACCCACGACCAACUCUUGACCGUGUUGUUGUUGAUGAGGGCUUGUCGUCAACGAAGCUCCGAGGUCAUCCUAAUAUUUUAAGAAGGUUCAGAUGACCUGGGAGACUUCCAUCUCUCUCUGUUUGUGUUGGAAUUCUAAUGUAAACCCUUAUGUCAGGAUUAAUACUUAUAAUAAACCUUACACGAAGUUGGCUCUUUCCUAAUCGCUUAAGGUUUUGAGACUAACUGUAUCGUGAUAUUAAAAUAUAUUCGAGUGUGAAAUUUACAGUCAUGGAGCAAAGAUGAUGAUCCUCGUGAGUUUCUUUGGUCUUAGCUUAGUGGCGAGGAGUCACAAUCGAUUAGGAAAUCUGCUAAGCUGGCGCCGGCCAUUGAUUGACACAUCGAUGGUGCGUCGAGUGGAGGAAGACUAAUAAGUUCGUGGUCGUUCCCAUGGCGCAGCGGAAACCGUGUGCAAGCAGGGUUGAAGAAGGUGAACACGUCUUUCUUCCCCCGUUAAUUUCGCUCACCGCAUGUUGCAAGCCAAAGAUCAAAGGACUUUACAUGAACAGAGCAAGGCAAUGAAGAAUUAAACGUGUGGCGAUUAAUAUACUCCAAGAACCUUUUUGUGCUAAGUUAGGUUCUGAUGGUGUGACAUGUGGACUCGAGAAAUCUGACUUAACAGCCACCCAACAUCUCGGACUGAGACGAAACCAAAAGUAUACAUCGAUUGGCUCCGAACCUUACUCACAUGUCACACCAUCAGAACCUAUGUUAGCACAAUAAAGUUACUGGAGUAUAUUAAUCGCCACACCUUUAAUUCUUCAAUGCCAUACUCUCUUCAUGUAAAGUCCUUUGAUCUUUGAACACCAACGCCAGCAUUUUCGCCUCCGUCGUUGUCCUUGUCCCACCGCCACCUCUAGGCUGCGUUGUUCCUGGCGAAGACUCAGUCGUAGGACCUUCUCGUGGUUCUCACCGGGUAGACUGACUUCACUUCCAUCCCUCUCUACGUGUUGGAAUUAUACAUCGGAUGCUCAUGCGUCAUUGCGAGGAUGAAUACUGACAAACCGAACACAUCGGCUGCGGUUGUUUAGGAUGAUGACCGACCCAUUUAUUCCCAGCAGCCUCACCUGCACGAGACUUCCUCGGAGUUUCCCUUCUGCAUUACGUCAAUGAAUUCAUCUCAAACUCAGUUCAAGAGUACCGGCAUACGCAUUAGAUUCGGAUGCCCGAAAAGAAUCGAUCUACCGCCAUCCUUAUCUCUGUCCUUGACGAUGUUUGCACAGAGACGACUCGAUCCCUCACAAGUCAAUUGACUCAGUUGGUCGCUGGUGCAUCGACCAUAGAGGAAGACCAAAUAAAUGAAGGCGUGAAUGAGGCGGUGGCAACCGUGCGCGAAGCAGACUCGAAGAAGUGUGCUCGCGGCGCAGCGUGUCACAGAAAUAUAUAGGUUGUAAGAUUUUAUAUACUUCGAGGAUACGUUUCUUCUCAUGCUUAACCUCAAAGAAAGAAGGAAAUCACAUGAGUUACAGAUGAACACAACAGCAAUACAAAUAAAUUAUACGAAGCAAAGAUGAUGAGUGGAUGAGCACUUCCUCUAAGAGUCAUCCAGGAGUUAGUCAAAGUCUUCUUGUCUUCAUCCCAAAGCGCAGCCUCCCCUUGUCAUCUUCUCUUCCCUGGUGCAGGUCCCAUCCCACCCUCCUUCCCUAUAUAACAUGAACGAGGCCUUCGCCAAUCGUCACAGGCAAUCCACCAUGGCCUCCCGUAACCUCUCCUCCCUCCUCCUCGUCGUCCUCCUCGUCUUCGCCGGCUAUGCCGGUUCCCACGCCGGCAGCAUCGCCGUGUACUGGGGCCAGAACGGCAACGAGGGCGGCCUUGCCGACACCUGCAACACCGGCAUCUACUCGUACGUGAUGCUGGCUUUCCUCACCACCUUCGGCAACGGGCAAACCCCCGUCCUCAACCUGGCGGGCCACUGCGACCCCCCCUCCGGCACCUGCACCGGCCUCAGCUCCGACAUCCGCGCCUGCCAGUCCCAGGGCAUCAAGGUGCUCCUCUCCCUCGGUGGCGACUCCAGCAGCUACUCCCUGUCCUCCUCCGACGACGCCGCGAGCGUGGCGACGUAUCUGUGGGCCAACUACCUCGGCGGCUCGUCCAGUUCGCGCCCGCUGGGUGACGCCGUCCUCGACGGCAUCGACUUCGACAUCCAGCAUGGCGGCCCCGACCACUACAACGAGCUGGCGAAGCAGCUCUCCGACUUGGGCGGCCAGGCUGGGACCAAGGUGUACCUCUCGGCGGCGCCGCAGUGCCCCUACCCGGACCAGUCCUUGGGGAACGCGCUGCAGACGGGGCUCUUCGACUACGUGUGGGUGCAGUUCUACAACAACCCCAGCUGCGACUACUCGUCGGGGGUCAGCGGCCUGAGCAGCGCAUGGGGGACGUGGACGUCGAGCUUGUCGUCAUCGACCGUCUUCCUGGGGCUGCCGGCCUCGCAGGACGCGGCCGGGAGCGGGUACAUCCCGCCCGACGUCCUCACCUCCCAGGUGCUGCCGGCGAUCAAGACUGCGUCCAACUACGGCGGCAUCAUGCUGUGGAGCAGAUACUACGAUCUCAACAGCGGGUACAGCGCUGCCGUGAGGAACAGUGUUUGAGAUGGCGAUGUACUCACUACCAUAUGUGUGCUUCCGAUUACGAGGUCAUGAAUAAGGCGGGACAGUGAUAGAAAGGUGUUCCAGAUUGAUGUGACGAUGCGUCCCAAUAAAAUAAAGAUUGCGUGUUUUUAUGGAGGCAUUGAGGUGGUCAGAGUAAUAAAUAAUACAUAAGUGAUAUAUCUUAAAUUUAAAUUUAGAUGUGAGCAUCAUAUUUGAGUACACGAGUAUCAUGUCCGUUAUUUAUAGUACUAUUUUUUUUUAUUUUAUAAAAAUAAAAAAAUAUAUAAAGUAUGCUUGACACGUGAAAUAAUUAAAAUAAACCCAUAGACGGACCAAGAAAGGUGGUGUAUCGAUGACAAUUGAUGCAAAUAACAAAUUCAGCAAAUAUUCAUGAAUUGAUGAUGGCUUCGUUAAUUAAGAGACAAGUUUGCAUAUUAUAAACAAGCUGGUUUUUCUCGUUUCUAAUAAAAACAUUCUAUAGGCUGAUCGCAUUGAAAUAAACUUUAUCUUAUAAACAAUGGAAUUAUAUUUUUAAUUAUUUGUUCUGUAAGCUCUUCUUCAUAUAUUCGUUUCUUUGAUCAUGCAAGACGUAGUUUGGUCGGAGAUGACGUACUUUGUCCGCAAAGAAGAAACUCGAGGAUGUGUAGGCCUUCCUUCACCUUUAAAAAAAUGUUCUCGACAUAAUAAAAAUACUUCUAUUUUUAAUAAAGCAUUUUAUACGAGAAAGCUUUCACUAUUAGACUUUUAUUAAAUAGAAAUGAUGCUUCUCUAAUUGGUUUUUACACGAGACAUCCUUUGCCUCUAUCUCUUUGCCUUCGGUCAUUGAAUAUGACCUUUCUAACCAACAUGGAAUGUUGUCUAAUCAUAAUUCCUCAUGCGUUUCUUCCGAAUGGGCCAUAUGCCCCUAAUUUUUGAAUCGAUGUUCAUGUUGGGUUAGGGUCCGAAUAAAUUGAGGUUUACCCAACAAAAUAAUGACUCGUCUAAGUUUGGUCUGUUGCCGUGAAUGUUUCAUGCGACGAAUCAAUUGCAGUGGAUUUGCUUGAAGCUCACCAUAUAUGUUCUUGCUGUCAACCCAGUGCGACGCUCAUUAAUCCUAUAUUAUAGGAGUGAGAAUUAUAUUAUUCCCGGGGAGAUUAUCAUUACCAACGAUAUUGUUGUUUGCUGAGUGUUACAGUUUGAUCUUGUUUUUGAAGACGUAAGGUCAUUUGAGGAUCCCUCGUGGCUGUCUGUCUGGCGAGGGAGCUAGUGUGGCACCGAAGAAUCUGAGAUAGUUUCUAAGGAUUCGAGAUGGACUUCGAUCUUCCCAGGUUCCUGCACAAAGGUUAGUGUCGGGCGGAGUUUCCCGACCUGACUUCUCCGAUGUUCAAAUUAGUUUUGUGGAGUUGUGUGAGGUAUAAAGGGUUUUUGUGAAAAGAGGUCCGACCCUUGGGCAAGCGUCGGGGGUUGGCUUUUAUACCUGGGCGAUCAAGGAGAUCGUUUGUUAAUAUUAUAAUGCCCUCCGCAUAGCAUUUUGUCCAUGUGAAUGAGAGGCCCGAGCGAUCCUCUACAGGUUAUCGUCUACAAAGGCCAACUGAGUGGGGAUAUAUCAGAAGGAUCACCCGGAGACCACUAUUCUUGGUGAUCGACAAAAUUAAUCGGAACGAUCUCCCGUGAACUAUUAUCUAUGAGGGCCGCCAAGUGCCCCACGAUGCUAUCGAGUUGGGAGGUGAUUUACCCUUACCUUCCAUGUCGACAUCUCGGUGGCGAUCAACUAUAAAGCUAGUUUUGUCAAAAUAUUUCCUAUUAGAUAUAUGAACCUGAUGUAAGAUGGGAACCUUUAACUCUAUCGAUAUUUCAUUAUCAUGAACUUACCUUAAUUUAUCUAAACCGUAUAUCACAUUCAUGCAAAGAGUUAAUCUUUCAAUGUGAAAAAAUAGAUAGUGACAUGUGAAUGCACUAUAAUAGUGACUUGGCUUAAAGCAUAAACUAAGAUUGCACUAGCAUCAUCGAAUAAAAUAAUUUAGUGGCAUGCUUUCACUUAUGCUCGAUAGCUUCUUGUUUUCUUUACUAGAACAAAAAUACAUUGCUUUAAAAGUAGCUUCAAGUAGGAAUUGAACUGCUUUAGUAGCUUCAUGUUCGAUCUUAUACAAUGUAUAGACUUGGAGAAAGAAAAACGAGGAUGAUGCAAGCCAAAAUUAACGAACUUUAAAUGAAUAGUCUAAGACAUGAGAGAAUAAAUGAGUUAGAGACCGGCGAAGCACCAUUAAGUGAUGAGAUAAAAAGAGAAUUUUGUAUACGAACAAAUAAAUCAUAACACGUAGCAGAAUUAAAUGAAAAUCAUAGUCAAAUAUAAUAUCAAAAUUUACGUAAAAAAUCUCUCCAACACGAAGGGUAAAAACCAUAGGGUAAGCAAGAGAAAAUCUACUAUAAAAAUAAUGAAUAUACAAAUCUCAGAGUCUUUUGCCCAAAACCCAAGCAACAAUCACAAGAGAAUAACUAUGAUAUAAGGAUUACGUCAUUGUGCAUAAUAUCUAAAAUCUCCUCAAGUGAUCACAACAAGAAUCUACAAUAAAUCUGAUCUAAUAUGAUAUUAUAAUACUUCUUGGAUGAUUGAGAAUAGUCUCUAUAUUGUCCUUGUCUUCUUUCCUUUCCUUCUUCUCUUGUUUUUCUUUCCUCAACUAUCACUGCUGCUUCUCUCUUUUUUACAACCAUCGCUGCCCUCUUUUUUUGCCCUAGAAACCAUACUUCUUGGUUAAAAGAGAAAAGAGUUAAGAUUAAAGUGGGCUGUGAAUAAUUAAAGCCUACUAUGAGUUGAAUAAUGAGUCAUUUGCCCAACAAUCUUCCUCUUCAGCCCAUAAGGGAGGUUGUCUCAUGACUCCUCAAUGUGAAAUCAUACCGACAAACUAUUGGUAAUCUUUUGCCUUUAUUUUGGUAAGGUCUUUAUCAACAUAUUUGCUCUAUUACCAUCUGUAUGAAUUUUCUAAAGUUGUAACUGCUUCUCUUCAAGUAUAUUUCGAAUCCAAUGGUAUCUGACAUCUAUAUGCUUUGACUUGGAUUGAAAAGUUGUGUUCUUACACAAAUAGAUGACGCUAUGACUUUCACAAUACACUACAUAGUUUUUUUUUUUUCGGUCAUAAUUUUUGUAAGAAUUUUUUUAUCCAUAAUAUUUCUUUGCAAACCUCUAUAGUAGUAAUAUAUUCUGCCUCUAUGGCGGAGAGAGCAAUAUACCUUUGCAAUCUGGAUUGCCACGACACAACUCCCCUUGUAAAAGUAAGUACAAAACCUAAUGUAUACUUCAUUGUAUCAAUAUCUAUUGUCGUAUCUGCAUCUGUGUAACCUGUCAAUAUAGAUGGUCCACCUCCAAAGCUUAAAAAAAAUAAUGACUCAUCUAAGUCUGGAUUGUUGCCAUGAAUGUAUCAUGCAACAAAUCAAUUGCAUUAGGUUUGCUCGAAGCCCACCAUAUAUGUUGCUUGAUGUUAGCCCAGUGCAACACUCAUUCAUCCUAAAUUAUAGGUGUGAGAAUUAUAUUAUUCCUCAUGAGAUUGUCAUUAUCAAUUAUAUUGUUGUUGCCUGAGUGUUGUCAAUUGAUAGUCGGUAUGAUUUGGUCUCAUUCUAAAGUUGCAAGGUCAUCCGAGGAUCCCUCGUGGUUGUCUAGCGAGGUGGUUGGUGUGGUGUCGAUGAAUCUAAGGUAGUUUCUGAGGAUCUAGGAUAGACUUUGGUUUUCUUAGUGGGUUUAUGCACAAAGGUUAAUAUCGGGGGGAGUUUCCCGACCCGACUCGAUCUCUCUGAUGUUCAAAUUAGCUUUGUGAAGUUGCGUGGGGUAUAAAGGAUUUUCUUAAAGAGAAGUCCGACCCUUGGACAGCCAUCAGGGGUUGACUUUUAAACCUAGGCGAUCGAGGGGAUCGUUUGUAACUGUUGUAAUGCCCUCCACAUAGCAUUUUGUCCAUGUGAGCGAUAGGCUCGAAUGACCUUUUGCGGGUUGUCGUCCACAAAGGCCGAUUGAGUGGGACAUACCUGAAGGAUCACCCGGGGAUCACCAUCUUUAGUGACCGACAUGAUUUUCCCAAACGACCUCCCGUAUACUAUUGUCCAUAGGAGUUGAUAGGUGCCCCACGAUGGGGUGACAAACCUGACGAUGGAGGCUUGAAUAGCUUGGAGGAUGAGAUGAUCUUGGGGUAAUCAUAGUUUAUGGGCUGGAUUUAGUACUAGACUAGGGUCUUCUAGGAUAUUGAUAAUUGUGAUGGACAAUGAAGAGAGCUAUUGACACAGUCUCGUAGAUCGUAUCCAAAUAGGAGAUUAGAAAAUUAUGCACGUCAAGAUGUGUAGUUGUCAUCUUUAGAUAAUUUAAAAGGGAUGAGUGUUACUUGAUGGUGAUAAGACAUAUGUUGAGAAGUGAUAUAUUCCCUGAGGGGAUAAUAACUAGAGCGUUAGAGGUAGAUGAUAAAGAUAUUUUGAGGAUAGGUAUAUGAGAGAGUAAGGGAGUUGUCAGCUGUAGAAGGAGAGUGGAAGAUGGCUCCAAUGAGGAUCGUAGUGAUUGCUGCAGCAGGUUGAGGUAUCUUCUUCUUCGCCCCUCUAGGAGGUCUCAGAUCCUUAGACAGAGAUAUUUAUCGAAGGAGGCAUUUGGGCGAGCAGAUCUUAAUGGGCUGAAGGUGCGGCCUGGAGGAGCAGUUCUAAUGGCGAAAGGAGAAGUUGAAGGAAGUUUGUUUCUGGAGCGAUUGGGUCUCGAUCGAGGAAAUCUCGCUGAUCAGUUGAGGGAAUUCCUUUCUUCUAACAUGUAUAAAUAGACAUUGUAUUCAACUAAUUGAAGAGUGCUUUGUCAUUACAUUUCAUUUUCUCAUGCUAUCAGAGUUGUAGUGAGCGAACGCUAGCGCAGAGCGACAGAGGGAGAAGAUAGACAGUCGUUGUUCGUUUAGGAGGAAAUCAGUGAUCUGAUCAACAAUCACUAAAGGUGGCAGCACCUGCGCUUCCUUUGGGAGCAUCGUCCGUGGUGAAGAGAGAAGAAAUAGGGAUGCUACACUAAAGGGAAGGGAUCGCCUUGCGCACGAACGCAGAUCAUCAGUCGUCGGUCGCCUUGCACUUGCUUGGGAGGUGGAGACCUUUGACAGGAGAUGUGGCACUUGCGUUUGGAGUAGCAGAGGCAACAACAAGAGCAGAUUCUCGAGUAAGUGACGCAAGCUUCCAUGAUCUUGAUGUCGGUGUAGCAAGAGGAGGCACUCCUCGUGCGCAGCUUGCAAUCUACAAGGUGUGCUGGGGUGCGCGGCUAGCAAUCUACAAGGUGUGCUGGGAUGUCAGGUUUGAGGAUGCUUGGAGUGGCAAAAUUUUGUCCUCUCGAUGAGAAGUAUGCAACAGAAGGCACCGGUGAGCAGCUGAACCGGUGCCGGGUGGUGGGCUCGAAAGGUGCGGGCGUUGGCUUUGCGCUUGCCACCGUUCUCCUCAAAGGCUACACGGAGGCGACCAAUGAGGGCGUCAGGGAGAGCUUUUCUGCCGGAUGAAGAGCCUUGAGGGAGGAAGAAGUGGCAGUAUAAGUUGCCUCAUCUAGACGACCAAGACACACAAUGGAAGCCACCUCGUCUAGGCGACCGGGACCGAUGAUUCGUUGAUGGAGAGGAAGGUAUAGUAGCAGACAAGGUGGAUACGGAGGAUCUCGUUGAUCUACUCCUCAUUGGCCUCGCAAGCAUGAUGUUGUCAUGCUAGUGGCGAUACUGAUAGAAGGUGAGUUAGCUAUCGCUGAACAUCGAGGAAGAGAAGAGAAAUCUUGCUAUAACGCAAGGGCUCUGAUACUGAUAAAAUGAAAUGUAAUGAUAAAGUACACUUCAAUUAGUUGAAUACAAUAUCUAUUUAUACAUGUAAGAAGAGAGGAUUUAUCUGAUCAGUAAAAUUUUCUCGUAUAGUUGAAGAAAUCUUAUCUGUUAUGAGGAUCUUCUAAUAUGUAUAGACUUUAGACGAUGAGAUGAUCUUCUAAUAGAAAGAAAAAUGAGGAUGAUGUGAACUUUAUAUGAAUAGAAUAAGACAUGGAAGAAUAAAUGGGAUGGAGAUUGACGAAAUCUUCACUUGGAUUACCAUCUUAUUCUAAAGACUUGAGCUGGAGGAAAAGGGUCCCAAACCUAACGACACAAUGUCGAUGCCUAUACGUAUUCUCCUCCGUAGAUCAUGACCCACUACCAACUCUUGACCGUGUUGUUCUUGACGAGGACUAGUCAUCAACGAAGCUCCGAGGUCACCCUAAUAUUUUAAGAAGGUUCAGAUGACCUGGGAGACUUCCAUCUCUCUCUGUUUGUGUUGGAAUUCUAAUGUAAACCCUUAUGCCAGGAUUAAUACUUAUAAUAAACCUUACACGAAGUUGGCUCUUUCCUAAUCGCUUAAGGUUUUGAGACUAACUGUAUCUCAAUCAAAAUUCGUAUCGUGAUAUUAAAAUAUAUUCGAGUGUGAAAUUUACAGUCAUAGAGCAAAGAUGAUGAUCCUCGUGAGUUUCUUUGGUCUUAGCUUAGUGGCGAGGAGUCACAAUCGAUUAGGAAAUCCGCUAAGCUGGCGCCGGCCAUUAAUUGACUCAUCGAUGGUGCGUCGACUAUGGAGAAAGACUAACAAGUUCGUGGUCGUUCCCAUGACGCAGCGGAAACCGUGUGCAAGCAGGGUUGAAGAAGGCGAACACGUCUUUCUUCCCCCAUUAAUUUCGCUCACCGCAUGUUGCAAGCCAAAGCUCAAAGGGCUUUACAUGAACAGAGUAUGGCAUUGAAGAAUUAAAGGUGUGGCGAUUAAUAUACUCCAUUAACCUUUUUGUGCUAACUUAGGUUCUGAUGGUGUGACAUGUGAGUAAGGUUCGGAGCCAAUCAAUGUUUACUUUUGACUCCGUCUCAGUCCGAGAUGUUGGGUAGCUGUUAAAGUCAGAUUUGUCGAGUCGAUUGCCUCGGCUAGUCGCUGGUGCAUCGUUUGACUAUGAACACCAACGUCAGCAUUUUCGCCUCCGUCGUUGUCCUUGUCCCACCGCCACCUCUAGGCUGAGUUGUUCCUUGCGAAGACUCGGUCGCAGGACCUUCUCGUAGUUCCCACCGGGGAGACUGACUUCACUUCCAUCCUUCUCUACGUGUUGGAAUUAUACAUCGGAUGCUCAUGCUUCAUUGCGAGGAUGAAUACUGACAAACCGAACACAUCGGCUGCGGUUGUUUAGGAUGAUGACGACCCAUUCAUUCCCAGCAGCCUCAUCUGCACGAGACUUCCUCGGAGUUUCCCUUCUGCAUUACGUCAAUGAAUUCAGUCUCAAAAUCAGUUCAAGAGUACCGGCAUACGCAUUAGAUAGAUCGAAUAGAGUCGGAUGCCCGAAAAGAAUCGAUCUACCGCCAUCCUUAUCUCUGUCCUUGACGAUGUUUGCACAGAGACGACUCGAUCCCUCACAAGUCGACUGUCUCAGUUGGUCGCUGGUGCAUCGACCAUAGAGGAAGACCAAAUAAAUGAAGGCGUGAAUGAGGCGGUGGCAACCGUACGCGAAGCAGACUCGAAGAAGUCUGCUCGCGGCGGAGCGCGCCACAGAAAUAUAAUAGAUUGUAAGAUUUUAUAUACUUCGAGGAUACGUUUCUUCUCAUGCUUAACCUCAAAGAAAGCUGGAAAUCACUUAAGCACAUGAGUUACAAAAAAACACUACAGCAAUACAAAUAAAUUAUACGAUGCAAAGAUGAUGAGUAGAUGAGCGCCUCUUCUAAGAGUCAUCCAACAGUUAGUCAAAGUCUUCAUGUCUUCAUCCCAAAGCGCAGCCUCCCCCUGUCAUCUCCUCUUCUCUGGUGCAGGUCCCAUCCCACCCUCCUUCCCUAUAUAACAUGAACGAGGCCUUCGCCAAUCGUCACAGGCAAUUCACCAUGGCCUCCCGUAACCUCUCCUCCCUCCUCCUCGUCGCCCUCCUCGUCUUCGCCUUCUCUGCCGGCUCCCACGCCGGCAGCAUCGCCGUGUACUGGGGCCAGAACGGCAACGAGGGCGGCCUUGCCGACACCUGCAACUCCGGCAUCUACUCGUACGUGAUGCUGGCUUUCCUCACCACCUUCGGCAACGGGCAAACCCCCGUCCUCAACCUGGCGGGCCACUGCGACCCCCCCUCCGGCACCUGCACCGGCCUCAGCUCCGACAUCCGCGCCUGCCAGUCUCAGGGCAUCAAGGUGCUCCUCUCCCUCGGUGGCGACUCCAGCAGCUACUCCCUGUCCUCCUCCGACGACGCCGCGAGCGUGGCGACGUAUCUGUGGGACAACUACCUCGGCGGCUCGUCCAGCUCGCGCCCGCUGGGCGACGCCGUCCUCGACGGGAUCGACUUCGACAUCGAGCAUGGCGGCCCCGACCACUACGACGAGCUGGCGAAGCAGCUGUCCGACUUGGGCAGCCAGGCGGGGACCAAGGUGUACCUCUCGGCGGCGCCGCAGUGCCCCUUCCCGGACCAGUCCUUGGGGAACGCGCUGCAGACGGGGCUCUUCGACUACGUGUGGGUGCAGUUCUACAACAACCCCAGCUGCGACUACUCGUCGGGGGUCAGCGGCCUGAGCAGCGCAUGGGGGACGUGGACGUCGAGCUUGUCGUCGUCGAUCGUCUUCCUGGGGCUGCCGGCCUCGCCGGACGCGGCCAAUAGCGGGUACAUCCCUCCCGACGACCUCACCUCCCAGGUGCUGCCGGCGAUCAACACUGCGUCCAACUACGGCGGCAUCAUGCUGUGGAGCAGAUACUACGAUCGCAACAGCGGGUACGGCGAGAAAGUGAAGAGCAGUGUUUGAGAUGGCGAUGUACUAACUACUAUAAGUGUGCUUCCGAUUACGAGGUCAUGAAUAAGGAGGGACGGUGAUAGAAACGUGUUCCAGAUUGAUGUGACGAUGCGUCCCAAUAAAAUAAAGAUUGCAUAAAGCCGUCCCGUGAAACGAUUGAAAUCAAAGGCGGCGCUCGCUGGAAUACGGUUGGAAUCGAUUGGACUCGAACUAAAACUUCAAAUCAGUUCGAUAAUUAGUGGAUUCUAAAUCGAAUUGGAGUUUUGAAAUUUAAAAUCGAUAAUUCUCAAAACGAUAGUUCAGAUUUUAAAAAAUAAUUAUAAAUAAAUUAUAAUUUUUUAUUUUAAAUUAUUUUUAAAUUAAAAAAAUCGAAAUCGUCCUGUUUCAAUUUCGAUUCUUUUUUUGAAAAUUUAGUAACCCGAAUUUGUCGAUUAUGAAACUUUGGUUAGGUGUAAUGAAAGGGUGUCUUAUGACAUUGGCGUAAAUAAUAAAUUCACCAAAUAUUCAUAUAAUAAAAACAUUCCAUGGACUGAUCACAUCGAAUUAUGUAUUCUAAAAGCUCUUCUUCGUAUUCCUUUCUGCGGUGAGCAGCAAAUCAUAAAUUGAAGGUUGAGUGAGACAAAAUACAAGAAAAACACAGACAGUCAUGUUAAUGGGCAGAUUUGUUGGGUCUCAGAACUCGGUAAGGAGAAAACCAACAUGAUGCUGUUAAAAGUUCUUCCGAACCAGAAUCAGUGGAAUGCAUCCAUGUCAGAAACCUUAUAGAACACUAAUGAAAGGUUGAGAAGACGAAGGUGCAGGCUUUUUGGAGGAUCAGACAAGGAAUGGUGACGUCAAAAGGUCGGGGAAAAGCUUGCAAGAAAAACCAACUCCUCACAGUGGUGUGUACGAAGCUGCGCUAAGUUGGAUCCUCUGCUCUGGUCAGAGAUGUUUAGGUCUCAACAAUAUAUAUCUAUAUAUAUAUAUAUAUAUAUACACACACACAUCACGCGCACCCCUUUCUCUCUCUCUCUCUCUCGCUCGCUGCGCUGAAACCAAACGGCACUGAAGAAAUCCGCUUCCCGUUUGGUGUUCUCUGCCUGUCUAUUUGGUUGUUUGCUUUCGAGCAGCCGAGAGGACUGUUUCAUUUUGCUCCUUUUUUAUCUCUUGGGGACUGUCAAUCUCGAUCCCGAAGCAAAGCUGCCUUCUUUUGGGUGUCGUUUUCUGUGGCCGGAUCAGAAGCUGUAAGAUAAGUACUGCGGAAGCCCGCACGGCCGCCCGCUUCCCACUCCCGCGCUCCCUUCCGCGGUGGGAUGCGAACAAAAGCGGUUCGUGCCAACAACCUCUCUCCGCCAUUAUCGCGCCCGACUCGGAGCUCUGGUUAUAUUUUGGUGGGACGAAUAAGGGAAAGUUGGGGGUUUGCGCCGAGCGGAACCGAAAAGAUCGGAUCUUGGCGUCUCUUUCUUCUUCUGCAGCGGUAUGGCUCGAAGCUUGUUUAUCCUGUCUUUCUCGUCCUUGUCUCUAGGUUUUCAAUUCUGCCUGCCGUCCGUGAACAGGGAAUAUUUGCUUUGGAAUGAAUAUCCCAAUUCCUGUCUUCAAUAUCUUCUGGCCCAACCAUGGAUGCUGAUCUUGAAUUGGAGGUGAUUUGCCCCCGUUGGCAAUAUGGCUUACACCCAACAUUUGCUGGCAAUUUGAUGUAUAAUUCAGUACCUUUGUUGUGAAAUGUCCUAUGACCUCUUCUUUUCCGAUGUUUAUUUUAUAGAUCUUUUUCAUUCGAAUUCUGAGGCAUUUUAGGUAUAGAUUCCUCUUUCCUGACAUUGUUCUUGUGUUUUCUGGUUCUAGUAAUCAAGUUUUUUGUACUAGUAGUUUGACUUUAUUCACUUCGAUGCAUCCAUAUUACAUACUGCUUGGUCUUAAUAACGUGUAUUUAGAUAUGAAAUGCUUCAUCCUUCAUGUUCUUAUUCCACUCUCUACAGAACAAUUUGUCCUCUCUCAUGGAGAGUGACCAAUCAUGGGAAUCUCUGUCUGCUAGCUACUCUGGAAGCAAGGAUAUCGAGCGCAAACAUGUCUCUGAGGGUAACAAUCGAGUGACAGUAUCUAUGGUUUCCUUGGACAGCAUUCUUCCUGAUGACGUUUUAGAGAAAAUAUUCUCUUUUCUGCCCAUUGCAAGCGUCAUCAGGGCUGCAUCUGUGUGUAAAGUUUGGUAUCAUAUCAUCCACUCGAUGAGGUUUAUAUGGGCAAACAAGUUACCACAGAAGCCAUGGUACUUCAUGUUUACCUUUAAUGAGGCUGCAGCAGGUUACGCAUAUGAUCCGGUUCUUCGGAAAUGGUAUAACAUUGAUCUCCCUUGUAUCGAGAAAAGUAAUUGGUUCGUUUCUUCUUCCAAUGGAUUAGUUUGCUUCAUGGACAAUGAUACUCGGAGCCGUAUUUUUGUUUGCAACCCAAUUAUAAGAGACUGGAAAAGGAUUUUGGAGCCUCCGGGUGUUGUUUUCCCUGAUUACAGUUCUCUUGCCAUCUCUGUAGAUAGAAGUUCUCACCGUUAUACGAUAGUUGUCAUCAAAUCUAAACAGGUGCCUGAUGAUUUUUCACAGUGGGACUUCUCCAUUCACACAUACAAUUCUGAGAGUGAGUCAUGGGAAUCUUCCAUAAAUACGGUUUUGUCUGGAUGGAGGGGAGGUGAUGAAAGUGUGAUCUGCAAUGGAGUACUAUAUUGUUUGAUUCAUUCUACCGGUGUUGUGGGAAAUGCUGACCUCCGACAUAGACUGAUGAUGUAUGAUAUCUCAGCCACAACACCACAUGUUUCGUCGAUGCAGGUGACCAUACCGGUACCCUGUUCCCUCACCUGCGGUCGGCUGAUCAACCUCAAAGAAAGACUAGUGAUGGUUGGUGGAAUUGCAAAGUAUGACAAGCCAGACAUCAUCAAAGGGAUUGGAAUUUGGGAACUUGAUGCAGGAGAGUGGGUAGAGGUUGCUCGUGUGCCUCACAGGUUCUUCCAGGGGUUUGGUGAGUUGGAUGAUGUCUUUGCGAGCAGCGGUACCGAGGACUUGAUCUUUAUACAGAGCUAUGGGGCUACAGCUUUGCUUGUUUUUGACAUGAGCCAGAAGCAGUGGAAAUGGUCUGCUAAGUGCCCUGUGACCAAACGAUUCCCUCUCCAGCUUUUUACCGGUUUCUGCUUUGAACCUCGGCUUGAAAUGGUCUCCUGAUCUCUGCUGUUCUCUAGUGUUGGGACCGAGUAACAGUUUGCUAAAGUGUCUUUAAAUUUUUGUAGGGUUUCAGGUGCUGGUUUCUUGGUACAGAAAAAUCAUGUGUCGUGUUAUUUGAUGUUUUCUCUUCUUUUUUUCCUUUAUCUUGAUCAUGUGAUGGCACAAAGUGACAUAUGGAAUGGCAAGUGUUUAAAACGACAGGUUCUCCUAUAAAAGAAAAAGGUUCAAACAUUAUCAUCUUGAGCUUUCUUCUGGAUCUCAUGUUUGCUGGGUUUGCUAGUAAUCAGUAGCAAAUUUGCUCUUAAUUCCCUUUCUGGAGUUCUUUUUACUUGUUUGUGCCCAUCUGCUUUGUCUUUGGUCUUCUUGUUGUUUCAGUGAUAGGUGCAUUACCUUCAGGGCUUUUGUUUUAGGUCCCCAUUAAGUGAAAGCAUUCCUGUGUGGCUCUCAUUGCAUUAGCUAAAAUUGAACAUUGUCCCAGAAGAAUCAGGGUUGCAGACAUUUAAUCCAGUCUACAUGCAUCAAAUUGUAGCUUUGUUCUUGUCUACAUUUCUAACCUCCUUUACUGCUUUAUAUUUACUAGGCUGUACAAGGAACAUAGCUUUCUGCUUUAAUGUCUCAAAAUGUGCAGCUUAAAGUAAUGUUUCUGUUACACCUUGGAGGCUGCUUCAAGUUUGUGCCAUUAGCAUAUCUCUUCUAUAGAUUAGCAACUUUUCUGUCCUCACUGAACUUUAUUCGUCGUCUUCCAAUCGAUCGAUAUUUUUAUCAAACAUUGAUCAUAUACCGGAUGAAUGUCGAUACAUUUCAUGGUGAGUUAUGAAUGACUUGCACAGUCCAUUUGCAUAUGUUUCCAGUUGCAUGAUAAUUAGAUUGAUGGCAGCAGCUCUGCAUGCAACAUGGAAAAUCAAUGGCUCACAUGAUGACAAUGUUUGCAACAUGUCAUGUGGGGCUUGUGUAACCCUGUAAAGAUUCAAGGCCAUAGCAGGCUGACUCCUCUCCUGUUUAUUUUCUUGGAAGAUAUGACAGCCAAGAUUCAAAUGGAUGAUGCCUUGGCUGACAUUGAUUUAUCCACCCUUGUGCAAUAGUUCUAAUUGCAAGAGAGCAGCUCAAGUUCCCUCUGACAUGAUUUGCAAUUUUCUGUAGGAAGGAACAGAGUACCCAUAAGUUAUCUGGCAGGUGUUCUUUCUUUUCCAAAUCCAUAUGAUGCAUGGUGGUGAGUUGCCCCAUGAAAGAUCAAAUGUUGAGAGCAGGCAAAUUAAAAGGACACUGUAGAUGUUUGAGGUGGAAAUAGGUUUUUUCUUCUCUGCUCUUCAUAUCUUCGGCCAACAAGAUCUGUCAUAGAUUUGGUAGGGAGGACAGUGAAAUAUGAAGAGCAACUACCAACUACUGAUCAAGGACACUGCAGGCAAAGAUCUGGUAGGGAAGACAGUGAAAUCUGAUGCCACAUCUGGCUUCUUGUGUGUCAACUAUGAGUGGAGCCCAAGGCAACUACCAAUUACUGAUCAAUGGAUGUCAGCUGGUGGCUGAGACUGUAAGUCUCUUUCCAUUCAGCAUUCCACACGCUGUCCUUUUCCAUGUUUAAAGUAAAUUUCUUUCCUUUUCUUCCUUGCAUGGUGUACUGAGAUGAUGAAUGCACCAUUCAUCUGUGCAUGAAUCCAAACCAAGUUCAGAAAGAUGACUUCUUCUUGUGCAUAUGAACAAGAGCCAGACACAGAGCUGGGGACCAAUUGCAGCCCAUUCAACAUUUGUCCUAGAUCUUUGGGUCAGGUUUGACAAACUUGAUCAACUACUGAAUGCACUUGAAAGGAGUUCCUUUUCGAAGGGGUAAGCAAGAAGAUGGAACAGAAGUGUUCCAGCCUCUUGGUCCAUAUACAGUAGCAGUGAUGAAGAAGCAGAGCUGCACCAACGCGGAAAGAGAGGAAAGAUCGAAGCUUGAAGAUAACGAGCAGAAGAAUCGAUCCGACGCCUCUAAUCUGCCCCCACGAAUUUGCCUCAUCUGCGGGGAAAGAUGCCAUCUUGCAAUCAAAAUCAGAUCAGGCAAAGGGAGGAGAAGCGCAGGGAUAUGCACGUCGUUAGGAGGGCGACCGUCCACCGGAAUCCGGUGAACUCGAGGGAGCUGUAGCGCGAGGGAAAGAGGCCAAUGGGUUACGGGUUUUGUCACGAGGCCAGAAUUAUAACCACUAGCUGUUGAACUGGGCAGCCCGAACCGACCAACCAAGGCGACGAACCCGGUUCGAUCCGAACAGUUUAAGGAAUUCGAUAAAACCCUCGAAUCACUAAAACAAAACCUCACCGUCAGAUUCCAAGACAGCCCUCCGCAUCCACCCAAAACACCCCAUUGCCUGAGGUCCUCUUCUUCGUUCCAAUUAAGAUGCGUCUUGAGAUCUUAGCUCCACUUCAGGUAACAUCGAGUAAAUCUGGUAGCAAUUAGAAUUCUUCCCGAAAGAUGCGCGACAAAUCGAUUUGUUUGAUGGUGUAAUUAUGUCUACGAAAUGUGUUUCUUGUUUAACGUUCUUCGUCCAAUUUUUUUUUCUGACAAAAAAAAAUCAAUUUUUGAUUGAGGUAUUCAAGUUGGAGCAUUUCGAUCUAAGAGCCAAAGUGCAAAAAAUCUUGAUUCUUAAGUGAAGUACAACUCAGUUGCAGAGGUUGGGGGAUUUUAAGCUGUCUCAUAUCUUCAACUAUCAACCCUACUUCACGUAAUCUCCCAAACCACUAACUUCUCUAAGAUUUUCAAUUUUUUUAUGUUGAUUAGGAACAGAAAAUGGUAAUUAUCACAAUCUGCUUCCAACCUAAAUUUAUGAGUUGGGAUUUUGUAUGGUUCUUGUGUUGAGCAUGUGUUGAUUAGGAAAGAAAUCACUCAUCUCAGAGACACCUCUCACUUCUGCUUCGGCCAAAUAAGAAAUAAACUGACAUGUUUAUUUUGAUUUAUCGAAAAAAGUUAUGGUUGUUGACUAUUUUUAUGAUUGUUGUGGUGGACACAAGUUGAUGGCUGCACUACAAUCUGUAGGCUCCUUCACUUCUAAUUUACACUUUGGGAAUAAUAAGUACAUUUGUAGGGUAAUAAUCUCAGUUUCCUGUGUAUGAGCAUAACCAGCAUAACAUACCAACUGUUAUUGGGGUUGUGCUCCUGAGCUUUGCUGGGAAGUUUUAGGAUGAAACAUUCCCAAUCAGGGGUUAAUAUGAUAAAAAAAUGACUUGAACCAGUUUCCGAUUUCGGCAAUAUGAAGAUGGUAUUAGGAGAAAAAAAGAUAGUGAAGAGAAAGGAUGGAGUAGAAAAGAUUAGAGAAGGAUUAAUGGGGAAGGCAGAAGCUAGCUGCUCUUUUUCCAAUGACAAAUUAAAAACCAGUUGCAGGGCUUAUUUUUUGUAUCGAAUGAGUCUCUUAUUGAUAAAGGUUCAAUCUGCAAUCCACUUCUUAAUUUUGUUAGAACUCCUAAAUAAAGCGAAAAAUGAAAAGCUACCUUUGAUUACCAAACAUAAUUGAAGCUUAACACUUGACCAGGAUGCCCAAGAUGACCCUACAGAGUACUGGUAUCACACUGGUACCGGCACCAUAUCAAGAAUUGAGACCUUGACCAUGCAUUCAAGAUUUAUGCUGUUCUUAAUCAUAUAAAAUGUCUUCACUCUACAGAAGUUGAAUAAAGCAUCUUAUCUUACCUUAUGCUCUUUUUAGUCCGCGGCCAGUAUCGGAAACACGUGAGUAGCAAGUGCAACUACGGAAGGAGUUGAUUCUUCACUACGGCAAACGUCAAAAGAUAUUUGUCCCCUCUUUUCUAGUCCAGACAUUGGGAAUCAGUAAUACGUUAUAAAUUGUUACAUAAUGAAAUCUGCAUAGCAGGAAAUGACAAUCGAAAAUUGAACAUGUUCAUUUUAACUUCAAGAUGCAUAACUUUUGACUCUUUUUCAUACUGCAUUUGUUAGAUUUAGCAUCACCGGUCUGUUGCCCAAAAUUCUCCACAGAAUAUAUGGUCUCUCUCGACUGCCAUGUUGAUUGCAUGCCUUUCUUUUAGGAUCUUUCCUGUGGUUUGCAGGAUCUUUAUGCCAUGAGGUGAGACAAGGUAAUCUUGCGUCUCUUGUUAAUGAAGGUUGGUUGUCAUCCACUUAUCGAAAUCCUCAUUCUCUGUGAACCAGUGUAAAACCAGAAUUAUAAAUUGUAGAAUUGCAGUAUUUGACAGCAACAAGAAAUUAAUGUACUUGUAAUUUGCAGGACCUGCAGAAUGGAUGGACAAAAGUCACAAGAAACGCUUCAUUCUUUGGCCAAGAAUUCAAGAUUGGGCUGAUCAUAACUUGAAUUUUGUGCAUAAAGUCUUGAAGGUGGACACAACUGUGCCACUCUUGUUGCUGCCUUCUCUGUAAAUAAGUGAAUAUGUUAAAACUUUGUUCGUUCGUUUACGAACUUGGAUGAUCUAAGAUUAGUGUUUGAAAGAUUUUUAUUAGCUGAACUGAAUUUGUAACCUUGGAAUGUAAGGUAGAAGGUUGACAAAUCAUUUUGUCAAGAUAUGUGAAGCCCAUUUACUUUAUAUUUUCUUUGUAUAGGAAGAAUUUUCGUACUUUUAAUUUUGUUUCUUAUAUUUUAACACGUCCAAAUUUAGAAAAGAGGGGACGUGAUGCGUCCGUAAGUUGAGGCGCGUUUGAGAAGUUGCCUUUGCCCGCGUCUCGCCCGAGCCACAAGUUCGACUUUGUGGUACAGCAGCGUGGCGACGUCGCCCUCCCGGCGCGUUCAAACACGUUUGAGAUGUUGCUUCUGGCCGAGCCACAGGUUGCGACGGGCGACUCUGUGGUACCGCAGCGUGCCCACCCCUAUUCCUGGCGCGUCUUGAACACGGUCAAACACAACGUUUCCGUAGGGCACGACUUGACUCGCGCCGUUUGAUGGGGGCCACGCCGUCGGUUGUUGUGUGCAAAGUCGUGUCAUCAAGCACUACUGGUAUUUAAGAUCGACCCUUGCGUGCGAACGCCGCUCACUUCUCCCUUUCCCUUUUCCUCGUCCGACCGCGACGCAGAGGGAGGGAGGGAAUCGUUCUCGUUCGAUCGAUCUCCUUUCCCUUCUUGAUCUUGAAUUAGGUAUAUCCCGUCUCUCUUCCUCCGCAAUCGCUCCUGUUGGAUCUCCCUCUCCCUUGUUGAUUUCGCGUUCUUUCUGAAUCAUUUGGAUCGAUUUGUGGUGGCUUUUUUUUUUGGGCAAUGAUUAGGUCAUCGCCCAAUCCAUGGCUUCGAGGCGUAUCAUCAAGGAGCUGAAGGAUCUCCAGCGGGACCCCCCGACGUCUUGCAGCGCAGGUGCCUCCAAUCUCCCGUCUCCUCGUAUAUCUAUCUGCUCCUUGAUAUUUCUCCUCACUUUUAUAUCUGAAUCCAAUUGUGCAAUAGUCAUAGCUUGUUGGAAUCUUAUUAGGCUGAGAACACGCAGUUGUUUGUGCCGUCGAGACUACCUCACAUUAACUUAUAUUUGAGCUGCUUGCUUUGCUCAGUCUUGUAGGUUUGGCAUGCCUAUCAAAGGAAGUAUACGUUCUAUUUUAUCAUCCAAUUCUGUACACUAUAUUCAUUGCUUGCAUCUCGAGUCAUACGGUCUGAAAGGAUGGUGAAGUUCUCAGGAAAUGUUUAUGGUGCCUCCUGAUAUAGUUCUUGCUAAUCAUAUUAGUGACCUUAAGAUAUGCAAUUAUAUGCCAUGGAUAUCUCUUUUUUUGCUGUUUUACUUUUCUUUUUGUUUCUUGUAAAGUUGCUCAUGAUCGUUAAUUCCAUUUAUUUAUUUUAGAUCAUUUUUGUUGGAUACUAAGGUAGAUUAUAUUCAUGGGAAAGAUGCACGUUGUAUGGGAAGUGUUUGUCAUUAAGUAGAGACCUAGAUGGAACAUUAGUAUUAAGGUGUGCAAUAAAAAGAAAAUUACUUGUACUGAUAAGGCUGAAAGCAUAUGUUGUCAUUAGUAAAAUUAUUGAGUGUCCUGUAGAUUUGACUUGCUAGCAUGUUCGGCAAUCUUGGUUGGUUGUGGGUAAACUUUCCAAUCUCAUGUGUUUGUUUUAAACCUGAAUUAAUUUUUGUAUAAGGUAUCAAAUGACAAGCCUAACUUAAAUUACUACCCUGAUGGCUCGUUUUCUCACAGGACCGGUCGCUGAAGACAUGUUCCAUUGGCAAGCAACAAUAAUGGGUCCACCAGACAGUCCAUAUGCAGGGGGAGUUUUUCUUGUCACUAUCCACUUUCCUCCAGACUAUCCAUUUAAGCCACCUAAGGUAAUGUUGGCAUAAAAUAAAUUGCCUUUGAUGGGAGCUCACUCUUUGUAGUUCAACAGUAUAAAUUGCUGAUCCAUUCUUCAGCAAGCUAGGCCAUGUUAUGUAUCGGUUCAGAUUCCAUAUGGUGGCACAAACUUGUGUGGAUCAUAAUCUGGACCAAGUUUGGAGCUUGUGCUCAACUGAAUUAUUUAAGCCAUACUUUAGCUGCUGGCUAAUUUUUCUUAAUCCAUAUGGAAUAUAAUAUAUAAUCAUAACACCAGGUUUUUAGUUAAUCAUAGUAACAUGAUCUUGUGUGGGUCAUGAUAUUCUUUUAUGCUUAUUUUCCUUUUAAGUUCUGUUGGAUAAAUCAUGAAUAAUCUUUUCACAUUCAAAACCUGGGCCAUGUAUGGUAUGUGGCUCCACUUAUUCCUGAAGAUAAAACACAUGGAACAUCUUUUCACAAUAGGCUCUUUUUUUUUUUUCUGGAUGAAAUCCAUUGACAUCAGUUUAUGGGUUUGCACAUUCUGAAUCCUCAUGUAAACAUCAUAACACUGUUAUUCUGGUUGACAUGUUCAUGUAUGGAUGAGCGUCCAAUAGUAGAUUCUAUGAUUUGUCCAACUUAUUGAGUCUUCUGCAGGUUGCUUUCAAGACAAAGGUUUUCCAUCCAAAUAUUAACAGCAAUGGGAGCAUUUGCUUGGACAUCUUAAAAGAACAAUGGAGUCCUGCAUUGACUAUUUCCAAGGUUACUAUUUCUUUUCGUUGCAUCAAUUAUCCUUUAACAGUUGGGUUCUCUUGCUUAUCCAAUUUACACUAUGCUAGUCAUAUUGGUGAUGCCAGUAAGAGCAGGUGACUUAGCAUCACUAUAGUACAAAUUAUUUUUGCUAUAUUCAUGUCUUGGCCAGUCCUUUCUGCUCAAUAGAUGCAUAAACAUUAUUGGCCAGUUGGUUCAAUUUGUCUGCACUGUGAGAAGGAAGGAUCCAAGUUGGUCAGAAUUUUUACUAAAGCCUAUUAGUUAGUAUAGGUGAUUGCUUCAUGAAACAUAGAGCACAGCCUCAUGAAUGUGCUUGUUGUUUCUUUUGCUGUCUUACCGAAAUUACAUCAUUGUUUCUACAAAAUGGGAUCAAUAGCAACAAUUCCUUUCUCUUACAGGUGCUGCUGUCAAUCUGCUCCCUCUUAACUGACCCAAACCCAGAUGACCCAUUGGUCCCAGAGAUCGCCCACAUGUACAAGACAGAUAGGACCAAGUAUGAGACCACUGCAAGGAGCUGGACCCAGAGGUAUGCAAUGGGCUAAUGUUGUCUUAGAGAGACGGUUGAUGGGGGGCUUCUCUGUUAUGUGUGGUGGUUGCUUCUUGUCUGUUUAUUUGGAGAUUGAAAUGAUCUGUGCCUGCUUCCCGUAAUUUAUUAGAAGGUUAGGAAGGAAAGCCUCCACAAACCCCUCAGGGAACAUGUGUUUGAUUGUUGGUAUGAAAAAUUUAUAUCUGAAUCUUGAACACAUUGUUUCUUGGCACAUGAUCUUGCUAGCACUGUCAUUUGAUUUAUUUCAUUGAAAAAGAUGUCAUGGUUGGUGAUUGGUAAGAUAAUGAUUGGUGCUGCUCGGUGUUUUUAGCAGUCAUUUGACUCGAUGCAUUUGGCCUGUAUACACCAUAUAGAUUGAUGCAAGAAUACAUAUCAAUAGUUGCAAGUUUUAUAGGUAGGUAGAAUGGUCAAUGUUGUCCAAAUAUAUUCGAGUCCAAAGUGGAAGCAGGAGAAGAGUUGCGCCAUCAUCACCAAGAUGGGCAUGUAAUCAAAGAAGAAAAUUGAUUUCCUCGUAACCAAACAUUUUAAGAUUAGAAAAGGAGUAGUUACCUCUAUGUUUUAAUUUCCAUCCUUCCGCCCAAACAUGCAUAACUGGGGCUUAUAACUUCUGACCUCGUGACGACACACUGCAUCUUAACUGGAGGAUAUAUCCACAGAUAGAAAUCAUUAUCAUUCCCUAUUCUUGUGACUGAUACUGGUACUAGUCAAUCUAGGCAUACUUACCUCAUGACUUGGAGAUAUUUCCUGGUAGAUGAAGUAUGUCUAUGGUAAAUUGAAGAAGCUUGCUCUGCUCCCUCUGUUCCCCACCAUGUGACUCGGAACAUGCAAUGACAACAUACUUUGUCCACUACCACUUGCUGCCUGCUGCAGCACGCUGACAUCUCUAAGACAUUUUACAUCUCAGUCACUGCUGCAGCAGUGUCAUGCCUGACCAAGAGCCCUAUUGUCAUGAGAGGAAUAAUGAACAUCACACGUACAUCCCCAUUAUAUUUCCAAGUCUUGCACACUGCUGCAAGAGUGAAAACCCUCAGCCAGAGACUACUACUAUCACAAAGAAACGAUCAUAUACCUCUGCCACUCAAUUGAACAUCUCAUUGUUUGCAUCAGACUCAUGCCAGAACUAUUUGUUGAUAUGAAACCAAAUCAGGAUUGUCCGGAAAGUAUGUGAGAAUCUCUUCAAGAGAAGAACACAAGCCUAAAUAAAUUGUAUUUGAAGGAUCAGAGGCAUAGCCCAUAAUCCUAAACUGUAGCUGUAGCAUCUCUUAAAUCUGAACAUAAUAAAUAGGUUGCAGCAAAUGACUACAAGAACUACGACCUUUUGAUGGCAUUGAGCAUAAUAAAAAGGCACCGGCAAAAAAAUUUGCAAUAACAAAGCUGCUACUCAAAGCAAUUCAACUACUACAAAAGAAAGAUCCAACCACAGGUCCAGAUCCCACUCCCUGACCAGUCCACAUGCAUACAAAGCAACAAAAGAAGAACCACAACAAGAAUACAGUAAUACCAUCGUCCCCUGGCCUCUCCCAACAUCAACCUUCUUCAUUGCUCGGUGCAGACGAUCUAGAAGAGCUUGUAGAGGGAGGAGGCAUCCAGGGGGUGGAUGAGGUAGGUGAGGACCAGAGCGACCAUCAUCAGUAGAUAGGCAAUGCCUUGGUCAAUUGAUGUCCCUGCAAAAAUAGCACAAGUAGUUCAUCAACUGGCCAAAGGGGCACCAGGUAAUAUGAUUCUACUAUGCAACACCAUAAACCACCAAAAGGGGAUUGUGCUUUGGAACAAACGGAUUCGUCAUAUGCUACCAACGUCUCAAUGUUCUAAUCUUAUUGUCUCAAGAGCCUCAGGAUCAAGUAGUUCUCAAAGUUGCUUCUUUUGUGUUCCAAGAUGAUCUCCAUCUAUAAGGACGUGUUGAGGGCUAAACCAACAGGAUUUGUAGGUGAGAUUAAACAAUGUAUUUGACCACCUCCAGACUGCUAAGCUAACAGAAACGUACAAAGGCAGGAAUUUGGCAAAGGAAACAUGAACAGACUUCCUUGGAGCAAGGUAACAACAAUAAAGAUCAGAACUUUACCGUCUAAAGAGCCAAAUCUGGGACGAAAACGAAACAAACAAGCAUGAGAUCCGUGUAAGAAAGCAAAAGAAAGGAAAAGAAAGAAGAACGGACCAUCACUGGCAGGGGCGGGAGCCGGGGCCUGGGCCUGAACAGCCGGCAAGGCGACCGCAACGAUGAAAGCCACAAUGGCCACCAAACCCAGGAAAACCUUCGAAGUCGCCGCCAUCGUUCUCCUCGCUCGCUCUCUCCGACAAUGCAACACAAAGGAAACGCCUUGCGGUCCCUCCCGCUCACGUCGACGAGGAGCAGAGCCGAAGCGAGGAGGCUAAUGGCGAACGAAACCCUAACAAACAGUGACCGAACCCUCUCCCUGUCUCUCCUUGCGCUCCUUUAUAUUUCUUUACUCCCAUUUCUGUUAUUCACCCGCCUAUUUGUGGUCGCAGGGAGAUAACUCACCGCGGGCCCCGCCAUCUGAUGGUGAGAGAAUUGUCGUCCGCCCAGGGGGUGUGCUUGUUGGUUGGUUCAGUAGGGAGUUGCUGAAUAAAUCACUUUGGAAUUACCUUUUUUCGAAGAGAAAUAAUUUUUUUAUAGAAUUUAAAAAAACUUAAAAGUUUGAUAUUUUUUCAUACAACCUCUUAAUCUAAAAUUUUCUUUUUUUUAUCGAGCGUCCUUAACCAAAUGAAAAAAAAAAAAUUACUUUUAUUUUCAUUGGAUCCACCAAUAUUUUACCGCUUUCUCCUUCUUACAUUGUCAUCGCUCUUAUGCCCUCAUCAGGCUUAGGGAUAUCGCGAACACGGGUAUGAGUGCUCAUGCUAGUUUUAGUCACCUUCGCCUCUUGACCUAGGGGCAUUAUGCACAUUGAGGAGGGCAACCGAUAUGGUUAGUUCGCACAGAGAUAGAAUGAUGGCCGAUAGAGGUAGAAUGAUUAUUUAAUAAAAAAAAGAGUCAUUAUUAGUGUGAUAUUCUACUCUCGUCUCACCCAUACCAUACAUGCAUGGCUAAAGUAGGAUAUUAUUUUUUGGUUCUUUUAUUAUUAUCAAAAGUAAAACAUACUAAUUUACCAAAUAAAAUGAUAGUGUUCCUUUAUAUACAAUGAUUUUGACAUUUGUAAAUAAUUAUAACUUUUAACAAAAAAAAAACACCCACGCAAUAUGUCCAAAGGUUAUAUACAUAUAAAUACUCAUAGGUUAUCAUCCGUACUAGCAUGUGCUCACACAUGCUCACUUUCCUAUCUAAUCACUUCGGUGCGGUAUUAAUAUUUUUACUUAUAAAAUAGAAUUUAUAGUGAGUAAUUACUUAAUAAGUAUAAGCAUUUAUAGUUUUAUUUAGGUGAGUAUAUAUCAUGUCAUAUAUAUAAUGCUUCACAAUUAUCAACAUAAGAUAUUUAACGGUAAACACCUCAUUCUUCUUUAGCAAACAUAACUCUACCACAUAACAUACGCAAAAUAAAGAGGUAAAAUCCUAUAUUGAAAUAACUCAAAAUGCUUAUAUUUACAUAUAUAAAAUAUAAUAAAUUCAUGGACUUAUAUGGACACUCUUAUAUCACACGUUAUCAUAAUAUAUGCAUCCACUUACACGUCACAAGUCAUAAUAUAUAUAUAUAUAUAUAUAUAUAUAUAUAUGUACUUUCACACUAUACAUCAUAAUAUAUACGUGCACUCUCACAUCGCACAUCACAAUAUAUAUGUGCAUUCCCAUACAACACGUCAUAGCAUAUACGUGCAUUUCACAUCACAAUAUAUUCAUGAACUCUCGCAUCACACGUCAUAAAAAUAUAUACACUCUCAUACCGUAUAUCAUCAUAUAUGCAUCUAUAUAAUAUAUUUUUAUCAUAAUUUAUAUAUUUUUAUGUUUGUAAAAUAUAUAAAUUUAUAUUUAGCUCAUGCCUAACUCGUGACAAUAAUAUCAUUUGAAAUAUGUUUUCUAAGAUACACUAUGAAUAUGAUAAUUUAUACUAUCAUUAUUUUACAGUAAAUUAAACUUAUAUUCAUUUGAUUUAACUCAAAAUUAAAGAUGUUGAGGACGACCAUGUUCCUUAAUAAUUGAGUGUGCUAGGGAGUAGCACAUCUAUCAAAUUAGGAGUAUACUAUAAUGCUUUAAUUAAGAACCAUGCGUCUUCAAUUACUGAUUUAUAAUAAUUCAUAGCAAAGUUCAUAGAAAAUUUUUGAUAAAAUCUCUAAUGAAAUAGACUAUACUCAAAUUAAAAAUUUAUUUAAAUUUCACCAUUGAUUUGUUAACAAUUCACUCUAUAAUCAAUGAACUAUUUGGUACCACUUAAACCAUCGCCUAAUUUCUAUAAAGAAAUUUUGCUUCACUAUUUUAGUUGAUCAAACGAUAUUGAAUUAUCAUGAAAUUUUAUAAAAAAACUUGAAGAUAGAGAAUUAAAUAUAAACUAAUUUUUAGCAUAAAAUAGAAUCAUUUGAAGGCUAAAGUAUCCUCCUAAUUCAACUACCAACAUUUAUUAUAUUAUGUUGAAAUUGGGUUAGAAUUAUCUGAACUUAUAAACCGUAUAUUUUGUGCACAUAGAUAAUAUUCACUUAAUUCCAAAUUUCAUAGAACCAAAACCUUUUAAAAUAUAUCAAAACGAUAGAGCAUAAUUAUAUCCCAAAAUGGGUUAAUUCAACUUGAAUAAAAAUCUUUCUCAUAAAAUAAAAGAUUCUAAGUAUCUUAGAUUGGGAUACUCAUAAUUCUGUGCAUCGAUCUCAAAUUAAAAUCAUACUAGAUGUUUUAGAACCAUAAGAGAGUUAUACAAAAUAUAUCCAAAAAUUAAAUAUUAAUUUCAAUUCUAAGAUACUGUAGUUAAAAAAAUAAUUUAUAAUUUAUAAAAUUAAAAUCCUAGAUAUAACAAGGGAAGGGAAGAAUUGGAUUUUUCUUAUCUUAAUAUUCUUAGAGUUAGGGUUUCUUAGCCUCCAUUAAAAAAAAAAAGAGAAUAGUAAAAAAAAAAGAAAAAAAAAGAGAGUCGUGAGUUAUAAGUUGGUAAAGAGGAUGAGACCAAAAUAAGAUAGACACCUAAGAGAUUACAUUGAAGUCUAGGGCUCAAUCCCAUUGGACCUUAUUUGAAAUUUUUUUUUCUUUUAUUAAUAUAAUUAUAAGGUUUCAACAACUUUAAUUGAGUCUAAUUUGGUUUGAUAAAGAUGAUAUUUUUUAGUCUUAACUUAUUCUUUAGUUUCACUUAUGUCUCUUAAUAUUUUUUUUAAUAUAACACUCAUAUUUGAUUUAUAUUUUUAUUUAUUUUUUUAUUCUAUUUAUGCGUAAGUAACUUAUUAUCCUUCAUAUAUAUGAUGUUUAAAAUUUAAACUUUCCUACUUUAAUUAUGGUAAAACUUAUUCAAAUUUUGAGAUUCACUUAACAAUGAUUAAAAUUCAACUGUUACUUCUAAUCAUUAUAUGCAUAUUUAUUACCAUAACUUAGUCUCAUAUUCAUGUCCACUAGAAUAUUUGAUCUGUUAUAUUGAAGGAUCAUGCCUUCUUGCUACAAAAUAUAUUUAAAGUAGAUAUUGAUGUUUAUGCAUGGUAAACCAAAAUUUUGUAUAACAUUAUGAAAAUUAUAUUUUAGGAAGCAUGUAUUUUAAUCUUAAAAGUAAAAAAAUAUGAGUAUGUUAUUUAUUAUAUUUAUAAAGCAUAGAAAUCUCAAAUCAUAUCACUAAGUAAAAAAAAUUAGUAUGUUAUUUUUUUAUUUUCUCAUAAGAUGCCUCAAACUUUUAAAUUUUUUUUAUUUAUUAUCUCUUUUUCUUCUAAAUCCCUAAAUGCCUUUCAUUGUUGCCUCCACCUUACCGCGAAGCCCAUCUAUUGAGGCCCCAACCUUGCCCCUAUGACUCAGUGCAACAACUAAAAAUUAAAUCAUUGGUAGGAUGCGGUGGUGGUUAAGUUGGAUGGUACUCAUGAAAUCUAAUCCUUAACCCACUACCCUCACCCCUACUCCUUUUAUGCGUCCACCCCCUCCACCUCCCUAGGAUCCAACCCCUCCAUUAGAGAAGCCAGGUUGCUAGAUCUUAGCACCAUUUGCUCCCCAUCGAGUUAAUAGUCGCACCUUCAUCACUGUAGAAGGAGUAGCCCUGCUAUCGUCGAUAGACCUCGUUGCGUGCUCUCUAACCUUACCCUCAUUGAUGACAACCGUCUGACCACUUCUUCCCUUAAUACUGAGAAAAACUCUUGCUUCUUUUCCAUCAAUCACUCUCUUCCCUCCUCCUCGUAACCCUUUGCCUUGUCACUAGAUGGGGGAUGAAGGCGGGGGUGUGGAGAUCAAAGAUGAUUGGGAGGAAGGGGAUAGGGUGGCUAUUGGCGAUAUGAAAAGGGAUGAGGCAAGGACCUCCAAAGGAGGUUUGGAAGAAGAGAUAAGACUAGGGAUGAGGCAAGGACCUCCAAAGGGGGUUUGAAAAAAGAGAUAAGACUAUAGGCAUCACAGAUGAUGUUGAGAAGAGAAGAGUCAUGAUCGAAUGAGGGGUGACGAGAGUGAUGGUGAUGGGAGUAGUCGGCAUAAGGACGAAGGUUUCACGAAGACGAAAACGAUGCAAUGAUCUCCAAAGGGGGGUUAGAAGAGGGGAUAGGCUAUGAGUAUUACGGAUGAUAUCGAGAAGAUGAGAGUCACGAUCAGAUAAGUGGUGACGAGAGUGACGACGAGGGGAGUAGUCAACAUCGAGAAUAAAAGCUUCACAAGGGCAAUGGCAUCGAGAAGUUGAGUCACGAUCAGAUAAAUGAUGACGAGAGUGACGACGAGGAGAGUAGUCAACAUCGAGAAUAAAAGCUUCACAGGGACAAGUAUAUCCCCAUUUUCUGGACAGAUUAUCAAAGCUAAUACGAGUUAAUCGGACCAAAUCAGGAUGAUCAUAAAAGUAUAAUUUUACAAAUAAUUUAUUCAUAAGAUUUUGGGAUCAAAUGAAGCCUUCAUUUUAAUUUAUGAACCGAUAAGAAAUUAUCACGUGAUCAAAUUGAGAAUAUAUAUAUAUAUAUAUAUAUAUAUAUAUAUAUAUAUAUAUAUAUGUUUAUAUUUAUAUUUAUAUUUAAAGGAAAAUAUAUAUACAUAAACACAUUUCCUAAACUUUGAAAGAAUAGAUAGGCAAAAAGCCCAAAACAAAUCGAUUGAAACUCAAUCCAAAGGAGGUUUGACAGAACAUGCUCACACUUGCACAGAAGACGUUUGGCAAGCAACUAAAAAGCAAUACAAAGCCUUAUACUCAAUAUGUAACAAAAGAAAAGGAAGGAAAGAGGAAGCCAAAAAGAGAAGAAAGUGUUCUAAGAAAGGCAACAACAGAUGAGCAUGGAAAAAACUGGCAUGCUAAUAAUUGCAUUCUUCUGACUUUGAGUCCCGAGCGAGCAUUCUUAUGGCAAUAUGAUCAAUCAAUCAUAAACACAGGCUGGAGGAGGGUCUACACCUUCUUUGUUGUUGAGGAAUCUCACUACUAUGCACGUUAUAUUGUCGGCACUUCCACGAGAGAAUGCAACCUCUGUCAACUUCCUCGCUGCGGCCUCGGGAUCCUCUUCCAAUCUCACGAGUGAAACGGCAUCCUGAUGGAUGUGAAUAGCAAUGGAAAAAUAUCAGAAUUUUAAUCAUGAAGCAUCCUCACAAAACCUAGAGGCAGUGAACAGAUUGUUGAAAUGACCACAAACACACAGCAUUAGAGUUCACAGGUUUAACUGAAAGAAGGUACUGGUGAAAGAGGUUUAAGUGCCGUGGAGAAUAUCUUGAGAGAAGGAUCAUACAAAGUAGACUUCAAUGAGUAUGCAAAUUUCAGCAACCUUAAUAAUAGAAGAUCAGCUCUACUAAGUUGUCUAAUAAAGCAGUAUCAUACGUAACAGCAUAUGCUUGAUGUAAAAGAGACGCUCACCUCAUUCUUAACAACAUCCCACAACCCAUCACUUGCCAAAAUCAGGAACUCCAAUUCGUGAUCAACCACUCGUUCCUGUGGAAAAUGAAUUUAUGAUUAAGUAUUCUACUGCAGUUUGUCAUGAUAAAACAAAGAAAUCAUUAAAAAUUAUUUUCUAGACAUCUCAUUACACUGAAAUCAAAAUAAAUUAUUGCCAGAGGUAUAAUCUGCCCCAUGCAAAUAAUGUUUAUAAAAACAGCUGCAGUAUGCAGGUGGACAAGCUCUCACAUAGUCCAUAGGCAGAAUGAAGCAGCAUGAGCGACUGCACGUCUGGUUCAAUUAGAAUAUUCAUGUGACCAAUAUACACAUGUGAAGACAGAUAUGACAACAUAAAGUGUGUUUUAGAAAGCAACAAAAAAAUACUAGAAAAUGUAGAACAUUGCAUGUGUCAUGAGGAUAAUUAAAAACAAAACGAUCCCACUUUAAACUAUCUGCAGAAUACCUGAAUGUCGGGCUCUGCCACAACAAAUCGCUUGAGAAGGCGAUUACCAAAUGCUCGUGACAUUGCCAAUACACCACCCACCCUCCAAGUACCUGCAGGACCAGGAUUCCCAUAAGCAAUAACAAAUGAUAUCCCAAUGCACGAGGCUCCUACCAAUACAGGAUCUAGGAAGGAUCCUGCAAGCAGAGAGACUUUUUUUAUGAUUCAAACCCUAGUCACCUAGAUCAGAAAGAAGCAACUUGCAGGACCAGGAUUCCCAUAAGCAAUUCAGAGUUGUAUUUUUCCAUCCAAAGUCUGAGGAUUCCUUUCCAAUAACAAUAUGUAAUUAGCUUAAAAAGAGAUACUAAAUGGAUCAAUGCUACUUAUAAUCAAAUCAAAUGUCCAUUAAGAUAAAGGCUAAUAGUUCAUCUGAAUACAAUAAUUAGUAUUCUACUCUACCUCAAAAUUCCAGGGAUUUUUUCUACUGAUCACCCCUAUCAUCUACAAACAAGGAGCAAUUUUUAAUCCAUCAUCAUGUAAUAUAAACACCAAAGCAUAAACGAUAAGUUCUAUAAGAAAUAAAGGGUACAAAGUGGCACAUUCUAUUCUAAUAUCUAGACUGUGAAUUGAGCAAUGAAACUUCAUGUAUGCAUUUUAAAGAAUGACAUGUUAGAAUUAAGCAAGACAAAACCAGUAGAAAUGUCUUGAACACGCAGCAACGUACAGAGUAGAAGACUUACCAGUCCACAUGACAAAUCCUCCAGCAUUCUCAAUUCUUUUUCUCUCAUCAAUUCGAUUUGGUUUGUGGUCAUCAGAAAGCGGAAUUGCUACAAAUACGAACCAAAUUCAGUUAAUCUUAAAAUGUAUGAAAUGAACAUGAGUUCAAGAAUCAGGUUCAUAUACUGAAAGGAAACAACAAUAAAUAAAACACAUUAUAUCAGAAAAAAAUAACAGCACAAAUUCAUUCUAAAACAUAAAAUUAUGGUGUGCUGCAAAAUAUAAAAUAAAGUUGUGAUGAAUGAUGCACACUGGCAUGUACAAUUUGGUAACACUACAUCAUGUCGCAAGUGUGCCUAUGAAUGCCUGGCACACAUCAGCUGCAAGCUCUAAAAUAAAGUUGUGGUAUAUUUUUGGUAAGACACCUAUGGAUGCCUGGCAUGUAUAAUUUUGGUAAGACACCAUCAGUUUACUAAUGUAGGUGCCUGUGGGUGCUUCGCACACACCGAGGCCAACAUGUCCUGACAUGGUCCGGCAUGCUAUAUUGCAAGAAUAUAUGCCAAGAUGGCUAUAACUGAUUAAGCUGCUCAGCAGUCCUUGGAAAAUUAAUGAUUACAUAUCGCCUCCCCAAAUUUUUUACAUCUUUCAUCGUUGUUAAAUAACUACCAUUGACAAAAAAAUGAAGAAUAAUAAGAACUCCAUAAAUGUCAAGCUUUCUUAAAUUGUUCUCAUACUGUUAAAAAAAAAUGGUAGUUAAUCAACCAUUUCUACAGUGUCAAGAUACAUAGAAGUUCCAUAUUUGGUGUUCCACAAGCCGUAAAUUAUGUGUUUUGGCCAAAUGCUGAUAUGACAAUAGAAGCACUUGUCAACCUACCUUUUGAAAAUGCCUCAAUUUCACAAGUGCUACUGACUAGAAUGCCCUGGAACACCAACAAUGGUCUCAUUCUAAUUGGAGUAAGCCAAUUAUGGGCCUUCUCUGUGCCUCUCCAUGAAAGUAUUACCUUGUUUAUGUUAUAGGAAGAAAAGAAAGGCCGGUUGUUAUCUGGAGCUGUUUUGCUUUAUUGUUGUAAGAUAAAAUAUUUGUAAUUUCUCACAGAAAAGAUCAGACAUUUUUAAACCUUGCAAAUGCAGUCAUGUGAAUCCUUUAAAUUUGCAUGAAGUUCCUGUCCAACACACAAGAAAAUUUGGCACAAUACAAUGACAAAGAACUGCUAACCAAAUCAUAACUAACUUUAUUGUUCAUAAAUGACCCCCCAAGAAUAUGUUCUAUAAAAAGAAACAUGUAGAAGAUUUUAGAUAUCAGUGGAAAGAACCUUUUCCUGCUUUCGAUAUAACAGCACGUGAAUCUCCAACAUUUGCUACAUACAAGUGUUUGCCAACCAAGAUUGCUGUCGAAGCUGUAGAACCAUCAUCUCUGGAAGUAUUGUUUUCAGCAUCUAAGAAAUCUGAAUCAGUUCUCUGAUAUGAUUCAUCUGCAGUUUGUCAUUUUCCAAAAAAAUGACAAUCAUUUAACAACUCUAUGCAAUGCAUUAAACAUAUGAUAAAGUAAAUUCAAAAGCUUGACAAUACUUAUUGCAAGUUUUAUGUCUGUCAAGAACUUUGGAUGCUUCAUAAGGUUGUCAAAUAAGUGCUCCUUCAGAUAUUCAGCAGCACGUGAGCCUCCAUGACCUGCAAUACCAAGUUAUGCAUAAAAAUUCAAAUAUUUCAUAUUAAGGACAAGCAAAAGUACAAAAGUAAGAAAUCUAGCAGACCAUCAAAUAUUCCAAAGAAAUUAAUUGUUUGGCCAUCAAUUUUAGCUGAUUUUACAUCAAAGAAAUCCUCCAUGUUUACUCUCUUUCCCCUGAAGCUUGAAUAUCCACAAUUUAAUUUCCCAUCAUCACUGCAAAUAAGCCAAAUGAUCAAUCAAACCAAUUUUUCAAAGAACUAAAAUCAGAAACUUAUUUAAAUAUACACAAACUUUUAUGCUGAUAUUUUGAUAGCCACAGAGCAGCACAAUUAUAUACAAAGAAACCUCGCAGAACAUUAUGAAAUUUAUAACCUUUGCAAAACUGCAAAAGUAUUUUCCUACAGAAGUUUCUGCAAAACGAUGACUAUAACAGUAAAAUAUGGCAAAGCUACAUAAUGUAAGUUAUGUCCUUGAAUACAAAAUGAUUAUUUAUAGGUAACCAUGACAACCUAUAAUGAGGCAUGCCUUUUUAAAAUAGUUAAGUCAUGACAUCUUUAUACAAAAAUAUCAAAUGCUUCUUCGCUUAUAUUUUAAAACAUCACUUAUCAAAUUACCAAUGCAGUGGGGUGAAAGCCAUCAUGACAGAUGAAAACACAGACUACUAAAAUCUUUCUCUCUUUCAAACUUGAUCAUUUAAGGAGAUUAGUUAGAAAAGAUUUCACUAGGCUUGUCUUCUCCAAACACAGCUUUCAAUGGUAUACAUCAUGAUUCGCGUUGCUGAUCCAUACCGAUGUACUAACCAGUUCUCGGUACGGUACAUACCAAACCAUACCAAGCUUACCGACAUACGAAACAUGGGAGCAUACUAAUAUACCUUCGCAUUAGUUCCCUAUCAGACCAGUAUAUACCACCCGUACAGAGUGAUAUGCCACGAUAAUAUUAGCUUAAGCCAUCAGGUAUAGCACAGUUGGCUUAAGCCAUGUUUUUCAACAAGGCAUGCUAAAAAAAAGAAGAGAAAAGAAAAUGAAUAUGUAGGCAAAAAAGAUCUCCUAAAAGCAAUAAUGCAAAAGGAUUAAUGCAACUAUCCAAACAACCCAUUAAAAAAUGAUACAAGAACAUGAACAUGUAUAGUGGGGUCUGGCUAUGGUAUUUAUGUAUUGCAAUAGUUUGUAUUUGAACAUGGUCAUAUCGGUUCUACAAUCUACAUAUAGGACAGAAUCAAAUAUCUCAUUUUUAAAACUAGGAAACACAAAAUCUAGUAUUUCUUUUGAUGAUAUAUAUUACAUGGUCAUAGCAACAUGCAACACUACCUGAACAUAUAAUCCAUGGGCAUUGCAUAUAAAGAAUACCUGAUCCUUAAUAGCUAAUAUUUGUACUCAAGCCAUGUCUAAUUAAGAGAAAAAAUUCAAGGCUAAGCACAUUUCAUCAAUGAUCCAGAUAUGGUGCCUUAACACAUCUGAUAUUUGCUAGAAGUCUAACAUAAACAUAUGUUGUUCUUAACCAAUAAAGAUUUUAUGUUUAGAACUAUGUAUCCAUUAUUUUUCAAAAGAAAUCUAAUUUUAUGCAAUGGACAUCUUAGGUCAAUAUCAAAUUGAUUAAAGCCCCUCACAUUAUAAAACAAAUAGCUGCCGAAAGCAGUAGGCUGAAGUCCUAUAAAAAAUUUGAGGCAGUCACUAUGUUGCAUUGGUUUUUAUGUAAAUGGCAAUUCUGAUAUGGCACCCGGUACAGAAUGUCUGACAAUUAAGGAAUAACUUAAAAACAUCUCCAUCACUGAAACAACCUGACUAAGAUGCUGCCACUUUCACUUGCUGAACUAAUAACUGGCUAAACAUAGAAUCACUUGUUAAUUUUAGAAAGAUAUUUUUAGUUUUCAGUAGGUCUCCUGAAAAUUUUUAAAUGGUAACAACAUCAUCCACUUACUAGCAUAAAUAUACUGGCAUUACAAACACUUCAUGAUAAUCCUGUGGCUAAUUUUCUUCCACCUGAGCAACACCAACCUAGAUCGAUCCUGCAUGCCACCUUUCCUUAUCUCAGAUGGUAAAACAUGAGAGGUCUUGGGUUCAGUCUCUAUCGUGUGUGAAGUGUGCAUUUUGUCCAACGCUACAGUCCAUUCAGUGUGUCAACUCUUCCCAAAUGAUUGGACCAUCCACACAAAGCCAAACUGGUCCUGUACAGCAUUAAAUGUCGAUGAAUUCCUCCACAGAUAGUGGAACGUCGUCCGAAUGCUAAAGUAAAAACUAAAUCGCCUAGGACAUUGACGAUCAUCGAACUAGAUCGUGAGUAUAUUUUAGCAAUAAUUCCAGGAAUUUACCUUCUCCAUGCUCCAGUGGCAUAACCCCCAUCGCCCACCUCGUCCUUCUCGGGCAACAGAUGAGAAGCAGCUCGGGGAUUGACGGCACGACCUGAAUCAACCAUCAUACCUGCCGCCGCCUCGACUCUCCGGUGCUUCGAAGGACACUUCACCCCGAGUUUGUUAUCCUUGCCGCGCUUCAAGCUUUUGACCUGCCCCUCUCCAUCGGAAGUGGAAUGCACCGAAUUCUCUGCGCGAUUUCCCUCAUGCCAGCAGCAUACCAUCCAAUCGGGCCGAUGAUCGCCUGCAACACCGAAAUACUCCAUUCGGCAUAAAGAAACAGAAGAAAUGACGAAAUCCGGAGACCAUUCUACCGGAAAUGGGAAAGAAAGAUCCACCUUUUCCGCAAACAAACAAAAAUUCCACAAGAAUCAUACAUCCACAUCCAUCGUUGAUCAUAAGAUUAACAACUUGAUGUAGAAAAAAUAUCAGCGAAACCGUAGAUUAAGAGCGAUGAAUGAGGAAACCAACCUCGAUCGGAUCGUCGUCGAUGCAAACAAGAUUAGGGUCGUAUGGAUAUGGAGAAGAUUUGGGAGAGCGGGGGGUGGGGUGACGACGCAGGGAGCCCCUUCGGAGGAAUAAGGGGGUUCAGGUUGAGCGUUUCCUUUUCCCACCCGUUUUGGGGGUCUACCCGUUUUAGACGCCUUCCCGUUGAUAAGAGACGGAGGCGGCCCCACCGGAGGGGGGGGCCCAAUCCAGCGCCCUCGCUGCACCCGACCAACUCAUUAAGGCAGGUGAGAUGAGACGCGAACGAUGGACGGAAAGAUGCGGUGGGUAAUUUGCUGUCCUUUUGAUCCGGGUCAUUUUGUUAUUUUCUUUAUUUUUAUUUCUCUUAAAAAAAGCGAUUUUUUUUUUAACGAAAGAGAAAGAAGAUAACGUAAUUUAAAAUUUUCGAAUCAACAAAUAUUAACUAUGAUUAAUAUCAACUAAUUGAAACUAGAAUAGACAUACUAAACAUAAAAACAUUUUUAUAAAUAUUUAUAAAGAGUAUUACAAUUUAUUCCAAUUCUGUAUAUCUUCUGUAAUUGGUUAUGCUUAUGUAAUUAAUUCAUGUAGGAAUUUAAUGGAUGUCAUUAAGCUAGCAGCCCUCCCCCACAAGCUUACAAAGAACAUCUGCUAGAACUGUACAACAGAAGAAAUGACAACAGUAAAUGGAUGGUGGAAACACUUGAAUAGAGACAGAAUUGAGUAUUAGCGAAAAAUGCAAAUCAUAAACAUAAAAGCAAGAAGAAAUGACCACUUAACACGGGGAAAGCAUCAUCUCCAGUCUUUACUGAUGUCUAUUUAUAUUGGGAAGACAAUAGAUUUUACCUCUUGACAGAGAGUGGCAGAACACGAGGGCCAUAGCCACAGGCAGAAUUGCGAAGAAAUUAAGCAACUCAAUCUCGGAAACUUGAGAGAGACUAAUUUCCAGAGUAAAACUCACAUGGAAAGCUUUAAUUCUAAUGCCUACAGCAGCAUGGAUGAUUUGGUACUAUUACACAUAUGCUUCAUGUUACCUGAAAGCUAUUUUCCGGAGUAGACACGUAUUUAAAACAUCACCACUGAAGCCUCCAGCAGCAUCAGUGAAUUUGAUGCCCCUAAAGAUGAUGCUUCAUGUUACCUCAGUAUAUUAAUAGUAAACUUCAGAUGAUGCACAGUUUAUGAAAGGAAUGUUAGGAAGAAAUCACUACAAUGAAAUAUACGUGAAAUUGGUCAAUACAAGCAUCUAUCUCAUCAAAAACAUUAUCUUGAUAAAUUCAAAACCAACAAAACUUUCUUCAGCUUAUUUAUUGUUAACAAUGAAAUAUACACAAACCCAUAACAGCUUCUCACUUUUGAAGACAUUUCCACCUGCUUUUCUCCUUCUGGUUCAUAAUUGCAUUUAUGCUGUCCUAGUGUGCCAGAUUCAUGAUUCUCUCAUCAUCACCCAGAGUAUUUGCGUCAAGCUCCAUUUCGACUCCCAUUACAAUACAUGCUAUAAUACUCACGGAGAAGUGAGAGGCCGAAAGAGCCAUGGUGUUUGGAAAAUCUGCCAACUCAAGUGAACUUUGGCAAAUAUUGUAAAGUUCUCACAUAAAUUCAAACACACAAAUUACCUCUUCCAGCCAAUCACAACAGAAUUACUGUUGAUUCAACAAGAUCCAGACACCUUUUAUUUCUAUUAUCUGCUAAACUUUCUCUAACACUCUUAACUAAUGUAAAUGAUUAUACACUUCAAUUACCCUGCCAAGAGGCAGAGAACACUCCCUCUUCGAAUCCUCUAAAUGAUACUCAUUCUCUAUAUUAGGUUAAUGGGAAGAUCCAUGAUAAUGACUGAAAAUCUAAACAUAACAAUCUUCAAAUGCUCUGUAAAAAUUUAACCAUCGAUAGGCAACAUGCUUCUACUGAAAAUGAACCUAAAUGAAUGAACAAAAGAUAUAUGAUGUGACAUUUCCUAUAAAAUCAGACAUUCAAAAACAUAUUUUUGGUAUAUAGAACAGUAUUGAAGCUUUCAUCCAUUUUCUUUUACUUCUUAACAGAAGAAAUUAUAAGCUUGAAGAAAAUUAUUAUGCAAGCACAAAGCAAACUGAAGAAACAGACAACAAAAAAUUUCACAAAAAUGAUCACCAGUAGUAUCAUAAGUGAAGCUAAAGGAUGACACUGAAAAUGAAAAAAGAGGAAAGAUCAAACCCAACAAAAAACCAAAAUGCCAUGAAGUGUAUUCCCAAAUGGUAAUCCACUUCAUAUGUUGCUCGGAUACAUGAAAACCCUAACCCGUCCACCCUGCAAUCCGAAAUCAGAACGAAGUCAAGGAAAACACAACCUUUAGCAAGGGUUAGACCUAAUAGAGGCAAAAAACCAAAGCAUCGAUAUGAAUCUCACCAUGGAUUUUGGCGGGAGAUUGGACUUGAACUUCGCGCGGACGACGCCGCUGUUGCCGUGAGGGCGAGCAACCUUACCCCAGAUGCACCGGUACUGGGUCCCCUUGUUCUUCGUCUUGGCCUUGUAGAUGUACGCCAUUCUCUUGCCACAGUACCACGCGACCUCCUCCUUCGUGUUCACCCCCUCGAUCUGGACCAGCGAGGUGUUCUCGUACUGGUUCGACUUCGACCUAAUUCAUCACAUCGAAAUCCGAUUAGAACAGAACGUUAAAUACGAAGAUGCAGAUGGCGAAUCCGAACUCGACUUGCCUCUUGUAUCCGAGUAUCGUGCCCCGGACAUACAACCUGCGAUCGAGAUCAAGGAUGACAGGAACAGAAUAAGCACUUGAAGUAGAAGAAGAAGAAGAAAAUGAAGAGGAAGAUGUUUGAUUCGCACCUGACGCGCUCGCCUUGUCGGCCCUUCACCAUUUUCGCAGACGAGACGGAGAAACCCUAGUCGGCGUCGUUUCUGCACAAGCGCGGUCUGUAUUCAUAGCUACGGAUUGGACGGUCUAGAUCGCGUGAUUGAAUCGCGGACGGUUCAGAUCGCGUACCCCUGUUUGGCCUCGAACGAAUCGUUGAAUCACCCGUUGAAACUUUCUGGGUGAUGUGGGAUCUGGACCUGAACCACAUAUGGACCCUGACAAUUAUCAGGGGUGAUUCAGCUCACCACGUAUUCUCUAUGGCAAACAUGCCAAGCACGUGCCAGCACCAAUUACACGUUAGUAGAACCUUCACCUUCCCCACUUUUCUUGUCGUCUUCAAAUGUGAUGACACACUUAAUGUUCAUAGGGAGCCGGUAAUGUUCAUGUCAGAUGAGCGUUGAAUCCUACACAACCAAGUCAAGAGAGACUCCUAAUAAAUGUCAAUGACAAGUUAAAUUGAAAAGUCAAUAUCCCUACAUCAUACCUAUAGGCUCUUUUUUAUAGUGGUUAACUUGGAACUGUUACACUCAUUUAUUGGUAAUAAUAGAGGGUGUGAAAUUUAGCUGAAACCAUAACCACCCAGUGCCGAACUUGGGAUUGGGUAAUUGUCUCCACGUGGUACUCAUGGAAUGGACAAAUUCGAUCGUUUUGGGUCCAAGUGGCAGCAGGCUACUGGCUCGCCAGCCAUACAGAAUUAAUGUCCUUUGCACCGACCGUUAUGGCCAGCUGGUCAGUCACGUGUCCCUAAUAUGUCGGCCGGACAAGGCUGACACAUCGGCUGGAGGAAUUCUGCCAUAUCAAAAACAAAGAUGAAAUUUUCAAGGCCAUACAAGUAUGAGACAGCCAUUAGGCUGCUGUUAUGCUGUAAGCCAUGGUCAACAGAUCCAAGCUGUUCUGAUACUUUCAGAGAUCAAUUUUGCAUCUUUUAUUUGAACAAUGGAGAGAACUUAACACUGUUUCUAAGCCACAAUACAGCUUGUGAAAGACAAGAACAGAAACAAAUACAACUCCAAAACGCAUAAAUACGACGUCGUUCAGCUAGAUAAUUAACACUACUUACUUUACUGCACAACAAUAUCUCAAACUUGGAUUCAACCAGAAGAUACAGUCGGCCGGACUCACUAGCUGGAUACUUAACUAGUUGGUUUUAGAACUGUCCUGUUACAUCCUGGAGUGAAGCGUAUCUAUGCAACUGCAACACCGUUCUUCGUGGCAUUAGUUUCAUCUCUCAUUAGGUACUUGUCGACAUGAGAGGCUGCUUGUCUGCCCUCGCUGAUGGCCCAAACGACCAGUGACUGGCCGCGCCUACAAUCGCCAGCGGCAAAUACUCCUUCCACAUUGGUUGAGAAGCAUCCGAAAUCUGCUUUGAAGUUUGAACGGUUGUCUCUUUCCACACCCAGUUGAUCAGCAAUUGUCUGCAAGCAUAGUAAGUCUUAAUCUGACUGAUUAUAACUACAAGAUUAUAUCUGACAAAUUUGGUAUGUAGGAAAAGUGAAACAACAUUCAGCGGUUGGUAAACAAAAACAAGCUGGUUGUAUUCUGAUGUUGUCGAAUAUUGCAUAAACAAUGAGGCUUACUACAAAUAAAAGGCCACCUAAAUCCAGAUCAUCACCAUUAAAACAGCAUGUCAAAAUUACAGGCACAAGAACCAGAUCUUAUGAAAACUGUGUAGAAUAUAAACACAAAUGUUACUUGAAUCCAUCUAGUAUGUCAUACUAAAUAUCUAGCUAAAACUUGGUUGCUCCAUCAGAUCAGCACUCGAUUGGUUGGAAAUAUCCUAUUACAUCUCAACUAACAAAGAACAGGUCUCUUUGGACACCUAAUGGUGCCAAUGAACAUGAAAUUUUUUGCUUGUUGAGCCUCACAGAUUAGCUGAACACUAGGGCCACCAUGAUCAAGAAGGCUUGGCCAUUGAUGGAGAAUGUGAAUGUGAUCUGGAGGACAGGGAUCAUUCAUCUUUAUAUUGUAGCUUUAGAAAACAUUAAUGGUCUUGUUUCAAAAAACCCUUGGAACUGUCAACUCGACAUGUCUAAUGCUUAACAAUUAAUUAGAUCUUCGGGGAGGAUGAGAACAAACCAAAAAGAGAACAAUUAAUUAAAGUUUUUAGUACUCUUUUCUUCAACUACACAAACAGAACCAGUUUUCUGUAGUUUUUCCUAUGUCUGUUCCUUUCAUUCCUCUUUAAGUGAACUCUCAUCUAGUAUUUCUUCUAAAAGUUACCAAUAUUAUCUUCAUAACUGAGCAGUCAUUACCAUUCUAAAUUAUCCAAUGUAAUGCCACACGGAAUACUGAAUUAAGUGACAGAUAACAUUAGAAAACUUACCGAUUCUGGGCCAAGGAAACCCAUAGCCAAUAGGACUAGAUCAGCCUCAAAUAUCUUUUCAGAACCUUCGACUUCCUUGAACUGUAAUCUUCCUCCACUAUCUUUUUCCCAACACACUUGUACCACCUCAAGGCCUUUCACAACUCCAUUUUCAUCUCCCACAAAUCUCUUUGUCAAAACCUGAUAUGAUCUCGGGUCUUUUCCAAACUUGGCGGUUGCUUCUUGGUGACCAUAAUCUACUCGGAAGAUCCUAGGCCACUGCAAAAGACAAAAGCUAAUUCAGAAUAAAUGUCACUUCUAGUCAAAUAGAAGAGGGAUAGAACAAUUACUAUGAUCCCAUAAAGAAAAAGAUACAUCUAUAUUAUUAAAAAAAAAAUAUUUAACCUGGGGCCAUGGGUUGCCAGGUGCUCUUUUUCGGGGAGGUAUAGGAAGGAGUUCCAAGUUUACAAUAUUGGUACAACCAUGUCGGAUGGAGGUCCCAAUACAAUCUGUUCCUGUAUCUCCUCCGCCUACCACAACCACUUUCUUAUCCUUGGCAGAUAUGUAUUUACCAUCAUCAAGAUUGCUAUCAAGCAAGCUUUUGGUGUUUGCAUGAAGAAAUUCCAUGGCAAAAUGAAUACCAGAGAGCUCCCUUCCAGGAACUGUCAGAUCCCUGCACAAUAAGUAUUCUCAGUGCAUCAGCAUUCCUUUGCAGAUGUCAUACUCUCGUUAUGGCCUUUAUAAUCAAAUGCUUUUUACAGCAGAGAUUCCAAUGCUAACUAAUUUUGAAUAGAAUUUAUUAUUCAGGAUUAAAAAGCUACAGACAGGAAAUAUUAUAAGAAAAAUAGAACAUUGUAUGCAUAAAAUAUAGCAAGUCAUAUACAGCACUCAAGCUGACGUCAACGAGGUCAUUCUGACUCUGGCCCGAUGGAUAAUCAACAUGAACACAUAAUACACGUCUGAAAGAAUUCCUGGUAAAUGAACAAAAUUGGAACUUUCUGGUUCCUAUGUGGAGAAUCUGAAAUAUAGCAGGGCAAUUUUCACUCGUAUAAGGAGGUUGCUUGUCACAUCAACAUAUUCUGAAGUCCAUUUGCAUGUUCAUUUGUAGAAAUAUUCCACAAAGUUUCCACAAAGCAAAAAUGUAAAAUUCAUAAAAAUGUAAAAUUCUUAAACAACAUCAAUCAGUUACCUAGGUUUUGUAGCUCCACAAGCCAAAACUAUUGCAUCGUUUUCGGCACGAAGAUGGUCAAGGGAGUACAAUGGAUCUACUCCAACAUUGGCAUUGACCACAAACUUAACACCUUCCUCUUUCAUUAGGUUUACACGACGUUGAACAAUGUAAAACUUGUCUGCCUUCAUGUUGGGAACUCCAUACAUCAUUAAUCCCCCCAUACGGUCAGCACGCUCAUAAACAGUUACCAGGUGACCCAUUUUGUUUAGCUGAUCAGCUGCGGCUAGACCAGCUGGGCCACUACCAACUAUGGCGACCUUCUUCCUGUAUCAGUGACAAGCAUUCACAUUUUCUUACAUUUCAUCAUGAAACAAAAAAUCAUUAAUUGAUAAUUAAAAUCACAUUAUAUCCACGAUAAUUCUACACUUUAAUUGAAGAUCCAUGAUAUUAUAAGCGUAAAAUGAUUUGGUAGCACAGUUGAAUUUUUUUCUAGUUAGAAAAGCCAAUACAAGUUUAAACCAGUUGGGACAGUACAAAAUAAAUGAUUGAGUAGUUUACCUCACCUCUAAAAUGACUAGCCAUAAAAUUUACAAAGAGAAUUUGGCGACAAGCAUGGGUAAACAAAUAAACCCAUGGAUGGAAACUAGUUACCUUUGCAAACUACAGGCAGUUUGCAGUGAGAGCACGGUUCAUGCUUACUAUGAAGAAACUAGAUGGCUAAAUGGCACUGGUGUAGAAGCUGCUGGUAUUUCUACUGAGUUUCACAUCCGAUAAUUUUUUUAGUUUCACACAGGAGUAACAGAAGAUGUAUAUAUUUUUUUCAUACAUUAAGAAACUCUUCUGGAAUAUUCCAUUUAUGGUCAGGCACUGUUAUCAUAAAUCAUGGAGUAUCCUGAUAUCAUGAUGCUAAAACCAUAAAUUUCUAAAUUAAAAUUUUCGAACGAAUCUUAUUAAUGAUAUUGGGAAAAGGCAAUUUGAUUAUUUUGGUUACUGCAUAGUGCAUACAACAUUAAGUAGUCUGCCAAAUUGUCCGUUGAAGAAAAGAGGACUUUAAAAUUCAUUCUCCAUUGGAAAAAAAAAAAUCAUUCUCCACAUAAUUAUUCUGAGAAUAUUAUACCUCCUAAGUAUUAACUAAGCACACAAAUGCAACCAUUUGAAUCCCCCCUCUCUAAGGAAGGAAAGGAAACACAAAGCAUAAAGACAAAAACAUCAAAGAAUUGAAAAGACAGAAAAACUGAUAACUGAUGUGUGAGAAAUGGCUUGAUUAAAUCAUAAUUUAUUAGUCAAAAGAAAAUGUUUUUUCCUCCAAAUGGAACACAAAUCAAACCAUGAGACAAGUGUAGUAGCAUUCUGUGACUUUAUUUAGAAGUAGAGCUUACCAAAAGAAGUUGAAGAAAAGAAUGGGAUUAAAUGGCUAACAACCUAAAUGCUACAGAAAACAUGACAGGAUGCAAAGUGAUCUUAUGAUAAUUGGAUAGCACAAGAAAAGAAUCAUUACCCAGUUCUCCGUUGUGGAGGUCGAGGUUUCACCCAUCCUUCCUCAAAACCUUUGUCAAUGAUGGCACAUUCUAUACUCUUAAUAGACACAGGGUUCUCAAUGAUACCCAGAACACAAGAUCCUUCACAUGGAGCAGGGCAAACUCGACCAGUAAAUUCUGGGAAGUUGUUUGUUUCUAGGAGUCGAUCUAAAGCUUCACGCCACCUAUUUUGGUGGACAAGUUCAUUGAAUUCAGGUAUCUUAUUUCCAAGAGGGCACCCAGAUUGAUCCUGCAGGUUGGGAGAAAAUUUAGAAGGACAACUUAAAUAAUGAUGCUCGAAGUGAAUAAUUUUUUCCUAAAGCAUUAAGUUUAGAGAUCCCUAUCAUAUCUAAAGAAAACCUCAAGUAUUUCUAGAAAAUAAACUUUUGUAUAUAAGGUUGUAGUGAUGCCAGACAUGAAUUAUAUUGAAAAUUUAACAGCUGGAAGUAUGACUACCAUAAAUUGAACCAAAGAUUAUAUUAUAUUCAUGUGAUUAGUUUUGAAAAGUGACCAUGAUUCCAUUGUAAAAAGUGCAAACAAAAGAAGAUAAAAAGAGAGCCCAGGACUGUUAACAUAUAUCCUAAAAUAAACUUUGUCAAGUGCCAUUUGAUAUAACAAAACAUGAUUUAAGAUACCUGAUGACAGAAAGGGGUUCCACAAUCCAUGCAACGGGCAGAUUGGGUUUUUGUAAGUGGCCCAGGCUUCAACUCCACAGCAACUUCCUUCCAAUCUUUAAUUCGAUUAUUUGGAUCUCUAUAAGAUAUGCCGUGACGCUCAUAUGCAAGAAAACCACGAUGCUUAAUAGCAUUAUCAACCUGUGUUGGCCUAUUCGUUGUCUCCUGACCAACGUUUUGUCCAUCCAAAAAUCAGUUUAACAACUUAUUCAGUGACAAAAGGAACCUUACAAACACUACAGCUCUCAGAUAAAACUAGUAUUAAUCAGCUACAUAUAGGAAACUGCAAUAUCAGACAAUUUUGCCAAAUAGAAGGGACAGUUUUUUAAUUCUGAUAUAAGAGAGAAGAUUAAUUAUCCUACAUCAUGGGAAAAGGAUGAACUCAAAUUAAUCUUAAUAAAUCAUUCAAAUAAGGUUUACCUUCUUAUCAGAACGUUCAGUUGCCAACUUAGAUACUGCAGAAACAUCCUUCAUCAGCUCUUUUUUGUCUUUUUUCUUGGCUUCUUUAGAAGCUUGCUCUGCCUUUAAAUUCUGAAGUACCCCCUUAUAAUCUCGAGGAAAUACCUUUACAAACUUGCACAGUAGAUUGUUAAAAUUGGACAGGAUUUCCUUCGCUAACUGACUUUUUGUAUGGCGCUGAUGUUGCUGUAUCAUCAUUCUUAGUGUUGUAAUGUCCUCUUCAUCCUCAACAUUUUCAAGAUCAACUAGCUCAAGGUUGCAUCGAGCUUCAAACUUCCCAUCCACAUCAAGGACAUAAGCAAUUCCACCACUCAUUCCAGCUGCAAAGUUCCUCCCAGUUUUCCCAAGUAUAACAACAAUACCACCAGUCAUAUACUCGCAUCCAUGAUCACCAACACCUUCUACAACUGCUGUAGCACCCGAGUUACGUACGCAGAACCUCUCCGCUGCCAUUCCAUUAAAAUAUGCCUCCCCUUUUAUAGCUCCAUACAAAGCAACAUUACCAAUAACUAUGUUUUCCUUCGGAUCAAACUUACUUUCUCUUGGAGGAUAAACUACAAUCUUGCCACCAGAUAACCCUUUCCCAACAUAGUCAUUGCUGUCUCCUUCAAGCUCAAGUGUGAUACCAGGGCAAAGAAAUGCCCCAAGACUCUGACCAGCACUUCCAUUUAGCCUAAUGUGGAUUGUAUCAGGAGGUAAUCCUUUCAUAUGGUAGAGUUUAGUGACUUCAUGGCUAAGCAUGGUGCCAGCAGUACGAUUUACAUUAUAAAUUGGGGUCUCAAUAAAUACAGGCAAACCUUUGUCCAGAGCAGCUUUUGAUAGAGUAAUCAGUUUUUGAUCUAAUACCAAGUCCAGACCAUGAUCCUGUUUCUGAAUGCAAUACUGAGAAGCACCUGGCCUAAUUUCAGCUGCCGGUUUAAGCAGUAAUGAGAGAUUGAUAUUUUUCAAUUUUUCAUUGCUCAAAAUGACUUCUUUAUCAACCUCUAACAUGUCCACACGGCCAAUCAUCUCAUUAACGGUUUGAAAGCCCAGCUGGGCCAUGAUCUCACGGACUUCUUCUGCCAACAUGAAGAAAAAAUUUAUAACAUGCUCAGGUUGCCCUGCGAAUUUUUGACGAAGAACAGGAUCUUGAGUGGCUAUGCCAACGGGGCAAGUGUUCUUAUGGCACUUCCGCAUCAUAAUGCAGCCAAGUGUUAUAAGAGGUGCAGUACUGAAACCAAACUCUUCUGCACCAAGUAGAGCAGCUAUGGCAACAUCCCGUCCAGUCUUAAGCUGACCAUCAGUUUGCAAGACUGCUCGCCCACGAAGGUCAUUUGCAACAAGAGUUUGAUGUGUCUCAGCCAACCCAAGCUCCCAAGGAAGCCCUGCAUUUUUAAUGCCAGUCCAACGAGAAGCUCCAGUACCACCAUCAUGGCCAGAUAUCAAUACAUGGUCUGCGUGCCCUUUUACAACCCCACUAGCAAUUACCCCAACGCCAGCCUCAGAAACUAGCUUAACGCUAAUUCGAGCUCCUGGAUUCGAAUUCUGCGUGAGAGAAGAGAGACUUACUAUCAAGAUGUAAAAGUACAGACAUAAAGCAAAUACCAUAAUUAUGUUAUCAUGCUUGUGAUGGCUCCUUAAAUGAUAUCAAUAACAGAGAAAUGGGACCACGCUAAAAGGAAGAAAAGGGAGGGGUACCUCUGACAAUUUUUUAUGGAGCAGUAACUUCCAUUAAUCAGUGACAAAGACAUACCAAAUGAUUCACUUAAUUACCUUAAGAUCAAAAAUUAAUUGGGCAAGGUCCUCAAUUGAGUAUAUAUCAUGGUGGGGUGGAGGACUAAUAAGCCCUACACCAGCUGUAGAAUUUCUUGUUACUGCAAUAUCACCAAUGACCUUAUGUCCAGGAAGUUCACCUCCUUCUCCUGGUUUAGCACCCUUGCAACAGAAGCAAACCAAAGAAAAUCAAAAGAGGUAUAUAGCAACAGGUUAAGUUAUAGCAACAUAAAUCACACUUAAUGUGAAAGGUAUGCAUCAUUUAUAGAUACAAACACAAUUAGGUACUCUAUCAUGGUUAUUGAUUUGUGAAAAGGAGAAACUAUUUUUCUAUUAGAAAGAGAGGACCACUAAGGUGGCAGAUGUGUUUAUUAAGGAGUUCAAAUUAAAGGAAAAGUUAUAAGCACAACAAAUUUGUAGCAAUUACCUGUGCCAUCUUUAUCUGAAGCUCAUCAGCAUUGGUAAGAUAGUAUAUUGACACACCAAAUCUUCCACUUGCCACUUGCUUAAUUGCACUCCUCUUUGGAUUCAUUGAACCAUCUGAAAGAGGCUCCAUACGUGAAGGUUGUUCACCUCCCUCACCUUCAUGAAAGUUACACACAAAAUAAGAAUAAAAUUAACACUACUCUAAUACUAAAAUCAUUGUCACUCAAAGAUUAACCAUGUAUAAUCUAGGAAGAUGAAGCGGACAAACCAAGUUCACUCAAGAUCAGGUCAAGUCAAGAAAACACAAUUGCAAUAUGAAUAUAGAAAAAAUCAUCAUGUAAACCACUAUCUGGCACAUGACAAUUACAUACAUAUUGGUAAAAUAUUGAUUAUAUAUAGAUAUUAUACACAGAAAAUUAAGUCAAUUGAUGAUUCCAAGAUUAAAAUAUUGCAACAACAUGAUUUUUUCAAAAGAAAAAAAAAACAGAAAGGUCACAAGACUUGAACGUCAAAGGGUAGAACUUAAUGAGCUACUAUGACAGGAAGAUUGGUUACCCUUAAACUUUAAAUUUGACACUAAAUCAUUAUCUAUUCUCUACGUCGAUGCUAGUUAUCAAUCAAGGUAGCAUCAAGCACGCAGAAAAAAAUGGUUACUUGAUUCAUCGAGUGAAUCAUGGACUGGCAAAACAGAUAAGGAUGGAAAGGCUCCUAAUCAUAUAUAAAAUUAUUCUAGACCAAUGUUCCAUGCAACCUACCCAUAAAGUUUGCAUAUGACUAAGAUAUUUAAAAUAAAAAAGGACAUUAGAAGCUGAAAGAAGAUUCUGGAGUUGUAAAGUAAGCUCAUACCAGUGUUAGAUUUGCCUCCAAGUUUGUUCAUUGCAAUAGCUAGAGUUGUAUGUGCUUCUAAAGAUAUUGAACCAUAACUCAUUGCACCAGUACAGAAACGCUUCACAAUUUCCCUAGCAGGUUCCACUUCAUCCAAGGAAAUUUUUCCAGUGACAUCUUUAAACUUCAGCAUACCACGCAAGUUGCAGCCCUUAUUCAGCUGCUGUAUCAGUUUAGAAUAUUCUUUGUAUGCAGCCACACUGUUAGAUCGGGCUGCCUCUUGCAACUUUGCAAUUGCAAGGGGAUCAUUAAGGUGCAAUUCACCCCCUUUCCUCCAGUGGUAAUCCCCAGGAUUAGGAAGUGCUACUGCUUCUGCACUACCUGGAGGUAAAGCUCUCAUUGGAAAUGCUAAUUCAUGAAGGCAAAGAGCAUCUCCAGCAAGACUUUCAAAUGUUGCACCCUCAACUCUGCUUGGUGUUCGUUUGAAGCACUUCUCGAUCACCUCAGAUGAAAUACCUACAGCUUCAAAAAUUUGUGCACCUUUGUAUGAUGCAAGAGUGGAUAUCCCCAUUUUGGCUAUGACUUUCAUCAUUCCAUAAUUGCUUGCUUUAAAAUACUUGUUGACAAGAUCCUCUCUGGAGUGAAACUCACCAUCUUCUUUUGGAGGGAUCUUUCCAUCAAUUUGCAGUCGCCAAAUUGCUUCUAUAGCCAAAUAUGGGCAUAUGGCAUCUGCACCAAAUCCAACUAGGGUACAAAAGUGAUGCACUUCACGAGGCUCUGCAGAUUCCACAAUCAAUCCAAUGUGUGUCCUCUCUAGUGUUGAGACUAGAUGUUGAUGAACAGCCCCAACUGCUAACAGAGAACUAACAGCAACAUGCUCUGAUGAAAAACCUAAUAAAAAUUUAAGAAGAAAGAUUGACUGGUUAGCAUCAACAGAAUGCAUGUCAGCAUAAGAAAACCAACAAAUAUCAUGUGAGUUGAAGACUAGAUACUACAAAAGCAAAGAAAUAGAAAUAAAAUAGUUUUCUGAAUGACAAAGCAUGUAAGUAUCAACAAAGCAUUCUUAGAAACAAGCAUGAUACUGAGAAAUAAGAGCUAAGGAUCAUAAGAGAAGAAAAACCAAGAGAACUAAUUCUAACACAAUUUUAAUCAAUAAACUAUCUUGGAAGGAAAAGUUAUGACUUCAGAAACAUCAAUCAAUUCUCACCUCUGUCAGACAAGACAAUUGUUGUAUAACCAUCACCAAUAGCCUCGCGAACUUCAGAACAAAUCCUAUCCAAAGUCUGCUCUAGACCUUUUCGGCCAUGCUUUUUUGGAUAUGUGAUGUCAAGAACUUUGCUGCGCCAACCUCUAUAGUCCAUUUUUUUUAUAGCUUCCAUUUCUUCUAUGGAAAGAAGAGGCCCCUUCAAAGAAAGGCGAUUGCACUGUUUUUCUGUGGUUUCCGUGAGGUCACCUUCUGGACCGAUCAUACAUUCCAUAGAAGUUACAAUUUGCUCCCUUAUUGGAUCAAUUGGAGGGUUUGUGACUUGCGCAAACAUCUGCUUAAAGUACUCAAAUGUCAGUUUCUCUCUACCUGACAUCACAGCCAAGGGAGUAUCAUUUCCCAUUGAGCCAAGAGCUUCACUGGCAUCUUUUGCCAUAGGCAGCAUCAGCAUCUCCAAAGUUUCUACUGUGUAACUGCAGGCACAAAUUUCAAAAUGACUACUUUUGUUCAUGUACAUUGUAACAAUAACAUGGGAGAGUUAAGUUGUAACUUACCCAAAGGCCUUAAGUGGUGCCAAAAGACCACUAAUUCCUGUGUUCUCAAUUUUCUCAUCACCCUGGAACUAAAUAUAUCAGAAAUUCAACCAAGGUCUAUUUACUCAGUGAAACAAAACAAGCAGUAUCAAACGUACCAGAACUGCUCCGAAAAUGCAUGGAGGAACCAUGUCACUUUUGGAAACAGAAUUGACAAUGUCUUCAAGACAAAUCUUCUGUCUCUUAAGCCACUUUCCAUAUGGUCUAGCUUGUGAGUACUGUCUCUUCAGUGCCUCAUCAUCAACAACAAUGCCAUGUUCAAAAUCCACCAGCAGCAUCAUUCCUGGGUUUAGCCUUCCUUUCCUGGCCACUUCGUCCGGAGGGAUAUCUACAACGCCUACUUCACUGGCCAUAAUAACAAGGCCACUAUGUGUAAUAUAAAACCGACCAGGUCUCAACCCAUUGCGAUCAAGUGUUGCUCCAAGAUAGCGACCAUCAGUAACUGCACUUGAAUUUAAAAAAAAACAUAUUAGUUUAAAUCACCAUGUCACCUGGAGUUUUGCACCAAGAAUAGUAUGGGUUCUCACAUGAAAUGAGAGCAGGUCCAUCCCAGGGCUCCAUGAGAGCUGAGAAAUAUUCAUACAAAGCCUUCCUUUCAGAAUCCAUGUUUUUAUCAUUCUGCCAUGCCUCAGGUAUCAUCAUCAUGACAGCUUCUGGCAUGCUCCUACCAGAACGAACCAACAGCUCAAGAACACCAUCAAAUGCCCCUACAAUUUACAUAAAUAUUUCAACGUCAAGCACUCAUAAAUGCGUACAGAAAAAUGCACAUUCAUGUACCUGUAUGUUACACGCAUGACCUGUAUGUCAAAUGAUUAGAUUAAAGCAAGAUAUCAAGUGAGAAAUAUCUACCUGAAUCGGAUGAGCUAGCAUCAACAAUUGGUAAAAUUUGCUUCAUUCCAUCUUCCGAUAAGCCUAAUUCCUUGCACUUUAAGAGACCCUCCCGUGCCCUCAUCCUGUUAGGAAAGAAGAAAAGAAAGAUGUCAACCAAACCAAACGGUGACUAGCAUAUAUAAUUAGCUUAUAACAAAGAAAAAAUCCACCAUCUUCUUAUCAUACCAGUUUAUGUUUCCUCGUAAAGUGUUGAUUUCUCCAUUGUGACCCACUACACGCAUUGGUUGUGCACGGUCCCAGCUGGGAAAUGUGUUUGUGGAGAAUCGAGAAUGCACCUGCACAUGAACAUUGUUAUUUGAUCCUAAAAUUGCAAUUUUUAGACUUGCAUUCUGAGGUUUAAUAGUUCAGUGUGAAAUAAAGGGGCACCAGAAUAGCCAAUAGGAUCGGUCUAAGUACAGUCCCAAUGAAAAAUUACACAGAGAGCCUAAGCAAUCUUCACCUGUAAUCAUUUCUUUUCCACUUCAAAAUAGGAUCUCAUACAAUAGAUUGUAGGAUUUAAUGCAUCAGAGUUCUGCAACAAGGUUUCCUAGGUUAUCAACUACAAAGAUUUCACCAUACCACCCAAAGCAUCGACUACAUAUUUCAUAUAGUAAACUGUUGUGGUCAAGAGUUUUUGCAAAAGUAUAUAUUUACCAGGGCCAUGUAACUCGUAAACUUUUUGUCACCAAGAUCUGCAUAAUAGUAGUUUUUCAGCUGAACAGGCUUUAGCUGACCUUUGUAAACAAUAGUCCUGCCAAAAUCAGACAAAACACAACACUUUUAGAAGAUCCAGGACUUCUAUCCAUUAGUAAAGGAAACAAAACUGCCAUCACAUCUACACAGAAACAAGAUACUUAAUAACCCAUUCUUCCCUAAUCAUAUCUUCUAACUCAAAACAACAAAAAUUUCCUCUUCUUUAUGCAAGGGCAAAAGGGGGUUAAAAUAUCACCUCGAAGACAAUGAGCAUAUAUAGAAUUCCUUCGCUGCACCACGCUUCAGAUUCAAAGCAGCUCGAACAGAAACCAUUGAGAAUCUCCUUAAUAUAUACAUCUGCAUAUACCCAAGAUAAAAAUCAAACAGAACCUUUAGAAGUUAGAAGUUUCUAUCAAGUUUUAAUGAGUUUCUCUGUGUUCAAGAAAAAAAAAAAUCAACGAAGGACCUGUUGCUCAAAAUCAGCAUUGGAUUGUGCACUUGGAGUAAGAAAAACUUGCUCAAUGAUUGGCUCUGUCCGUCGAGCAGACUCACCAAGCUCCGUAUUAUUUGUUGGUACCGGACGCCAGCCAAGAAUAACAUGCCCCAAGGAUUCUGCAACCUAAAGUAGCAUAAAGUACCAGACAGUUCUUCAGAGUACUCUGAAUUGCUCUAGGAUGUAUUAAGAAUCACAAGAAAAGAAAAACUCCCAAAUAUGGCAGAAAUUUUUGAAAAGAAAAAAAAAAUAUAAAGGUAUACUAUAGCAUAAGUGAAAAUAGCUCAUCAAGAACAGCAUCAUAACAAAAGUUUGAGAUUAUCUAGACAAAAGAGAUUACAAAUGAAUUUCUUGGUUGAGAUCAGACCUGAUCACUUCAAAAAGGAUAAAAAAAAAAUACCUUUCAAAAAAGAAACAUUCACUUUGUUAAAAGGAAUUUUAGUGUAAGAAACAGAAGCUAGACUUCCUCAAAUUUAAUCAUGUCUUUCAGCACAUGUAGCAGGACCCUAAUUUCAAACAAACAUUGUAGCACAAGAUGUAAAUAUCUUAUCAUAUUCUUUUAAAAAAUGCAUAAUGUUAAAAACAUGCAAAUUGUUCUUUGAAAGUUGCAAAAAUAAAUUAUACAACACAUCCAAGAUAAUAUUUUUCAUAGAAAAUAAAUGUAAAACACAACUAUCAACUUACUCAACAGACACGCCUGUAUACACUGAACAAUGAACAAAGAGAAUCUGCAGUUCCUUUUAAAAGAGAAAUAUAAAAUCUCCAGAAGUUUAGCUACAGAUCCUGGUAGAUCUCAAGUGUAAUUAUUCAUAAUGGAAAAUUACCUCCACGAAUGCAGCUUUGCUUUUCUCCCUGCGGCUAUCAUCAGUUGGCAUGAAGAACAUGCCAACAGCAUACUUACUGGGUGGUGGCAGUUCAAACCCCAAAUCUUUGGUUACCUGAAAGAGAAAAAAAAUAUGUAGAAAAUACCAAAAAUUCAUAGUUAAUAAUGCCCUAAGAAGAACAAUCACCAAUUGACAACACCACAAAUGAACACGCCAAUAAAAGAUAUGACAAACGCUUAGAACAGGGGAAAAAUAUUUCUUACAAGAACAAAGGCCCCUUAAAAAUUCAAAAUGCGUGCCUCAUUGAAAACAAAUAAUACACAUGCCUCGUUGAGGAACUCGUGCGGAAGAGCUACAAGGAUGCCAGCCCCAUCGCCAGUGUUAGCCUCGCAGCCACAAGCACCACGGUGCGCCAUCCUCUCCAGCAUCUGCAGUGCAUUGUCAACCUGCAAAUUCUCCAUAUGUUCAGCAAUGCUCUUGGAAUGCAACGAUUUCAAGGUCAAGAACAUACUCUUGAUUACUCUUGAUCAGGGGAAACAAAAGCUUACUGUUUUAUGGCUAUAUUCGCCGGAUAGCUCAGCAAUAAAUCCGACACCACAAGAGUCUUUCUCGAAGGAGGGAUCAUAAAGACCCAUGGGCUUCUCUGGCAACUCAGACAUGGACGUUGAUGGGGAUCGAGAGGUGGCAACGACGUUCCGCUUCGGCAUCAAACAACGUGUGAGGUCGUCGGUGCGCCGUGGAUGGUGCCUUUGUAUACCAAGAAAACGGCUCUCCGAGGAGAUAGUAUGAGAUCGUCGCAAGGCAGAGAACCACACGGCCCUGCUUCCACGGCGGUCGUUCCUCUUGUAGUGCGCAACGCAAGAAGGCGCCAACGUCCCUGCGCCAAGCUUUAAAGCCGAGCACGGGUCAGCGGAGGCCAUAGGCGAAAGACCACUCAUUCUUUGAGGUUUUGGAACAAAGUUUAGAUCUUUACGAGCUUGCUGAAACUCUCAACCAGGUUUCAGGUAAAAGGAAGUAGAUUUAUGAAGAAUCGAACAAAGAAACGCCGGAGAAAGAGUCGAUCAAAGAGCCGUUCGGGACGACGCGUUCUUCGUCGGACGGGUUCGCUGUGUAGAACAGGAAAAAACCGAGACCGUGAGCAUCCACAAGAUGACGCAUGUCAAAAGUGGCAAGCAAAAGUAUCGUGCAGAACGAGCACCUGAGAUUGAAACAGAGACACUGGCGGUUUCUAAUGGAUAAAUAACAACAUCAUUAACUAUUCUAACAAUCUAAACCCGCCGAUCUCUUCUUACCCAUAUCAAAAACAAGAUUUUUCCCCUGCUUUUUACCUCUAUAUCGAUAAAAGCUAGGAAGAAGCAAAAGAUCUUCGAUUCCCGGCAACUGCCAAACCCAAGCUAGAGAUUCCAAAAGAUCCUCCACCCAGAGAAAAACGCCGCACUCCGCCGCUUCUCUCGCUGUUUCUCUCUCCUAUCGCUAUUGUUUCGUGCUUCCCUCCGCCGAUAGAGAGACGGAUUUAUAGAGGAGUUGGCUGCGGGGCCGGCCAUACUCCCUCUCCCUCUGCCCUUUAAUUUUCGAAGCUUGGGGAUCCGCUCCAGCCAUGCUUUUAUCUGAAUCCGUACAAUCCAUGAUCCCUAUGUGCCCGCCGCAGUUCGCCCGCCGUUGGAUAAGACUCGGCGAGAGCGGGUGGGGCCCGCGCGAAGGGGAACGUGGUGGCGUGGACGAUUCUAACGCCGCCACGUCGGUAUCCACGACGUGGUUUACGACUUCGGACGCGAAACGGUUCGCCUCCGAGUCUCCGCGGGCGGCCCUACCAAGAACCAAAAUCCCAAAUAAUUAAUCUCCGUGAUCCACCACGCUCUCCUGGAGACACCCACCAAACGCAAGCGGCUAUCAUGGAUGACAUGGCCCCACAUCGACGGUCAGGAUCGUUUGGGUAUCUUGGUCGGUAUCUUUUACGGUGCCGAAAAAACAUAUUGUUAAAUAUUACCUCUGGGAUUAUGUGGUUUAUCCACAUAAUUAUAAUAAUUAAACCCCAAAUCCAUCGAAUCAUCAACCGAAGUGAUGAUACGAGUACGGCUAUAAGAAUCACAAAGAUGUCUAUCCAAUUAAUCUCUCUCUCUCUCUCUCUCUCUCUCGUUUGUGGUUUUAGAAUGAAUAAAAAUAUCAUGAAAUUAAAUAAAGCUAUUGAAUCCUCUUUGUCCUCCUAAUUAAACUUAUGAGGAAAAUCCCCGAUUUGCUUCUUGUGGGUUGACCAUUGCUACCAUCGAAGACAAUAACAUCCUCCUUAAUUUAAUAUUAGUACUCUUUUUUACAAUUUAAUUAUAUUUGAUCAAGAAUUACUCCCUACCUUCGUCUUCCAAUCCACCUUCUUUCUAUAAAUCUUGGUGCGGAGAGAUGAAUCGAGAUAGAAGAAAGAAUAAGAGUAAUGUAAUGUUCCAUCAUGACACGUUGACUUCCGUAUAUUGAUAUCUUUGAUGUUGUUAUCGAGGUUGACUUUUCUAUUCGUAGCAACAACGAGGACAUAUUGCACAAAUAGAGUCAAUUAUAAUUAUUAUUAUUGUUGUUGUUAUUAUUAAUUUUAUUAUUAUUAUUGUGGGAGGCCACAUGUUUUCUAAAGCCAAUAGCUUUGGAUGGCCAACAGUAAUUUUUUUAAGAUAUAAAAAUAUUUUUUAAAAGAUAAAAUAUAUAUAUAUCGGAUAAGAUUUUUGAUAAGAGAAUCUGAUAAAAAUACAUCAAAUCAGAUUUUUAACCUUAACCAGUGUUUGUGAAAAUUAUAAAUCCACUUAACACAAGAUAUAAAAAUAUUAAUUCUUUGUUACUAUUUGAAAGUUAUAGAUACUGUUAGUACUCUUAAUAGUAUUUUUUUAAAAGAUAACGAUCAUUGUCAUUAUGUCUAAAUACUUGAGUUGGUUGAUAAGACGUAGUACAUGUCUUUAUAGAUCGAUAUAACAUAGUGUGUUGAUACGUCCAUAUGUAUCAAGACAAAAGAAACUUAAAAAUCUAAAAAUUAAUAAAUUAUUAUCCGAUCAAUCUUGUCAAAAUAGAUCUUAUAUUGAGCAUACCGUACGAGUAUCCUAGUCCACAUCUCCGUAGAAUAUCAUGCUAAUAAACCUUGGUUUGCUAUAUAUUUAACUUUUGUUUUUGAUAUGAUUUCAGCUCAUUAUUAAGCUCAUGAUAGAUGGCAUAAUCAUUUAAUUUGUAAUUUUUAACUUACCUUUCUUAUUAAAAUUUAAUAUUUAAUCGUCAUUGUCCUUUUAGUUUAGUGAGAGAUUGGAGUGCCCAAGUAUUAUUAUUCUUUACAACUCGAAGAUAUAUUAUAUUUAAAAAAAAUCUUGUGGAGAUGGUAUCCAAGUUACUAUCAUCCAAAUAAUUAUUAAAUUGAAAAAACCUUUAAGAUAGUGAUUAAGAAAUUUCAAUGGUGACGGCUGAGGAUAGAUUAGUCACUUGACAUUUUCACUAUGUUAAUUCCUAUCUAUUUCAUAUUAGUGGAAUCAAUGAUAUUAAAUUAUAUAUAAAUCUUACCUUUUACCAUUCACUUAUAAGCCUAUGGGGUCACAAGCCUAUAGACUAUCAUUCAUUUGUAAGCCUAUGGGGUCACAAGCCUAUAGACUAUCAUUCAUUUGUAAGCCUACGGGAUCAAGAGCCUACUCCUCAAUCAAUGUGGGUUGCAUCGGACCCAAAGAUUUCUAUUGUUCACACUCUCGUGAGACUUAAUUUGCAAUCAGAGAGAUUGGGUCGAGAAAUCCUUCCAACGCUGCUAACUGCUUGUGUAGGGUUCCUAAAGAAACCAAAGCAUACCUUAACUCAUCUCCAAGACUUCGAGAAGACUAUGACUCACCUUGGGCCAAUUCGAGAGCAAUCUGGGAUACUCAAUCGUCACCUCAGGAUCAUUUUGGUCGAAUCUUUUUUGACUCCAACGAUCUCACAUAGUCGUCACGUGAGCUAUCAAGACGAGCUUGCACUUUCGGGCUAGAACCAAGUCAUGCCGAGUCACGGUCAAUGGUAUUAAGACAAUAACACCACUUAAUCUUUAUUGUUUUUUUUCAAGUUAUUUUUCAUCAAAUCCAUUUCUCUUAAAAAAUUCACCAAGUCAAUAAAGCAUGAGAUCCCUAUGUACUUUAAUAAUGCUAGGAAUUGAGUUGCAUGCAUUGUUUUAUCUCCUUAUAAAGAAUGGUUUUUUUAGGGUACCUUUGCACCAUUGGAUCUAGCAAAUCCAUAAAGUGAGAAGGAAAACAAGAUUCAGUGUUCAAGAGUACAGAUCCUUUAUGAGCUUGUAGCUUUUGACCUCAGGAUGCUUGAGAUGGGGACAUCCCAGCUGAUUCCAUCAAACCUUGCUGAAAACCAUCUUUGGACACAACACCAACAGGCUUUGUUAGAUGAUGUUGACAUAGGUAGGAGUUCCUUGCACACCUUCCUAUUGCUGUAUCUGAAUUCUUUAGCUCUUGUCUGAUCUCAAUGCAGAUGACAGUCUUUCCUUCCUGCAACAGCUUCUGCACAAUUCAUAUUUAUAUGAGGUUUCCAAUAGCCACUCUUUUACUUCUGCAAGAGCUUCUAAACUCUAACUAUCAAUACAAGUUAAUAUUUGUAUGAGCUUUUCCAUGAUCAGACUUCUACUUCUGCAUGAGCUUCUAAACCUUUAAAUGUCUACUGUAAAAUGAUCUCUAAAUACCAUCUCUAGAAAGUUGUAGGAUUUCAUAGCUGUAUUAGGUUUUCCAUGGCCAGCCUUUUGCUUCUGCAGCAGCUCCCAAACAUCUAAAUAUCAACUCAUAGGGUGCCAUGAAAAUUCCAUAUCUUUAUGAUCCUAACAAACACAAAUUGUUCUCAAUCAUUUACUUCUCCAGGUAACAUUUCUUAUAAUUCAUCAAUCAGAUUCUAAGUGGUUGGUCUUCAUCAUCAUGGAAAAAGUUUUCUGUUUGGAUUCCUGUAAAAAGUUAAAAGUUAUUGGUUGAUACAGUUCUCUUUAUCUCCUUAAAAAUCAUAUUUUGUUUCUUUUCCUUUCAUUUUGAAUGGAUUCCUUCUAAAUUCUUUGGAUGCAGCCAUGUUCAGAAGUAUUACAGUAUUUGCACUUUCUGACAGAACAUGAAACUUUGCACUUUGAAAAAGUUAUACAAAAACUGCCCAUUUUAUCACACAUAACUGGAGAAGAAUAAUAUCACAGAAAUCAUCCUGCAUUGAUUGUCACAUGAGGAAGGAAAAUCAAUUUCUGACAUGAUCUCUCACUUGUGUGUGUGUGUGUGUGAGAGAGAGAGAGAGAGAGAGAAUCCUUUCUUUUCUACCAAGACUCAGAUCAUCAGGUUGGCAUAUCAAACUCAAGGUUCCAAUUUCUGUGUGCUGGAAACUUCCUAUGCAAUUCCUGUGCAUUGCGUAACACAUUUUGACUUCCUUUUUAGUAGCAGAAACCAUUGUUGUAAGACCAUCUUCUUAUUUAAUGUACACAACUUGCUGUUUGAAGCAUAUAUCUAACCAUCAACAACACCUCCUAAAUCAGGUUUCACUGCUUUCAAGAAAGCAGCAAUCAAUACAUAUCAGCUGAAAGAGUUGUUUAGAUCAUACCAUACAUGUAAACACCAGUAGAUGAAUAUAAUUUAGUUCAAAGAGUACUCUUCACCUGAAGGAAUUCCCCACUGUGAAGCAUGUUCAGGUAAAACUGUGCACGAAAAGCUUGCAAGAAUGAAAGCUCCUUAAUGCUCUCUGUUAUCUACAAACUUACAGCCUCCCACUAAAUGUAGAUUUCAAGCAAGUUAUAUAAAUAUAAUGUCCGGUGUAAAAUGCAGGGUAUAAUCUUAUACAACUACUCAACACUUUUGAUUCUUUGCUUUUAAUGUAUAGAAAGUCAAUUCAGGUCUUAAAUGCAUUAACGUGAUGGCUGUUCUUACCUAUGGCAGCAUGAACUUGCUAGUGAGAAAAGAGGACAUUUGCACUUGAUAAUGAAAGCAUAUGCAAAACUGAUUUGUAGCCAAGUCUAGCAAGCAAGCUACAGCUUCAUAUGGGUGGUCAGUGGACAUGAAACUUAUCUGAGAAGCAUGGAGGAGUUUGACUUCCCUUAAAUAAAGGCAUGAAUGAUCCAUUUCUUGGAAUAGAUAAUACAAGGUAUGGGCAUAGACAAAUAAAGAGCUAAUAUCUUACAUGCUACUUUCCAAGACAAAUAUCAGUCAGCCUGACAACCACACAUUCCCCUAUCUUGUUUCAGUAUAGCAGCAGAAUCAAUGAGUUUUUCUCUUCUUUUCUGACAGGAAAUUAACAAGCUUCCAGUGAUCAACUUUAGGAGAGAGGCUAUUGGGUGGGAUUCUUUGAUAUAAGUAGCUGCAUAGAAGAUUUGCAGAUUCAUUCUCUUGUACCAAAAUUGAUGAUAAUUCUCCACUCUGUUUCAUCUGGAAAAAUAAAUCAUGCAAUAAUUGUAAGAGACCAAUCCAGUGAUCAAGAACUCUUGAUCUUCUCUCUUUGUUGUAACACCAGCAUCAGCUCAGCCAUUCCUACAAGAAGCCAUGGAAAAUAGCUUGAGGUUUAGUCCAUAGGAAAUAAAACUCCUUAUAAGUAAUUAUCUUUUUGGUUACAUGAUUGCCCUUGAAGAUAUUUGUUCAAGCCAUAUUUCAUUUCCUAUUUCCUGCUAGACUUUAUUCCAUGAUCUAUAUGACCCAUAAGAAGUACCUCUUUAAUAGAGAUCCACUUGCAACUCUGAAGAUUCAUGAAAGCAAAUGUUGCUUUCAUCCACCAUGCAUUUUUCUAAUAUAACAAUAAUAUAUACCUGAGAUGGAUUCUGCAUUCUGAAUGUAGAAGGAUAUUCUUACUUUGUUAUGAUCAAAUUGUUUUGACUUGGCACAUACAGUUGAACUUUUCAAACACAAUUUGGCAACACAGAAUGCAAACAAAUGUAGAUAGACAUGGAAUCUUUCAUCUUUGUCAAGUUGUGGAUUGUAAGAUCCAAGUCUUUCCUCAACCAACAUGACAUCCAUGAUCUUUGAAUAACAUGAAAUGCGUGAGGUAAUUGCCAUCUUCCCAUACUCCUCUUAUUCCUGAGCCGAACACAAACCACCAUUCUCUUGCAUCGGAAAACUCCAAAGUCAAGCCUCAGAUUCAUGACAAAACAACAAACAUGAAUCUAAUAUAAGUGUCUAGAACUUAUCUUUCUACAAUGAUAUCUAGUGCUGAGACCAAUGCCAACAGAAAAAAAAUGGAAGACAAUUCAAGGCUAACAAACAUAAAGCCUUCUUUUAUGUCUCAUCACGCUGUCGAUUAGCCUCAUCGAGGAGGCAUGUAAUAUUUAAUCUGAGGGAAUGUCUUGGGAUCUCAGUUAAGGAUUAAUUAGCUGCAAUUGGCCUUUAGUCAACCUGCAUCAAUCUUUAAGAGGGUGAAGACUUCAAUAUGAUUCUGCCGAAACAUUCAUACUUUAUGAAUCCAGAUUGUGUUGUUCUGCCUCAGCCAUCAGAUGUGCCAAGCAGAAUUGGAGAGAUGAGCUCAAUCUCUUAUAAAAAAUGUAAAAUUGACAGAAAACAGACUUAUUUAGUUGAUUUUUGCAUCAGUUUGACCAUCUUUGUGCUUAAAUAUGGGUUUGGAAAUCCACACAAGGAUCCAUUGCAACUGCUACAAAAUGUAUCAUAUUUUGACAGUCGAAGCAAAUUUGAGUUCCUUUGGGUAACAAAUUCUUCCUAUGAGUUAUAUCGGUGAGUCUCUUUCGAUAUCUAUAUCAAGCAUCAAAUAUAUGAUUUCAAUUGAUGGCGUAGAGGUCUAUAUCUUUUGGCAUACCUUCAAAAAGAAGUGCAUUCUCAGGUAAGGAUAUUUCUUUUUAGUCUAAAGCUAAUUAGUUCUUGGGCUUCUUCUAGAGUUAUUAGGCUUUGUUUAACCCAAAGCUUUAGAUCUCAGGAGAAAUAGUUGCAGCUGCAUCUACUCAUCAUCUCCACAACUGCAAUUAGAGCACUCUCUCAGCUUAGGAGAAGUACUACCACAAUGCAAGAUGCAGCAGCAUAUCUAUAUUAUAGCUGCAUGGUAGUAAUCUGUGCGCAGGUCCUAAGAAUUCAGAAUUGCUUCUCAUCUGUGAGAACACCAAUGAAUGUUUCUAAAGAUGUGCUCAUAAUCAUCAGAAAAUAAACAUUUUCACUACAGAAUCACAGUUUACUAAAAGUCAUCUCCUUUUCUGGCUCUGGAAUCCAAUCAAAAUCUCAUGGAUGAUGAGUUGACUUUGGUGUAGAACUACAUAAAGGUUCGAUUUAAGAUAGCAUACCCAAGUGGUCAUUGAGGUGAUUGGAGAGCCCAUCAACUCCUUCCCUUCUCAAAUGAUCAUUCCUUUUGCCUUCAUGCUAUAAACAAAUGGUCCUCUCUGUCUCUCUCUCCAUCUCUCUUUCAUCCUCAUUGUUUCUGUUGGCUAGUUGAGAACCCCAAGAAUCCAUCCAAAAUAAAAGAAAUGAAGGGAAAGAUAUUUAAUGCACUGAUCAUUGCAUAAAGUGCACUGGAAGCAACAAAUUGGGAAGAGAUCUGACACAAGUGUUCUGGUCUGCAUCAAUACAAAUAGUAUCAGUGCAGCUGCUCUUAUACAGGCUGAAACCUAGAAGAACUACAUGUGGGUUGGGCUGGUUAACCUGGAACAAGCUCCAUUAGCUACUGCAGGAAGAUGGUGAGGGUUCAUAGGUUGCUGAACCUUGUAUCUGUAACAGAGUAAAUGGAGAAUUCUAUGUGCACUAGUCUUUGCUGCUUCAUCUUCAUGAUCAAGAUUGUUCUUUUGUGCCUUUAUUUUGUUGUGAUACUCUCAUGCAUAAGAUUUCAGCUAGCUUACUACACUUUCCAUGAUUGCUAUAAAUUUCUUUUUUAGUGAGAAUUCAAGAAUAUUUGUUCUGACACCUCCAUAACCAGCAAAGUUGAGCACAUCUCACCAGGUAAUAUGUGACAAGAAAGGAUUAUUUUAUUGAUUGAAUCAUUGAAUCAUGAAAGAAAAACAAUCUAAUAGGAAAAAGAUUAUUUUGUUUGAUCUGAUCAUGAAAGAAAACAUUCAUUUUUUUUUUUGUCCGCACUUACUUUGGAAAGCCAAUGGUAGAUUAUGAUUUAUGAUGAUAAUUCUUCUAUGGCAAAAUUAAAUCCACGGUCUCUUACAAAUUUGAUAGAAUCAGAUGGCAAAUGUUGAGUCACUCAAGAAAUUGCCAUCAUGCUCACUUCAUGAUAUUUAAGAGCUAUCUUGUAUUAGCUAUUUGAUUAGUACAUAGAACCACAAAUUUAAGAGAUAUUAAGAUUUUUUUUUAUAGAAAUGAAAAGUUAUAUUAAUUCAUUACUGGAUUAUGACACCAUUAAACCUCUUUGACACCAAAAAUACCUUUCUUAUUUGAUACAUUUGCACCUUCUACAUUGGCAACUACAUGAUAGAUCGUUAGUAAUAUAAUUUUUUUUUAUUAUAAAGAUAAAAAAAUUCAUCAUAUUUGUUACUCUCUCAUCACUUUCUUUCACUAUAUUAUACAAAUUAUUUUUAUAAUAUUUUUAGAUUUUUUUCUUUAAAAAGCCUCAUUUUUUAAUUUUCUCAUUUAAUUUUUUUUUUCAAAUAUCCUAAAUGCCCCUCGUCAUCGUCAUCUCCUCUUUCAUGUUAGCAUUGUCGAUCAUUACUUCUAGCCCAUUGCCCCUUUAUAUUCCCACCUCACACUUUUCUGUGCCCUCACCCUCGACCUUUUUCGUCUUCAUGUUGCCCUCUAUGCUCUUAUCAUCUAAUUAGACUCACUUACUCUCGUUCUUUUUUCUGUGUUCAUAUCAUUUGACAUGUCAUAUUCCAUAGAGAAGUUUUUUCAUCGAUAUCUUCCUUCCAAAGCAUGUCGUUGAGAAUGCAGGUGGAGAAAAACGACAGAGGAGAUAAGGUCAAGGAAGAGAACACUAUUAUGAGGAUGAAAGAAAGAUAUUAGAGAAGAAAUAAGAGAAAUAUAUGACAAAGUGAAGGGAAAAUUAAGAUAUUAAAGAAAAUGUGACAACGAUUAGGAAUUUAAGAUAUUAAAGAAAAAAAAUACUAAAUGGGAAAAUUAAAAACUAUGAUACCUUUAGGAAAAAUUUUAAAAAAGAUUUUUUUUCAAAUAAAUCGUCCAAUAUUCUUUAUAUUUUAAUAUGAUAUAAAAAUACUAAUUUAUUUUGAAUAUAUUUAUUAACCACGCUCCAGCUACAAAGGAAUAAAAUUAUCGCAUCGUGUCGUCAAGAUUAGUGCACGUACACUCGGUCUCUCUUCUUCCUCCGCUUUGAAAUCCUAAGAUUCUUACUGUACUCGCCUACUCCGAAGGGCACGGUAAGUUCACAGGCAGGUGUUCGCGGGACCCGUUCUGUUUCUCCAAUCACUUUACAGGUAGGCCUGCGGGUCUCAAAACAUGGUGCUAGUUAAUUAUCCUGCGACGGUUGUUUACCUCGAGUGGAAAAGGGUCCUCUUUCGACCUACUGGAGAGUCCUCUUAAAUGUCCGAAAUCCCCACUUCACCCCUAAUUCGUUGUUGUUACCACCCGGAAGCGACUCGAAGGCCGCACGAGCGCAGAGGGCAGUUUUGUCCAUUUAAUUCAAGUUAUCCGUGAGAGCCCCGUUGCCACCCUCCUUCCUUCGACUUCCCCGGUCGCUCCUCGCUCCACCGCCGCCUCCUCCUUCUCUUCCCCCUCCUCCUCCUACUCUUCCUUGUAUUCUCCUUCUUAUUUCCCCCAUCGAUACACUCCCCUUCCUUGGAGCGGAUUGGCGAUUUCUUCUUAUUCGAUCUUGCCGAGACAUUCGAUCGGUAGCCCCGCCCGACUUGGGAUUCCUCGGAGAUUGAUCGGUCCUCGGAGUGAUCUAGCGGAAUGCGCUUUUUUUGAAGGAGUUUGUUUGCUCGUCGGCGGGUUCCGAUCGCUUGAGCGGAAAAUAAUUGGAAUUAGGGUUUCGACGGGGAAGAUGCCGCGGAGCUCACGGCAUAGAUCUCACCGGUUGCACAAGCACUCGAGAGAUCUGUCCGAUUCCGAGGAGGACGGGAGUCCGCGGGAGAGGAGGAUCAGGGAGGAGGAACCGACCGCGAGCUCUGGUGCUAGGGUUUCCAGAGAUCCGGAGCCGGAGAAGCGGAGAUCCUCGCACGAACAUGCCGGGAAAGAGCUGGUGGUCACUAGCAAUGGGGAUGCCUCUGGGGAGCAUGGGAAGAAGCGUAAAGAAAAGGCAGAGGAGGUGGCAGUUGCUGAUCGAUGGAAUGGCGGUGAGGAGUGUGACCACAAGAGGUCGAAGUGUGAGGAAUUUGGGCCCGUGGAGUUGGAUAAGAGUUCAAGGUCUAAGCUUUUGACUGCUGAUUCCAAGGUCAGGUCUAGCAGAAGGCAUGAUGGUUCAAAUGAAAGAGAUGAGAAUUCUGGUGGGAAGAAUGAUUCGGCCAAGCACAAGUCUGAAAGAGGUGCAGAUCGGAGGGAGAGCAGUAGUCAGUAUAAGGAUGGAAGGGCUAGGAACAGGAUAGAGAAGGACACCAUCAAGGACAGGGAGGUCCAAGAUUCCAGGCAUGACAAGUAUGAUGAUAAGCAUAGUAGAAAAAAUGGUCCUAAGUCUGGUGGCAGCACAGAAGAACUCACUUCAAAGAAGUAUACAACAAAUAAUGGUAAGGUAACCAUAACAUGUUAGUACUUGAGCUUUCUUAUUAGGCUAUUCCUUAUGGCAUCAAUGAAAUUGGCUUAUCCAUGAAAAACAUGUUGUUUCACAGCUGCGACCAAAAGAUGGUAUUGUUUAAACUGUGUCAAGCUUAGUUCUGCAUAAAAUGGUUGAGCAAUUAGAAAAGUUUUAUGCAUCAAUUCUUGCUUGGCAACAUGACUGUGGUCUGAGUAGCUUGGGUCAUUGAUGGAUGAGAAAAAAUGGUUACAGCAAUAGAUCAUGUUUCUUGAGCUUCUGCAACCAUAAAUGCUUUUUACUAUAAGAGCAUUUAUGGCUUUUUACCAUAAAAGCUUGUUUGUGGUAAUUUCUGAAGAAAAUUUCAAAUGUUUCUAUGCCAACUUCUACUAUAAGAGGACAGAAGAAAUUUGACCAGAGCAAAAUGAGGAUCCCAAUAAGAACUUGUUGGAAUGAUAGAGUUUACUAGGGGUACAUCCAGGUUAUAGUGGAGGAUACAGAAGAAGAAAGACGGAAAGGCAAAUAUCACAUGUCAUGAUAUGAUCAUAUUCUUGGGAGAUUUUAUAUGACUGGUAAGAAGGGGUAUCUUUGAUUUUGUGGGUGGGUUUCUUGUUUAGAUUUGAGUCAUCUGAAUGGUCUAUUUUUAGGGUUUUUUAUUUGUUCCACAUUAUAGGCGAACUGGAGGAGGAAGUGUCAUAAAAAUAUGAAAACAAUUGGUGGUCUAUCAUAACAAUAUGAUAAUAUGUUAAAAAUUAGAGCCUGCACAGUCUAGAGUCGAAUUGGCCAUGGGAAAAUAAUUGUUUGUCUAUCAUAAGAAUAUGAAACUUUGAUUCUAGAAAAGUAUCUUAGAAUACAGAAAAAGUAGUUUCCUAAGAUUUAGGUGGGUGGAUGUCAAGUAUUAGGUUGGUGGAACCGUGGAAGUUUCUUUACUUCUGGUUUGGAAAUUAUCUUUGCCUGACUUUCGGUUUUGGACAGAGAGACAAUUCACAUAAUCUGUAAACAUCAGGAAUUGAUUCCAAAAUGGGUUGGGAGGACAAUGUGGAGUUUGUAAUAUUACGAGUUUGGAGUUGAAAUGUUUUGGUUUGAAUGGUGAGAUGCAUUAUCUAUUAUCUUGAUUGGUAGGUUUUUUGUUUUCAAGAAGUUUUAAUGAUAAACUGUUGUGUACAUUGUGGCAUUUUUGCACUUUAUACUGGUACAAAAGCCUUGAGAAUCACAUUAAUGAGCUUAUUUAAGACUAUGCAUUGGAGCUAAUAUGUAAACAAAGUAUAUUAGUUUAUUUUAUUGGGAAGGACAAAUUCUAGGGAAAACUACCUCGAUUAGUGGUGUUUCAACAUUGUAAUCCUACAAUGCUUUUCCAACAUUAAUGAACUAGUUUGGAACUUAGUAUUUCGUUUAUGAACUACCACAUUUUGGUUGUCUUUAUUCUUCCACUACUUGCUCGAUAUGCAAUAUGUAACAAACUAAGGUAUUUCAUCUUUGAAGAUUUUUGGAUUGGCUUAUCGGCAUGGGGAAGGCGUACAAGUGUUUGAGGGCUGUUGGAUGGUUUUAAACAAAGCUUAAUCUCCAUGGUUUCACAUUUCUGACUAGUUUCAGACUUCUAUUUCAUCAUUGUUGGCUAGAUAGAAAAUUUUCUUGGCGGUGUGUCACAUGGAAUUGAAAUGAUUUGCAUGAUUGCAUAGUGAAGUUGGUCAUGAGAUGUGUUAUGUAGUUGCAAUGGACAACAUUCCGGAGUAUACAGUGAAUAGUGAAGUUCUUAUAUAUUUGUACUUUUUGUUGCAAGUUAUGCCAUCUCAUUUAGACCCUUAUAAGUACAUAGAUGAUUAUUUAUCUCAUUCUAGCGAUGUUCAGGAUAAUUCUGUAGAACUAGCCAAAACCCCUUCCUAAAAGGUACCUCUUUAGCACCUGUAUGUAGGCCGGGACGACAGGGGGAAGUGCAAGUGGUUAAUUGUCAACCAAAUAGGCUUUGGUAUUACCGUUUAUAAUACUUUGGUUUGUGGCCUGUAAUGCUGGUGGAUGAUACGUCCAAUCCUUUUAAGAGAUUUAAAGACAACAACUUUUAGAUUGGUUGCUCUCUUUGAUCAUAUGGAGGUUGAAAGGCUGUAUUUUUCGUAAAGUUUGAAUCAUGUCAUCAAGUAGACUAAAGUUGAAGUUUAAUCAUUUACUUAUUGGAUAGUCAUGCAAAUCCAUACAGUUUUCAGGUUUUCGUUCAUUUAAAGUUCCAAAUCUUAGUUCAUCUAAAUCUUUAUAACUUUUUAGAGUACAUUCUGGACAUUCUGAUUUUGUUUAUCAUGUGUCAUAUUUUUACUAUUUUAUCAUAUGUACCAUUUGUUUGUUAUACUAUUUGUGUAUCGUAUGCUUGCUUUACUGGUGGUUUCUACUAUGUUUUGCUGAAUUCAUUAAUUUGUUUAUUUUUAAUCUUUUACCCAUAUGGUGACAGAAAGGCAAGAACAAUAUAUCUUUCGCAGUGCUGAGACAGAGGAGCCUGAGAAACACCUAGGGAGAAGAGAUGACUUUGAAGAAAGAGAGAAAUGGUUGGAUGAUAGUGGACAUGCGGAUGAUAGGAGAUUGUAUUCUAUGGAUGAUCGUAGUAAAAAUAGAAGCUAUAAAGAUGAAAGGCAUGAAGAUGCUAAGUACAGAGGCAAAUACAGGGAUGACGAUGACAGGGAUCAGAAGCAUCGUGAUGACAAGUACCAUGAUGAAUGUCCAGAUAAAGACCACACCAGCAAUAGAUCUGACAAAUGGAACCUUAGAGAUGAAAACAAACCUCUGGAGAGUCAUUAUAAAAGAAUUAAACUUCAGGAUACUGAUCAUGAUGCGACUUCCUAUGUUGAUGGCCAUGAAACCAAGCUCAAAGAUAACAGGGGAAGAAAUAGAUAUUCUGAUGAAAAGGAUCACAGUGACCUAGAACCCAGAGGUGCAAAGGAACAACGUGAAGUUUUUCAGAAAAAUGCAUCGAUUACCAGUCAAACUGGUUCACAUUCUGAUAAACCUAGGUCAGAGAUUCAGCAACCAGAGAAGACUAAUUCAAGUCCAAGAAAUCACCGACUGAAAAGCUCCAUUAGCUCAAGCACAUGUGCUGCUAAAGAUCUUAACAGGUGCUUUUUGUUUCCUGAUCUCUACAUUGCCACUUCAGUUAUUCUUUUGAAACAUAGUAACCAUGGACAAUUGGCUCUGUCAUUGCACAACCUUUUCUGGAUAGUUUAUUUAAAUAAUAAUUGGUGAAACUAACAUAAAUAGUCAGUAUAACAUAUCAUAAAUUUUUAACCUUUAGAAUUUGUCAUGCAAAGUCAUUUGUAACUAUGUAGCACACGAGGGAUUUGGAGUUAUGCAUUUGAAAAUAAAGAUUGUCAAUAUGUUUGAGCUGUACUUGUCUAAGUUGUAGGUACUAUCAGCGAGAUGUUUUGUUUUUCAAGUUCUUGUUUCAUUAAAAUAAAAAAAAAAGAGAUCAACUUCAUGGUACUAUCUCACAGUUAAUCUUAUUUCGAACUUGUCUAGACAAGCUAAUACCUCUGGAGAUACAUGCAGCUACCAUAUUGUAAUAGUCAAGCAUAUAUCUUUUCUAUAAUGUUUUUUCUUGCAUUUUAUCUUUUCUAUUUGGGAAUAGAUACAUGUAGUUGACAUCUAAUAGUUCGGACAUUACAGCGUAUUCUUGAUGUUUAUCUGCUCCUUAUAAUAGCUAUGAUCAGGUGAUAUAUGGUAAUCUGGUGGUUGCUAUCCUGAUUACGAGUUUCCUGGUGGUUAAUGAUUAAUAGUUAAUGUGCCUGUACCUGCUGAGUCAGACCUUGGCCUACACUUUUUCCAACCUGAACCAAGCAUGAAACAUUAGUUCAAGAGCAGCCUCUGCCUGCUUUUUGCAUGAUUUACCAUAGAAAAUAAGGCUCAGUUCCUGGCAGGACUUGGGCUUAUCCUACUUGGGCCUUUUGGGCUUAAGGGCAUAUGAGGGCAAUAAAGCCAGACUAGCCUGGUGUGUUCUCCUUUAGAUUUCCAUGAAAAUCUCUAGUAUCCUGUGUUAAUGAUCUGGCUUUGUUUUCAGGAAUAUCUCAAAGAUUGCAGAAUUUGCACAUAGUGAGUCAGCUCUUGAAGAUAGACUUUACCCUAAUGCAGCUUCUAAAGGAGAUAGUUCCAUUUCUUCUGGACUUCGUGACAAAAUUUCUGUUACUAGAUCAGGGAAGCAAACCCUAAAGGAUGACAUCCAUUCUGGUGAACUUUUUGCAGAAGCUGCUGCUUCUUCAAAGUGCAAUAGGACUCCGAGAUCAGAUGCCCAUACGUCACCAAAUCAGUUGAAGGGAAGAUCUUCUUCAGCUAUUAUUAAUCGUCGGUUUUCAGAAAGAUCUCCUUUGAAGUAUGAGAGAUUUGCCAGGCAAUGCGUUGAUAUUGAAAUUGGGCAGAGGAGUAGUAGCUCCAAAGCUGGAGACAGAGGAGAGUCGGCUUUGGAAAAGCCAAUCAUAAAUGACAUAUCUCCUGCUGAUGUCUGUGUUAGGGAGUCAACCCUUGGUUCAUCAUCUAUUAAUCGAAGUGAUUAUGUUUCUGACUGUUCAUUUAACCACCUUCCCUCUCCAUUGCCUGUGAGGUCUGGGGUUGACUAUCCAGCAGUCUUGGACCCAUAUCAAGAUGAUGAGAGAGCUCGGAGUACCGACCGCAAAUCUUCUAAUCGUUAUAAAAGGAUGGAUGAUCUUGGAUUCAUAAGAGGGCAUGGAAACGCAUGGAAGGGUGCCCCAACUUGGCCCUUUCCAGUUACAAAUGGUUUUGUUCCAUUACAACAUGGUCCACCUCCUGUAUUUCAUCCAGCCAUGUCUCCGUUCCCAGCUCCACCUUUAUUUGGUGUUCGACCACCUAUUGAUUUGACCCAUGGUGGGGUUUCUUAUCACAUGCAUGAUGAGGCUGUGAGGUAUUCUGGUCAUUGCCAGCCAUUUGGUUGGCACAAUCCAGUCGAUCAAUUAUCCCAUCCUCACAUGCAAAUGUGGGAUGGAAGCAGCGACAUGUUUAAGGAUGAAUCCCAGACCUAUGGGAGGCCAGAAUGGGAUGAAAAUAGUCAGCUAAAGAGCAGUAGAGGUUGGGAAAUGGGUUCUGAUAGGUGGAACAAAGAAAGGGAAUUGUUGAGACAUUCUCUUACUGAUGAACUAGCCCAAUCAAAAUGUUUGCCUACUGGAAGCACUGGAGCAAAACAAUCAAGUGAUACACUGCCUGUCAAGAGUGCUGUUCCGUCUCCCCAAAAGGAUGUAAUUGAGAAGACACAUGAGCCCUCAAAUGUGCCAGGAGAUAAAAUAUCCAACUGUUUCGUCAAUUACUUUUCAAGAAUAGAUAUCUCGCCAGCUCUUGCAGGUUCAGAAUUGUACAAAAGGUGCAAAUCCCAAUUGAGAACGUUACAUGUUAAUGAUGCAUGCAAUUGGACUACUUACAGAAGCAUCCAGGUAUUGAAUAUCUACAUACUAAGAAAAAGGAAAAUAAAAUUGAUUAUUUGGUUUUUUUUAUUAGCUUAUUACUGUUGAUCUGCAUUCUGUUUCAGACUAACAAAGAAGGCAGCAUAGUGAAAAUGAAGAGCGCAAGUUCUAUCUUGAACUCUUUCUUUCCAUCUGCAAAAGAUAUUGUCUUCAAGGUAUAGCUGCUUUAAUGAAAUUUCCCGCUUUAUUUAUUCGAAGAUAUGUAUGGAUAGCUAUGGACAAAAUAAAUAAUGCUUAAGAUUAUCUUCUCCACUAGCUUCUUUUGAGAAGAGAUACUCCUUGAAUUUUUGUUCUCUUUUCUUAAGUACCAACUUUGGCUUGGGUGCACAUUGUGUAUAUGUAUGGUGCUGGUUAUGAGAUUAUAUAUUCAUACUAAUACCCAAAGUUUGCUAUCCAGGAUUCCAGAUUUAAAUUCAGAGAGUCUCAAAUCUAUCAGUAUUGAGAUAUCUAAGUAUUCAAGUAUAUAUCCAAGUCUUACACAGCUAUAUUUAUAUGAGGAAAGAUGUUGCCUGAUUGAUUGUUCUAUGUAUAAAAGAUAUGUUAGCCUUUUCCUACUCUUCCUUUUCUUCUCUAUAUAUAAAUAAUUUUUUUAUCCAGGAAAUAUGAUUGAUCUCUAAUAUUUUGACUUGACUAAGUUUUGGUGCAUCAUAUCCAUUUCAUGUAAACUUUUCAUCCUCCAGCUUAAGUCCCAUCCAAGACCAUAUACACGGUACAACAUCUGUUUGGUAGGUCUAUUUAUUCAAUAAUAGGUGUUGCCUGAUUGAUUAUUCUCUAUACAUAAGUGAUGCACCUGUCCUUUCAUGUUCUUUUUUAUCUUUUCUACAAGUUUUCUUUAUCCAACAAAUAUGAUUGAUAUGUAAUACUGUGACUUGGUUAAGUUGCAUCAUGUCCAAUUCAUGCAAACUUGGCAUCCUUGUCCACCUUAAGUCCAAUCCAAAACUGUAUCUAUGGUACGUCCAGUUUGUACGAGACUCUUGGUAUCUGCGUUUAACAGAUUUGCUUACAUAUUUAGGAAUUUUCUAAUAUCCUUAUUUUAUUAAUAAAGUGGAUAUGAGGAAGGUUUUUAUCCAAUAUCUGUUCUCAUCCUUCCUUAUUCAAGAUACGUAAUCAACAGUUUUUGGAAGUGCAUUCAAGCAUUUGAUAGUAACAACUAUCUUAAUCAACAUAUCCCAUGUGAAAUAACUAAAAAGAGUAUUAGUAUCAAGUCAGAAGUUAAUAAUAUUGUCCUGUGUUCAUGUACCAUAUUUGAACAUUUGGACUUCGUUUUAGCACAUAGCCAUGGCUGUAUUCGACCCAUUUUAAGCCCUAUAAGAAUUUAGUUCUUUCCAAAUACUUGUACUUUAGGCUAUACAAGAGUCUGCGUGACCCAGAUUAUUAAUUAACUCUGAUGGAAAUUGUUGUGGCUGAAAAUUGAUCAGUUCUAUUGUUCUCGUGGUUACAGAGGGCUAUGUUCUUGUAUCAGCAGCAAAAUGGAAAGGCAUACAGGAAACAUCAUGUACCGGCACCUGUAUAUUCUGAAGAAAAGGAGUCUCCACAAGCUUCUGCUAACCGGAAAGUACUGGGUGGUGCUAACUGUGCUUCCUUGGAGAAAACUGAUGCUGACUCCACUGAUCACAUCAAAGCAGGAGACAUCACUGUCGUACAGGACUCUGAUUGUCCUGGUGAUGCCAAGGAUCAAAAAUCUGAUUUCCCUUGUGGUCCUACUGUUCAUGGUAAUAGUACUCAAGGUUGUGAGGUUAUAGCAGAAGAGUGCAGGAUGAAUGUAAGUCGGAUACAUAAUGUUCCUGAAAAUACACACUGAACAAUAUUUUAUCUCUUUGCUAAUGCCAUUUUCAAGUUCAUGUUUAUUUGAUUGGUUGCUUGCCAUAUAUGCACCUGUUAUGUUCCAUUUGUAGUUCUAUAGAGAUGAGAGUCCACAACCAAAAACUGGGUUUUAUAUAUGCUUCUAUCUUCUUUUCCUUGUAUGUUUUGGAUUGACUUAGCCAAAACGUGAGCCUGCUGAAGCAGUAUCAGGUACUUCCAUCUUGGCAACUCGUCUGAUGACUAACAGUCUUUGUCUGUCGGAAACAUAUCAUGCUCUUUAAGCUUCUUAUUUGAUUCAUUCACUAUGGAUUAGGGAGGGGAGUCUGGAGGAUGUCUUUGCAGGGCAUAUGCACAUUAUCUUUGGCAAAGAAAUGGUAUGUAUACAUUUAAUCUUUGUGAGCUUUCAAUUUUAAUCAUAUUGACCAAUCUGUUAUCCUUUUUCUUAUUACUCCACACUUGGGUUCUAAUAUUGCAGAUCACUCGAGGUGGGUGGAUUCGUUGUUAAUGAAAGCAUCCAUUCAUUAACCUUUGACGGCAGCAAUUGGUAACUUCUGCUACAUCUCUUUCCUUUUUCAAAUUAGAAGAAUUCAAAAAGGUGGUAAAUACAUGAGGUGUUGCAUUCUGCAAAAUAAAUUGAUAGGUUGCGGGGCUAUGGAAUAUGAUUCUAGCUGCACCGAUCUCAAGGUAGUCUUUUAUUCUUAUAUUAUUUUUAAGAAAAUGGUAGAUGCUGAGACUUGAGAUUUUUAAGAAAAUAUUUUCUUGUCAAAAGGUCAUCUGCAUGUUAAGUUCAACUAGCAUAUAUAAUCCCUGCGUCUGCGUGUAGCGAGGGACAUUUAGUGGGGCUAGUUAUUUCGUAGCGGAUAGUUUCAUCAAAACAUCGGAUGAUUUCCCAACAUGAAACAUCGUCCAAACUCUAUCAAACCUUACGGUUGGCAUCGUGCAUUAACGAUGUUCCCCACUUAGUGUUCGAUAAACAGGGUUGAUCGGACGUCCAACUCGGUGUCGGACGAGUAUAUAAGCAUGUAUUGGGUGUUAUAUAGCAGGGGGUUCAAACGAGCGGCCCUUUUAUAGGAGAUAAUUUUAUCGAAAUACUAGAUAAUAAUAGACCAUUCUUUCAUAGUGGAUAGAAAAUAUGUAGUUAUUUUCUAGUGGAGGUAAUAUCUGGACAAUACGUGAAAAGUCAUUCAAACCGUCAAAUGUCAUACCUAACGUCAUAUGUUGACAAUACGCCACACUUUUAAAGCCUUCACGCAGAGAGUUGUGAUGUUUGAAUGUCCACAUGUCAUUUUCUCUAUAUUAUUCACCCUCCGUUGCAUUUCGAUACAUAUAGGAUAUUAAUGAUACAAUUUAAUGAUGUAGAGUGGGCAUCCUGUGAUAUCGAAGUUAACUAACUAGAUCAUGAAAUUGAUACUUUUUUACUGCAUUUAUCCAUGUCACAAAAAAAUCAAACACUUCAUGGCUGGCUGCAUCAUGAAUUUGUAACAUUUGUGGUCUAAUUUGAUUGUAUCAUAGAGUCCAAAUACUUCAUUUGUGGUCUAACUAGGCAUUAACAUGGGUUCGAAUGUGGAGUCGAAUACAAUCAUACAUUGCUUGUCAAGGAACCGAAUCGGCAAACAUUGAAUUGUUUUGACAGUCGUAGUUGAAAGAACAAAUGGGAAAGAAAACCCACGAGUUGUCACCGGUUUAACUUCUGUAGCUACUCAAAACUAUCACACCACCCAUUAGAACUCUGGGUAAUGCAAUGCAAGAAGCACCGAAUGUUGCAAGUAUCGCCACAAUGAAUGUUGGUUGUUUGCCCUAACAUCAGCCAUCGGACAAGGAGCAAAGCAAACAGACUAAUCACGAACAACAUUUUUCGAAAAGAAAUGCUGCAUUACUUGAAUGAAACCGUGGCUGCUACUUACUGUAUGCACUAAUUUGAUUUACAAAGAAUGUAAGGCCUGUUAUUCGAAUUCACCUUUAACAUCAAACUUAUUAGGGGGGAAAAAAAAAAAGGAAAAGGUGGGGGCGAAUUGAAUACAAGCUAAAAGAUUUGACUCUGAUGGGAGGAAGAAAGAGACACUAUUCUUCCAAAAAAAUGGGUAUAAAAAUUCCAUACCUAGUUCAUGAACUUUCGGCAGUUUGGAGCUUCGCAGAGACAAGGGACUUUGCAUUCGUCACUUUCGUCAGGGUCAAAUAAAUAGUCAUAUCUGCAAGCCAACAGACGACAGAGGAUACAUAUAAGCAGCAUAAUUAAUCGAAUAGGAAACUUGCCAGCACGACCACACAAGCCCAAGCCACUAAGCAACACAUUCAAGUAGUCCUUUGGUCUUAAACAAGAAUUUUAAAUGACAAUAUUCUCAGAAAUUUUGAUGUAAAGACAGAGUGAUGCACCCUAUGCACAGCAAGAGUGCCGACUUGAAUUUUAUCAUCGACAACAUCAAAUUUAGUUCAAAAGGAAUCAAAUGCUAGAAAACGAUUUACUAUCCAUGGAACAGCUUGCGUGUAAGAGCAAGAAAACAUGUCUAAGAAAUUGAAAGCCUGAUGCUACAUCAUCAAGAACAUAUACCCGGGAAGCUUUGCAUUUCCAGAUUCUCUCCAAAAAGAUGAAUAGAAUAUAUAUAUAAGAUGUUUUAGUUUAGCCACAGCUCUCUUUUACAGGGUUCACUGUUUGAGAAAUAAAAUGUUUUCUUCGGAUACAACUCUGACUAUAAUUCAAGAAGAAGGGCUUCACAAGAGAAACCAUUUAAGUAAAAAAUAUGUAAAUUAUAAAGCAUCAAUUGUUUUCCACUACAACUAGUCCCCUAUUUAGGUUCUCAAAGUUGGUACCUGGGAGGCAACGACCAUUUCGUCAUAUGUUUCUAUGUAAGAGAUAAGGCAUAUCCAUUCCUGAAAUUUUCCAUUAGCUCCAUAUACACGUCUACAUGUUCCGCUUGGGUGGUAAUUAAGUACUUGAGCAACAUAAAUGCUUUGCCAAGAUCAUAGAUGGAGCGAGAAAUUGGCAAGAGAAACAAAAUUCAGCAAACCGAUAUGAAAACUUUUGCAGAUAGGUAAAGGAAUUUACGUUAGUUCUUCACCAGCAGAGACAUUUGUCUUAGCUAUCAAAACAAUCCGGCUCUCAUCAUCACCAACACUCAUGAUCCUAGCAUAGCAAUUGGGCAUGCACUGCAUCAAAUAAUGAUAAUUAUUUUUGGAGUAUUACAGCAAACAGCUCUGCUAAAUUUCAGAAGCCAAAGUUCUAUUAAACGUAAUGACUCACUGAAUGGUUUAUCAAACGUGCUAUGUUUCCUUUAUCAGUAGCAUCGACCACUACUUCUUCGCUGAUCUUAAAAAGCUGCAAGACAAGAACAUUACAGGCAGUGAAUUAAACUAUAAUAUUGGAGCAAUAUAAUAAUCAUAAUGUCAAUGUAAUUUGACAAGUAAGCCCACUCCCAAUGCUACCCAUCUGGUAAAGGUGCCCAACACUGUAGGCCCCCAUUAUGAAGGAUUGUUGGCUCAUUUCUUAACUAUCCUAAAAGGAUCUGCCCAAAUAAGACUGGAGGUCAUUGAAAGAUAACCAACAAAGAGAACAAAUAAUAGGAUCUUUUAUUCGUGUAAACAUUAUUAUUGAAAGUUGACAAAUUUUUGCAAAAAGAAUUUCCACAUUAUGUAUGCAAAUUCCUUCAUGAUUAUCAGGUAUAAAUGAUUAAAGACUCCACAUAGUCGGUUAUUUGUUAUAGGCCUGUUUCAAAGAAAAAUCCAAGUGAAUAUCUCUAUGGAGGACCCAAUUCCAGAUUCUGAUCUGAUAGGUUUCUGUUAACCGAAAUGGGAAAUCAACAAAACAAUGACACAUGAACUCAAUUAUGAAUAUGGGGUUUAUAUGUAAAAGUCAAAGUUUAUAUUAGAAAAAUUAAGGAUAAUUUUCAUCUUUUAUUGGAUUAAAGUGAAAAACUACUGGAGGGGGGUAAAACAAUACAAGAAUAGUAAAUGACUUAUCUACUUAUCAAAGUGGAACCUUUUGACCAAUUAAAAAAACGAUAAGAAAAUGAGCACAAUCCAUGCAGAAAAAUAUAUAAAGUUGCUUAACAGUAUAAGUGAAUUGAUUUGUAUAUCAAUCAUACAUAAACAAAAAGCUAUCAUCACAACAAAUGGUUGAACAUCGGUGCCAUAUGCUAGAUGAAUAAUCAUGUUAAGGAUCAAAUGCCAAGCAAAAUGACUUUUUGAAUCUAGUACUGACGUGUACGCCUUUAUUUUUUAUUUGUAAUGCAGUAGCCCCCAAACUAUAAAGUCCAAGGCACCCUUAUUAGUACUAUAAACUACUAGACUCGACUACUUUUUCAAUUUAUUUAAAAUCAAUUGAGAAAAUAAGUAAAAAGUAUAUUUCUUGUCUGAGGCUUCAAUUUCUAGCAUCAGCCAAGGGCAAUCAUGUGUAGAGAAUAAAACAAAGGGUACAGGAAGAUGACUCACAUAGCAACCCUUCCCUUCCAAUCGAUAGCGUGCUUCCCUUAGGUCUGCAACACUACGUCUGACCUGCUCACCACGGUACUCAAUAACCUGACAAUACGUUAAUAACUGUUAGAUUCAUCAUCAAAUCAUCCUUUGGUCUUAUGCUCUAUAUAACUCAUUCAAUUCUCAUUGCUCAAGUAACCAAAUAGCUUCACCAACUUGCAGUUGCCAACAAAACAUAAUACAAGGCACAUGCAAAUUCUACAUGUGCAUAUAUGCAUCCGUGCAAUGCCUGAAUGUGUAUUGUGCAUGUAUUCAUAUGCUCAAACCAAGGGAAGCACUAACAAAAAAAGGAUUGCAUUGCCAUUUAUUGUGCCCAUGUUGGAGAACAUUAGCAUUCAUGGGCUUCCAUUCUUUACUCUUAAAUAUGGGCACAGAACGUGCCAGCACAUAUGUGAUGUACUCUUAAAUAUGGGCACAGUAUGCGCCAGCACAUGUGAUGUACUAGUACCAUGCUGGCUUAAAAUGAUAAGGUAUGUAUUCAGCAAUCAUACAGUACAUGUCUGUACUUGUAUAUCAUGAGAGUAUGCAAACACUAACAUUAAACGUCUCUAUGAGCAUGGAUCAAGAAUUGCAAGGCAUAGUUCAACUUCUAAUCUUCAACAUGAUACACUAAUCUGCCCUUGGACCGGUCAUCUUUUAAACUGACGUCAAAAUUCUCAUCAUUCUACAUCCUAAUAAGUGCAUAAUACAGAACAGCUGAAUGUUCUAGAAAUGCAGCUCCCAGGCAACAAAUAUAUCACACAUCUUAAACAAAGAGACACUGGUUUCUUUCGAUCCAUGAUUAGCAUUUGAUGUAAACAAUUAUGUCCAUUGCACUUUGAGAUAUGAGAGGCCAAAAUACCAUGAAGUAGUUGCAUAAUUAAUCUAACUAACCAGCCACGCAAAUUAACAUUAGGCAUACACAAUUAAAAGAAAAAAAGAUGAAUAAGCUUCUACUUCUUACAGAAAGAUCAAAUUCUUCAGGAAUAGUAUGGUAGAGUAUGUCAGCUUACCAUUUCUCCUUCUUGAAUGUUCCUACGAGCAAAGAGACCCCAUCCAUGUAUUCCAGAUCUACCAAAACAAACUCUACUUUUUUCUGUUGACUGAAAACACAAGCAUACAGAGAAUUAAUGAGUGUGUCAUGACAGGAACAAAUGUACAAAGGCAGCGGGUGGUAUCACAAAUACCUGCAAGUGGUAAAGCCGCUCCCUGAAUGUAGAGAACAGCUCCAGAUCUUUCUCUUCCUGUGUAGGGCAAACAUGAUGACCAAUUGUGAAUUCCAUUUGAUCUUUAAAAUGUAACUGUAGUCCAGGAUGGAAAUAAAGAUGUACAGCAUAAGAACAAGCGAAUUACCUUAGGUGCAUUUAAACAUUGAACCACAUCCAGAGAAUGAUGAGAAGGGCCCAUAACUCGGUGCGCUAUGGCCUCUUCGUCUUUCGUCUAAAUAGCAGAAAAUAUAAUUACAAAUUGAUAAAUAUACCUACAUGCAACUUGGGUGUUGAUCAAUUUUAAAAAUAUAAUUGGUAGCAAGGUGGAGAUAAUAUUAAUUACUAAAUUAAGAGGAGAUACCUGAAGGGUAAAGAACACGAUAAUGAUGGUUCUUCCCCAAGAACGAGUGCAACAGCAAACAGAAAAUAUGAAAUUACAAUAGCCAAAAUUUCAUAUCAGACAAUGAACAUAUGAUUAGCAUGAUUUCAAUUCUAAUUGAACAUAGUCAAACCAUGUUCAAUGAUUUUUCCCUUAAUUUUAUCUGUGAUUGUUAAUACCUUCUAGAUUUUCUAUAUCAUUAUCUUUAUCAUCAAGAACAAUCAGAUUUGUCAUGAAGCAAAAUAUUAAUGCAGAUAGCAGUAAACAUAGUUGAUAGUACACAAAAUGUCCUGCAUGAACUUUACAUAAGUGCUAUCCCUUCGGUGGGUGCACAUUAGUUUCUUGUGAUGACAAAUAAUAUAAUCAUUCAAGAUUGAAGCAGGCAAAACAGCUAAAUUCCCAUAGAUGUAGCUUUUGUUAUGCAGGAUGAGUUGUUAUAUAGUAUGUCAAGCAUUAAAUAAAUAAAUCUAGAGCUACACAUGAAAUUUUGAACAUACCUUAAUUUCUAUAUUUCUAUACAUUAGACACCUUGCAGCAGAUGGAGUUUCAGAAUUCUGAACAAGGAUGUCUGAGCCAUGGAGAAUGCCUUUCCUAAUUAGUCUUGUACCGGUCUGUUUUUUGUUAUUCUGAAUCAUCUUUUUGGAAGAAAAUACUCCUUGAGGAGUAUGUAUAAUUAAGACAGUAUCUGGAUUUGGAGCCCUGUAAAAGCACACCACACAGUAGAAUAAAGGCAGUGUAUUUUGAUAAUUAAGAAUUAUACUGCUGUAGCUAAGAUAAAGUCAAGAUAAAUGUAGUGAACUAUGAGAUAUAAAGAAAUGAUUGCCCUUUUAUUAACAUAAAGUGGUGGAGUGCAUUAAGGUAUACAUACAUAAAUAACCUUUAAGCACUGUAAGUAAUGCUUUAUAACACUGCUUGAAAUAGUUAACAUGGCAGGAAGGCAUUGGCAAAAUCUUACCAGUGAUGAGCACAGUAUGAUACCUUCUUCGUUAUCUGCUUCCCAUUUUUUUCCAAACAGCGUAACUGCAACUCAUCGAUGGAAUUAUUAAAAUUAAAUAAUUGUUUAUGCACAAACUUAAACACAUGACAUUAAUUCAUGACAAAAUAUAUAUUAAAAACAAAACUACUGGAUGAUGGAAGAGUGAAAGGGCCUUUGGAGUCACUGGUAUUUAUUAUCUCAUUUAUACUAAUAUAACAAUGUUUCUGAAAAAAAGACAAACAUGCUCAAAGAAAAUAAUUUCCUAGUUGAAAUUUGUAGCUGAAAAUAAUAAAAGUAUUCAGCUAAAAGGUCCAAUAAGUGUUGAAUUUAAGUUAAAAACCAAGGUCUAUAGAAGUGUACCAAAAAAUUGGCAAUAAGAAUUUCUUGAACACAAUGAAUUUAACAAAUUUUUAUGAUGGGUAUGACGAAUCUCUUGACACACACAUGCAUGAAUAUAUUCAUGAGUUGUUGCACAAACAAUAAAUAUAUGUUUUAUAUUCCAACAGCUUCACGUAGCAGAUGAGGCUAAGCACCAGGAUUCUAGUGCAUUCACCAUCUUCAUAAAGAGGGAUAGAAUUAAAUUGUAAUUUUCAAAAUUAAAAAGUAGAACUGAUAUUAAAUGGUCUUAUAAAAAUUUAGAUUUUAUCAAUGUAAGUGUUCCAACUAUAUGACCGGACCUAUUAAUCAAUUCAUCAAUUUGCCGAAUAUGAAAUAUCAUCAUUUUCGGUAACCUACCUCCAUGCGAUAUCCUGCUCUUGAUGCACACAUAGCAUGGUAAUAGGUAGAACACUUGUAGCAUUGCGUGCAAGAACCAUGCAUUUGACGGCAUAUAGCACAAACCUAGAGGUGCACACAUAAAGAAGUUAGCGGUCGAGUCAAUAUUUCAUGCAUAAAGUAGAAUGUGAAGAAAAUAAAGGAAUGUUUGCACAUAAAUGUUAUAUGAAUAAAUAUUUUUCUCACUAUUAUAAUGGAAUUAUAUCUUAACCUUCACAAAAGACUCUGAUGGUAUGUCCAAUAUGCCAACAGCAGGCUCCAUUGUUUCAUGGCUUGCAAAAGAGACUUGAGGCUGAAACCAGGCACAAGUAACAUGGACCCAUAGCAUCUCAUCAUCAGUUGGCUUGAGAGCACCCCCUAAGGGAAAAAAGUGAUACAUGAAACCCAAACUGUUCAUAUGUAAGGAAUGUGAGAGUACAAGGUUUCAAAUACCCCUUAGAUUGAUAUGUAUCGGCUGGUAUCUAUUGGUCUGAUCAGGAUUGAUAUUGGACCAUUAUACCUUAGUCACAAUUAAUACUCGUUUUACCAUCUGAUGCAUCGAUGCCAUAUUGGCCCGACAAAGUAUCAAAGCCAGUAUCAGACCAAGAUUUUAAAUCUUAAAGAACCAUCAAAAUAUGGUAGAAAAGUAAAAUCCAAAAAUAAUUAUCCAAGUUGCAAUUCUAUGUUUCCUAAAAAUAAUAAUUACUUGAAGGAGAUAUGAGAAUAAGCCUCGUGCAGUAAAGCAAUCCUUUUAAAAUGUUUAUAUAGUAUUUCUUAUUUGGAAAAAAGAAUCUUAUGAGGUCAUUUUCUUAGCAUCAAAAGACAUUAUGGAUACAUUACAUAUGUGAUAUGAUAAACUAUCAAACAGUUUAGUAUUCCAAAUACCUUUUACAGGACAGAGGCAGCACUCUUGCUUUUGUUGAGGUGUUUCACAUGCUCGGCAGAUCCAGGAGGUGAAAUCUUGUUUUCCUCUCAUUCCAUAGCAUUCCUGGUGGACUGCUAUUUGGCAUCUAAUAUUUGCAGUAUGUUAUUUAUUUAGUAAUUCAUAAUAGCCAACCAACAUGUGAACCUAUCCCUGCAUUCCAAAAGAGUAUUUCAAAGAAGUCAAAGUCACUGAAAUAUACCUGUUACAGAUAAUGAUUUUGUUAUAAUCCCAAUCUUCAACCCAUCUGCAGAUUGCACACCGUUCGGUUGUCCACUUAACAUACACCGGGUCAUAUGCUUCUAUGAAAAUGAAACCAGAACUCAAUGUUUAGUGGAAUUAGUUGAAAUGCAGAGGCAUGUUAGCUACAAAACCAAUGCAAGGUAGCAUAUUAAAGAAGUAAAUGAUACAAAGAAAAAGGAUGCACCUUGUAGGAAAGCAAGUAGCUUUUGUUUCCUUAAUUUUGCAGAUGGCCGUUUAGUGUGGUUUGUGGAAACCAUACUAGAAUGAUAACGCUCUAACUGCAAGUUAACAAACAUAUAUGUUUUACUAAACACGUUUACCACAUUGUUGGAUACAGAAAACUCAUUCUGCUCCUACUAGUACCAAACCAACAAGAAAAGGGCUUAAAGGACUUGGCUGAUCCAAAAAUGAAACCAAAUCCACUAGAGAUACACAAUAUAACAAAACAAAAAUAGGACAUUUUUAAAGCUUAAAAAAAUAUCAUCUGAUACCACUACAGUCAUUAGUCUAUAGUUAAUGAUAAAACUUGUAAAAUUAAGUAAAGAAAUGUUAAACAAGAAGCUGAAAUGCUCUAUAAAACAAUUUUACACUAUCACAUUAAAACUGAAAAAGCUUUUUGAAGUACAGACCCAUUUUCCCAGUGCCAUAUUUGUACUUCUGACUUUAAUGCUUGACCUCCAGUUUUUCGUUUUUGAUCCAGUAUGUCGCUCCCAUUCAGUAAGCAUAAACUUCUUCUCCUUGCAUGAUGUACAAUGACAAGAAAUUCUAUCCAAAGAUGCAAAAGAAAAAAAUCUAAAUCAAUAUACUUCAGAAGAAUGAUAAAAAUAAGAGCAAAAAGAACCUUAAAAUAAUCCUAAAAUAAUGGAGAGGUUAUGAUUGUAUAGUGCCUCAAUGUAGUAUCAAACAAAGAGAAUAGGUUGAAAAAGUUUAAUAUUGUAUUCGCCUCAGUCUGAAAAUUGAGAUAAUAAACAUGGUAGGUGAUUGUGAUGGUCAAGAAUCAUAACAAAUGGAGUCAUAUAGGUUCUGCCUGUCCUAUGUUUGAAAAGCCACUGCUGGUCAAGAAAACAUCAAGGCCCCACCAAAGAAUAUAUUCCCACAUAUAUUAUGAGGGGAUAACAUGAGGGAGGCAAACAUAACUUUGUAGAUAGAGAAUUAUCCAUUGAUCUUGUUUGCAGGAUAAAAGAGUCUUCCAGAGUAAGAAACACAAGGGCAAUAAACUCAUUUGGGAGACCUCUAGAAACCACAACCUCAAGUUACUGGAUUCUAAGAACUGAUUGUAAAAAUUUAUCACUUGUUGCCCAAAAAGACCCAUUUGCUUUGAUGCCACUACCAGGGAGAUCAAGAACUUCAGGAAUACUAUACAGGAGCCUAAUACACACAUAGUGGACAUUAGUGGAACACAAAAACUCAAGCUAUUAGGUUCUUAUAUGACCAUGCAUACAUGUAGAUGAACCCACAUGUAAACAUCAAUAGUUCCUGGCAUCCUGCAUCUGCUUAACCUUUUUUCACGAAGGUUGAAUUCUGUACCAUAGGUCUUCUAAUGCCCUUUACACAGAACCAUCCAACUCUCUUCAUAUGCUUCAUCCCUUUUCUGAAUUGAAGACACUUUUCGUUUCCUUUUCAGACAAAGGGAUAAAAAGUCUGAAAGUACUUUUUUGCUUUAAGUUAUUAUGUGUUUUUUUUCCAGACAUAGAUAUUCUGAAUCACUAUGAUUUGGCACCAUGGAGUCAAGUUUUAUUUUCUAUACUAGUAUCCAGAUAUAAUUAUCCAGCAGAUGUGGUGCCAUAUCAUAAACAGCAGGUCUUACCUAUAAGAUAGCUGAUCAGUUUAUUAGCCUGCCAGUGAACUUUUAAUCUAGACAGGUUCUACUUGGCCCCAGUUUUCUUUAUCCUAAAUAUCAAGUAUUUUGUCAAAGAUAUAUUAUAUUCCGAUUUUAGGCUUUUCCAUCUUAGUUGCGUCCUGGUCACCUUGGUUGCCUCACACUGGGAGUUGGAGAAUACAAAAUAUGAGGGGGCACAGAAAAGGAGGGGGAUGCUUAAAAGAAGGCUGUAUAUGAGGUAAGUAAUUCAAAGUUUCAUGGUCAUUUUUCAUCGAUGAGUCUUCUUUCUUUCUUUAUCUGCAUGUUUUGCAAACACCUUUUAUGACAGCAUGAUUAGAUACUUUGUUAUAAAGUCAAAACUGGGUGGCAACUCUAUUCUUGUUAGCACAACAUUGAGGCACUUCAGAAUAUGUUGACAUUUUCAAGUUCUCUUUGUAAUCAUGAUAAGGCAAGCCUUGUCACACCAUUUUGAUGUGGGUAGCCAGGAUUCACGUCAAUGGAAACCAUCUCUUUACUUGUGAGGUAUAAACUUGCACACAUUGACUUUCUCAAAUACUGUAUCAGCAAGAACCUCAUGAAUUGAACCCAUAUAUAUUGGGCCUUCAAUUUUGUAGAGAUUUUCAAAUACCAAAAUAUCAAAUUACGCCCAUGUUGAUACUUCACCACAUCACAUGACUGCAUGAACUAGCUACAACUUUUAUAAAGAGAUAACUACUAAUUAUUUUACAUUCAACAUGGCAAAAUUCAAUACUGCCCGUUCUAAAAGAGUAAAGGUAGCUGUCAUUCAGUGAUAUAAAACUUGAACUUCUUUUUCAAUAAUCACAAAUUACUAUCCCAUUUGCUACUCUCUGCAAGAUGGUUAUUGCCAAGCAAAAACAACAGGGAUCUUAAUGAAUUAAGUUAGGAACAAAAGAUGGUUCUUGCUAAGUAAAAACAACAGGGAUCUUAACGAAUUAAGUUAGGAACAAAAAAUCAAUUUCUAGAGAAGAAAUUCAUCUUACCCUGCAAAGAGGAGGUCCCUUUUUAGUUAAGAAUGGUUCUUUAUGAUAAAAAAAUUUGAAGAACUGAUAAGCAAAAUUUGCACCUCAUAAAAUAAUUGCAGGCUAAGUGGAUCAGAAUUUCUCAGCAAAAGCCCAUGGUCACUAACUCAGUAUCAUAUACAAAGUUCAAGAUCACUUGCAAAAAUCUGGCCAUAAAUGGACAUUACCCUACUCUGUUUAUCAGCAAACUCAAUUGUGAUAACGCAUUGUUCUGCUGUCUUCGCUGACACAGUUUGAUUUAACCAGUCCCACCACCACAACGAAAAAAAAAAGAAGAACACGGCAUACUAUAUACAUAUUUACAUAAAUGAAUAAUUGCUUUUACAGUUCAUCUUACUCAAUGCAACAUGCAGAUUUUCAACAGGCACCACAAUUAUCAUUCAGAAUAUAUCAAGUAAAAUUAUUAUUUGAAUAAAAAAAUUGUUUGAAUAUAUCAGGUUUUGUAUUAACCAAACUCAGAGGCAUAUCCUUACACAUGUUGCUCCGGCAAGUAUAUUCCCUCCAUGCCAAAACACCAAACUGCAACCUUAUCAAACGCUAGUUUGGUAUCUCGCCCACAAUCAGGGACAUAUCUGUUUAAGCUUAAACUGUGUUAGCCUCCGAACUAAACAUGAGAAAAUCACACAUGCAUUUGUCAGGUAUAGGCAGGCACUAAAGAAACAACAUAUACCUAAUUUGUGAGUGAUUCUUCUCUGUAUCUGAUGACUCAAAAUUAAACUUCGACUUGCACUCUGAACAAAAAUAAUCAAUGCUCUGCUGAUUGUUAGACAAUUUAAUAUCUGUCAGUGGAACAUCAUUUUCACAUGAAUUUGACAAAUAGUAGCAAAUCAUGAAUUUGUAAUGCAAACAAUAAUUGAGGGCAAACCUGAAGUUUCUUAUAGGUUUUGUCACAUCCUGCAUGGACCCAAUAUCGACAUGCAUAACAACGAACCUGAUGAUAUUAAUCAUAACAUUCAGAAUCAUCAAAACUAGGCUCUGUUGGACGCAUUAAAUUGUGAAGUGUUUUCAUUCAUGUCAAAUAACCUCGUACCCAUUUCUCGUCAUCUUUAUGAUGACAACUCUUCAUGCAUAUUCCACGAUAUUGUUUUGAUUUAAAAGGCUGUAACAAAAAAUGUGCAUCAACAGGAUCAUUAAAAGGGUUACAGAAGGAUUGGUUGGUCUAAUCAAAAACAUCAUGAUUAAGUAGCCAGAAAUCAGGGUUAGAAAAACCGGUCACACCGGCAUGUGCCAACAAGUAUUUACUGGACUGACCUGGUUUUGGCACACAGAUCGGACAACAUUAUUUGUUAGACAAAAUUAUUUAUCAGCCUGACCUGGUCCUGACACAAGGACCCUGCAAUUUUACCCAGUCCGGUUGAAACAGAACUUUUUUUGCUGUUUUAAUUUUUUUUAUGUAGACAACUGAAAACAACCAUUGGUUGUCAAUAUAUAGCAAAAAAAAUCUGUUGAUUGCACCAUUGCAACCCUCUGCCUCCUCCCUCACCUUCUUUUGCUUGGUCGCAACAGGUGUGAUGUAUAAUUGUAUGUACAAUGCCCCUUACACAGUAGUAAGACAACUUGGUAGUCAGAUGGCUUAGAACAUCCAAUUUUGCAUUCAGGUAAUUGAAUUUGAAUAGUAAAUAAUUAUUCAAUGUGUUCCUAGAUACCACCAAUGAAAUUCAAAAAGCAUGACAUUUAUAUUUUGAACAAAAGGAGACCAGUGUAUGCCACAAAAAAAAAAAAAAACAUAGAUGUACUGGAUAUAUUUUUACAAGUCUCUAAUUUUUUUGCUAUGAAGAUCUUUUUUUCCUUAAUAUUUAAUGCCUUUAGUAUAACAGUUAAUAAACAACAUAUUCAUGCUCUCUAUGAUCCAACCUAUAUAAUGCAAGGCCCACAUAUCAUGCAUCAAAGAACAUAACUAAUCAAUUGCUAUUUAAAUCCAUGUUGGACAUUUCCAAGGUUCUUGAUGUAAAGGAAAGAACAUUCAUCACACAGCAGGAAAGGCAUAGCUAGCAUGAGCUUGGACAUAGUUAACAGAGUAAUGGACAAGAGGAGAGAGAGAAGAUCAGGAUUAGGGAGCAAAAAUAUCAAAUGAAAGUGAAGAAAGAAAUUAAAGGGAUGUCUUUUAGUAAUUAAUAGAAAUCUAGCACCCUCUUUUCCAAUUUUCUAUCUCAUCUCUCUCUUGCUCUCUUCUAUGCUAAACAAGGUUAAUACGAGAUAUGAAGAAUUGCUUCUUAAAUUCUAAAUCACUUCCUUCUUUAUAUAUUCUUUGCAUCCAUGCUUGAAAAUCAGCAUUAUAUAGUAGAAUUCCAUAUUUUACCCCAAUAUAAGAACAUCUGGUGUUGUACCUUAAAAUUCAAGAUUUUAGUCACCCUGAAUUCAAGAUUACAUUAAUCAAUGGCAGGAAAAAAUCUGUAUAGCUGAACCCAAAUAAUUGGAAAAUUAUGGGGUGCAACUCUGAUUCCAAACCUGAGUGGUUUUUGUCAAUGGUGCAAAUAAAAAAAUUCUCCUCUCCACUAAUCAUAAUUUUUCUUUUCCAGCUUCUUUUUGUUCUAGGUUCUGCUUUCCACUACCAACUUCCAAGCUCAUCCUCACCCUCCAUUUUCUACUAGUAGCACUUCUAGGUGAGUGCCCUAAACCCAUUCCACGAGACCUGAUAAAAGCCUUUAAAAGUCCAGAUGUUGAGAUUCUAAACUUAAUUAUAAGGGUAGCGGCUAGUUUUCUUUGGGGUAUAUUCAAAUAAGAAGCAUUCUAGUAGAGAAUCUUUGUCAUCGUUGUCCAUCUAUCUGUAUAAUAAGCUCUUUUUCACAAUUUAGGUUCAUAUGAAUAAUUCCCAUAGCAUGAUAUCCAAGAAAAAUGAUUUUAUCAGUUUAACAGUUUAAAUAUGUCCACACUCCAUAAACACUUCAGCAUCUAAAGAUGUUCAUUUUUCCCGUAAAUAGACCAAGCAGUACUAAGUUGUGUACCUAUGUAGUCUGAAUCAGAUACAUGCUAAUAAUGUCAAUAGACUUCCAGAGAGGUAUUUUAAUUGGUGAAUGAUGUCUUGUUUGUAACAGAAGCAAGAAGAGUGCUGCUAGCUGUUUCUGUACAUCUUAAGUUUAAUGAUGUUUUAUUUAAAGCAAAAAAUCCUGCUACGGAUCCUGUAAUGUAAUUCUCGGUUUCUCAUUUGCUGACAGCAUCAUACAAUAAUGUGAGGAAGAUUAAUUUACCGCAAAGAAAAAGUAACCAGAAACCAGUUUUAGGUACUGUUUUUUCUUCUCUAUCCUCCUUGACAAAAUCAUCUGGGGCAUCUACAACAUAAUGAAAAGGACAAUAAUUGUAGGGCCUUUACUUGCCUUGUUCUCUGAUUGGCACUCCUCAUCAUGGUUUGAACCAGUUGCCUCCUUGAUCCCAGAAACAUAAGCAGGUUCCCCACUUGUACUCAUCCCAUCAACCUGCACCCCUGUGAAACCAUGUUCAGCUAAGAAGGCCUCCUCUAUGGCUAUUCUCAGAUUGUUUGGCUUGCAGCCAUGCAACCCUGUCUGCCCCUGAAAUCUGCAAUGGAGAUCAAAAUUUUAUAAAGAAUACAUCAAAUUAUCCUCUCAUAUCCCGAAUCGGAAUACUGACCUGUCUACAUAGUCAAUAAAGGGAAAAACCCUUCCCUGCUUCACCCACGCGUACUCCUGCUAAAAUCCAGUGACACGGGUAAUCAGACAGAAUAAAAUCAAAUAAGAAAAAGAUACAAGUAGAAUAAUCUACCCUCUCGUUUCCACUUCCAGAGUAUCCAAAGAACAUCACACAGAUGGCACCAGGGAUGUAGGCGUCUGUAAUUUGUCGCACAGCUUGCUGCAUUGUAUCGAUUACCAUUGCAGGCCAAGCUGGACAAUUCUUCCCCGGCCUCGCCCAAACAAUAUCGCCACAAGCAAACUCCUCCAGUCGAUGGUAAUCCUUCCCUUGUUCUAACGUUUUCUUCUGCAACUUUUCUUUCUUUGCCGGAUAACGGAAACGCGGAUUUGGCCGUCUCUCCUCCCUUGUCUCAAGACCCUCACAAAGAGAUGUCGAAGUACUCUGUGACAACGAGCACUUCUCCAAGCUGAUAUUUCUGCAUGCGCGGUAUCUUUCUUCUUCAUCAAACAAUGCAACUGAAACAGGGAAGAUGGAACUAUGGCUGGAACUCUUAUAGCUACGGUUCUCUUUUCGAGGUUCCAUUGGCUCAGCCUUGAUUUCCGAGUCCGUGUCCGGAGCUUUUGUCUUGGGCUUCUCCUUCUUCCAAGGGUCGAUGAGUACGGAAUCGUUAAACCUGGAGGGGAGCGUCUGCGCGCGGCCUCUCGAGGUCCGAACCACCGGCGGCCGCACUUCCGGCGGCGCCGCCUCACGGGUUCGUUCCCUCUCCCUUAUCCGCCGGUUCCGCGACACGGAGUCCAUCUCACCGGAGCAGCAGGAGACCUCGCUGCACCAAGAAGCAGCCACUGCAUCGGCGGCGACGGCGGCGGCGGCGUCCUCUCCACCCAGACACCGCCCGAACCCGAGGGCGACGUACGGGAACCCUCCGGCGGCGGCGACGUCCCCCAGCACCUCGAGAGGGAAUGACUCCCCCUCCCUCCGCCUCUUCCGGCGUUUCCCGCCGCCGUCGCCCUCGCCGUCACCGACGGUGACCUCGGCAUUGCACCGCUUCAGGGUCGGCAUUACCACCCUCUGGCUCCUCUUUAUGAUCAUCCCGUCGCCGCGACGGGAAACCCUAAUCCCACCGAAGCCAGAAUUCCGCGCCACCGAUCCAAGAACCCACCAAAUCGCCCUCCGAUCCCUAAAUUCCCCACGCGAUCCGCGGUAAUUGCGGCCAGGGUUCGAAGGAACGCGUCGGGGGCGACCACGAGAGAUCACGAGGGCGGACACGAACGCCACCCUUCGUUACUUGGAGUAGACUCCAAACACUACGGAACGGAUCGACAGAUCUCAAACAUAUCACCCUUUUUUUACCCUAUUACUUUCAAUUUUAUUCGUUUUUAAUUUCCCCUCUUCUUGGUGUUAAUUUUACGAUUUUGGUAUGGUUGGUGCAAAGCGAGAUGGAAUUCGUGUGGGUUGAUGGCUUCAAUUCGUGCACGGUCCAAUUUCGAUGUUGUUUGUGAUGGUGACGAUGAAGAUGGAGAAGAGGAUGGAAACCAUAAUUUCGAUGGCUUCCUUGAGAGGGAUUUGUGUCGAUGUGUGGUCAUGGUGGAUCGAGGAAGAGAGUCUGAAAAGAUCUCGGUCAUGAUCAUGGAAAAUUACAAUUUUUCUUCUUUUUCCUUUCUCUUCUCUUGAAGUUUAUCUUCAGGUAUAUUUGGGAAGAGAUGGCUUCAAUCCUCCUUGUAGUCGUCUUCCUGUUGCUUUGAAACAGAGGCAGUAGCAGAUGUUUAUGCUGUCUUUUCUUGUGUUCUAUGUGCUUCAUCUUUCCCAUUGCAGCUAUUACGAUCUCUUGUUUGGGUGCAGGGACACUGUAAUAGAUGAUGAUGGAGGAUGAGGAGGAGGAGGAGGAAGUAAUCAUGGUGAAUAGAUUCUCUCGAUGAGUCCAACCCAACAGUUGGUUACGAGACUUCGCCAUGAACCGGACUGUGUGAGCUUGGGUGCAUCCACCGGCCACCGCCCGAAGGUGAAGUCCGGUGAUGAUCGAGGAGAACACCAGGUGUUUGUUGAAUUAACCUAGCCUUCUCGAUCCCAAACAGCGAAGCCUCGUUCCGGAACAGCCUCCUUCUCGAUGGAGAUCAUGCGUGGAGAAUUACCAGGUUGCUUACUUGGGAGAUUGAGCUGUUCAAGGUCAUGAGCUCCAUGAUUGUAGCUCGUGGAGACUCGACUCUCAUUCUUUUCUGCAAGCUUUUUGGCUCCGAGCAAAAUGGCUUUUGCUGCUGCUGCUAGAGUUUGGUCAUGAACUGGAGGAGGAUGAGCAAUAGCAGGAAGACUACGAGGCGGCAAGUGGAGCUUGGCAACAGGCUGGUCUUCCAGUGAUGUAGGAUGUCAUCUCAGAACAACAAUGGAUCUGAUUCACUGCAAGAAACUGUUAUUCUCAUGUGAGAAUUUAUGUAGUUCAUGGGUUAAACUUGUUGCAGAAUCUGCAGCCCACAAAUGGCGAUCGUGUGCAAAAGAACUUGAACCCAUUAUUCACUCUCGAAAAGGAACGACACCAUCUCCAUGACAGGUAGGAGGAGAAGGAGAGGAGAAGAACAUGUCAUUAACAGUGAAGCACAUGUAGGUGUGUUUGUUCGUGAGCUGCGUGGCUACCCUGCAAGUCACCAUGAAUAAGGACUGUGGCAGUAGAAGGGUAAGGAGGAGGAGGAGGAUGAUGAUGAAGGGAAAGUGAUGAGGUCUGCAACUCGUUUUCUCGUCCACGACCGUGUGGCAAGUAUAGUCUUCGUCUUGUGUAUGGUUUGGAGUUCAUCCGACGACCAAGAAGAUGACCAUGCAUCGUGCAUGCAUGCAGCGAAGAGCAGGAAGAGAGCGUGAUAUAUCAGAGCGAGAUCAGUUGGGUAUCCGCCUUAAGAGAAGCCACCGGACACGGUGGAGGAUGGGGUGUGAGUGGCUGCUGCCGGGAAGAACACCUGAGCCUUCGCAGCGGUCGUCGGUCGACUCCCGGCGGUUCCGGCGAAGCUGAUAUUUCCCCCGUAACAUCCAAGCCAGGGAACACCACUUUCCUGCUCCCGCGAGGCUGGCGGGUCCCGCGCGCGAUCACUGUGCCGUGUGUCGACCGGGCGGACGCGGACGAGCUGGAUUUCUCGGAACCCAAAAUUGUAGCCUCAAAAUAUCUACCCUGCUCGAGCGACGCGACAUGGUGGCUCCCGCAAAACCUCUCCAAUCAAAUCAAGAGUGGCUCCCGCAAAACCUCUCGAAUCAAAUCAACAAUUUUUUUUUCCGUCAAUUUCGCAGUCUCAUCUACAUCUAAUUUCCGUGUUAGGUGAUAGGAAACAUCGUAACGGCCAAUCACCGUUUGACAUCUAUCACCACAAAAAUUGACGCGAAAUGAAAGACCUCUUAUUACCUUUGAUCUAUAUAUCCCUAUGGAACAUUAAAGAAGAAAGUUGGGAUGAUUAUAGGAUUGUCUCCUCCCUUCAUCAACCAUAAAAAUCAACUCUUAGAGCAAUGUCGAAGGUUUUAUUUUUUCGAAUACGAUGUCAGAAAACAUCGUAUUCGAAAAAAAAUCGAGGUCAGAAAACGUCUCCCGACAAAUCUUAGUGCAAGCGAUACUUCAAAAGUUCUGACUCCCACUUACUCAAGAACUAUCUCAGAGUUAUUUUAGAACUAUCUUAAAAUCACUUAAGAAUCAUCCUAUAAUCACAUCUAAUGUUCUUGCGAGUUCAAACAAUGUUUGAUUGGAUGGUCAUAAAUAUUACUGUUUAGAAUGAUGUGAUAAGAUUAAUGCACAUGACUUAUUUAAAAAUUAGCAAAUUUAAUCAAAAUAUUAUAAUUUUAUUAUUGGAUCAGUGGAGAUAUCAAAUCGAGUGACUAACAUAAUCAUGAAAGAAUUAAUGUCAUACAUAAAGAUAAUAAUCAAUAGCUUUGUUAAUACCGAGAUGGAUUUAUCGAGUCACGAAAACACCUGUGUUUUUAACGGUGACAUCUUACGAGCCUCGGUGGAAAAACGUUAAGCAUGUGAGGCUAUGCCUUCAACUAUGGACGGAUUAAAAUAAUUGGAACAAAUAAGCUUAGCUUGGAUAGCUUUGAUUAGUGUAUCUCACCUGAGAAGAUAAGCUAAAUUAAUCCUUCACUCCGUCACUUGCGAUUUGAUCUACUAGAUUAACAACAAAAGAGAGAAAUCAAAAUGAAAUAGUAGUAUUAAUAGUACCGUCCUCAACCAAAGGCAAUCAAUCAUGUGAGCAACAUAAUCUUCUUUUUGUUCAUGUCCAUGUUCACCUAAUCCAUGUAAGAUGAUCUGCUUGUGCGGCUACCAAAAUGGUAUCAAAUGAAAACCUGAUUAUGAUUCGAAUAAUUAAUACAUAAAGUUUUUUUUUCUUUAUGCUGAGUUUGAUAAAUAUCUUUGGAUAAUUCAUACUACUUUGAAUUUAUUUUUAUAAGUACAUCAUGUAUCUCAUGAUUUUUGUGAGAGAAAAAAAUAUUGAUAAAGAUUAUGACAUUCUCUAUUGCAUCUAUAAAGAAUUGAAUUAGGAUUAACUUAAAAAUAUUUAUAAUUAAUUUCACAUGAUGAAGAAUUUUAAUUUUCUUUAUAGAUUCGAGUAUACGAACAAUGUUAAUUUUGCAUCGACUUUCUGUUAUAUCGUAAUAUUCGAAUAUCGUACUUAAUAUUUAUAUUUUAAUUUGCUAUUAUUUGAUUCUAUGACGACCAUGCUAUGAACCACUACGGUGGGUACUCAAUUCAGCCACACUGCAAUUGUAAUGUGCACUCCCUCCAAGUCUAAUUUCUUAUUCAAAUACAGAGAGAGAGGGGACCGAAUCGACUCGAUCCCAACUCUCCUCUCUUCGCUCUAUUCUUCUCCGCCUCCGUCGCCAUCCAUCCGUUGCUUUCCCCCUUCCGCCCUCUCGGCUCCGUCGCUUUCUCCGCUGACUCCCUCCAUUACUAACCCGGUAAGUUUACAUCCCCUCUCUCUCCCCCCUCCCACUCUCCUUUACGCUGUUCGCUCUAUUUCUCUGGAGCCAUUCUUUCUUCUCUCCUCUUGUUUGACGAUGGGGAUUAGGGCUAGGGUUUUGGUCCUCGGUAACGAUGGCGGAAUCGGGGGUCCCCGGCUCGCCGGAGAGCGGUCACUCCGGCGACCACGGCGGCGGUGGCGGAGGAGGAGCGAGCGCCAGGGAGCAGGAUCGGUUCCUACCCAUCGCCAACAUCGGGCGGAUCAUGCGCAAGGCCAUCCCGGAAAACGGCAAGAUCGCUAAGGACGCCAAGGAGUCCGUGCAGGAGUGUGUCUCUGAGUUCAUCAGCUUCAUCACCAGCGAGUUAGCCCUGCCGAAACCUCCCUUCUCGCUUCCUUUCUUUAUCCCUUUUGCUUAUUCGUGGGGGGUUUCGGUGCAGAGCGAGCGACAAGUGCCAGCGGGAGAAGAGGAAGACCAUCAACGGCGACGAUCUGCUGUGGGCGAUGGGGACGCUCGGCUUCGAAGAGUACGUCGAGCCCCUUAAGCUCUACUUGCAGCUCUACAGGGAGGUGA
RNAcentral lists this long non-coding RNA (106428 nucleotides) under Musa acuminata (dwarf banana). RNAcentral describes it as "long non-coding RNA (MACU_LNC004843)". Lineage: Eukaryota; Viridiplantae; Streptophyta; Magnoliopsida; Zingiberales; Musaceae. The record is from RNAcentral.